UGAGAGAGAGAGGUGGGGGAGGGUGUUGGAAGAGGACACCAACCUUCAACCUGACCCCCCGAACUUGCACCGGCACCUGAAUUUGUUGGGGAGUUACUAGUCAUCAUUGCAGGUGGCCUAGAACCAGGGGAACCACUCAAAGGCUGGUGACUCAUAAUUCCUCCAUGAUAUGCCAUAGGAUACUGAAGACCUGGCAAUGCAGGAUAAGCCGAGCCCAUAUAACUAGCAGAAGGCACAGCAUAAUUUCUAGGGGCCACAGCACGAGCAAGAUCAGGAGCAAUUGCACGCAUGGCACUUCCUUGGUUUACUUGAGGAAUCAUAUUAUGGAAAGCAGCCUGACUCUGCAUGGGUGGCAUGCGAUAUUGCAUAAGUCCAUAAGCACCAGGAGCCUACAAAGAGAAUGAAAUGAAAAUCAAACGAUAAACUCCAUUACGAUAAGGAAUAUUAGAAAUGACAAAGUGUGACACAAUAAAAAGAGAAAAGAGUGAAACAGGGAUUAGAGGAGUUCAGUUCAUGGCAAUGGCAAUGGCAGAUCCCAGAAAUUUGGUUCCAGGGGGCAAUAUUUAAGAUUUAAUAAGAUAAAAAAAUAAAAAAACCAGAUAUAAAAAUUUAAAUAUUAAUUGUAAUUCUUAUGAUCAAUACAGUUACAAUUAUUUCGUAUGGAUUUUCAGACUCUUUGAAGUGUUAUAUGAUAGUUUUAUAACAAAUGCUAUUAAAUAUAUGUUUCUUCUUAUACAAAAUCAAGUAUUUUUUUCAUCUAUUAUUUGAUUGUUUUCCAAACAUACAAGAUAUAUCAAAUUGGGCUAUCAAAUUAAACAAUUCAGAAAAGAUUUGAGUAAUCAAUUCCACAAGUAUAAGAUAUAUCAAUCUAAGUAAUUUCAAUAAUAUAUAACAGAAAAAGUUUAAUGAAAUAUCUAGAUUAUCAAACUGUACACAUGAUUAUUAGCAAAUUCAGCAAUUUUAUUAAAGAAAUAUCAGUAUGAAAGUUCAAAAGAAUUUCACACACACACACACACAAAAAAAAAAAGUAAAAAGAAAAGACAUAAUAGGCAUAAGAUAAAAAGAAGUAAUAACACAUUUUGGUAAAAAUUUUGAAAAUUUACAUAUAAAAAAACUUAAAGAUAGAUUUUUUGUGGGGGCAAAAAAUAUUAAAUGCACUUACCAAAAAGCUGCAAAAAAUAGGAUAAAUUGGGCUCUUAAUCUUGAGUUAGAAAAUGAUGUGUAUCAUUCUAUUUUUCUUUUUCUCUUUUUUUUUUUUUAUAAGCCAUUUUUUCCUGGAAAAAUCUGACAAAAAGGCUAUAUUAGAGUAAGAAGGGGUAAAUGAAUAUGCAGCAGUUGUUGCAUUAUUACGAUAUGGUAACCGUCCCAAGAUGUUCCAACACAUUGGCUAAAGCAUUGCAUUAUAUCAAACAACUGCAUAUAGUAAUAAACAAUGAGACUAACCUGAUAACCAUAUCCAUUGUAUGGGGGAACAUAACCAAGAGGCAAGGCUCCAAAUAAUGAAGGAUGCUGUCCUGAAUCAGCACUUGGCAAAUUAGAUGCCUGAGAUUGAGCUUUCUGAGCCUUCCGAGCUUGUCUUUCCUUUUCAGUAUCAGCCCAUUUGACAACUAGAGGAACACUUGAACCCUAAUGCAACAGAAACUAAUGGUCAGAUAACCAAUCAUCGAAUCAACUUCUCCAUUUUUAUAAGGCAGAAAUCCACUAUCCCACUUCACAGAACUGGGGAAACCAUAUAUACAUGACCCUUCCCCCAGAAACUGUGUAGUGGAUGAGCCUGGGACUGAACUUGGGACCUCUUAAUUUGGGAGGGAGAGCAUCUACCAUUUUAGUUACCCAUAGGAGCAAAAUCAAGUUUUCCACAUUAUACCAAAUUGAGAUUUUCUGCCUCAAUUUGCUCUUUUUUCAUGAUGGCUGGGUUGGGUUUGGUUUGGUUAACUUUCCCAAGUUGCCCCCCCAAUAUCCAAGGUCUAAGUUUCUUUCAUGUCAAUAUACCAUUACGAUAAAAUAGAGAAUAACUUAGACUGUUUAUGUUAAGAAUUCUAUUUCCUAUUAAAUCAAGAGAAGUCCAAGCAUCCUCUAGUUUGACAGUGCAAACCAGAAGUUCGAUGCAUCUAUUUACCAACAACUAUUUUUUAAAGAGCCAUAGCACAUAAGAAAGGGAUCUUCUAGCAGUUAGUAUAAGUUCUAAAACAAUGAUAAUGAAGAAUUUCCAGCUGAAGCAACUGAGUUAUGAAGACAAACCUCCAUUUUAUGCUUCCCAUUGAUCGCCUCCAGGGCUGCAAGGGCCUGUUCUUUGGUCUCAUACUUCAAAAAAGCACAACCUGCCAUAAAUAGAAUAAAUAGAGGUACAAAUACAAACCAUGUCAAGUUUGAGGUCACAAUAGUCUACAAAUAAACAAUUCACAAAAGGAAUAGGAUUAUGAAACAAUACCUUUGCUUGUCUGCUGAGAACCUCUCAGAAUUUGUAAGUCUUUUAUAGUUCCAUAUUUAGAAAAUAAAGAAGAAACUUCAGCUUCAGAAACAUUCUUCGGAAGCAUACCAACAAAAAGUUUGUGCUCUGGAUAGCAAGGAUGGCAAAAAGUUAUUUAUUGAAAUAUAUAAAACUAUAAUAUAGCACAAGGACAUCAUUUACAAAAGCAGCAUUAGAUAAAGAAUAAGAACUGGCGCUGCUACAUCCAAAAAGGAACAAGAUUAAGGAUGAAAUAUGUAAUUAAACAAUGAAAAUAUAUUACACCUAGCCUUUCCAACUCGCCAUCUGCAUACUUCACUUGCAACGGGCUAGAUGCCUGAAUUAGACAGAAAGAGCAGAAUACCUUUUAAUCAGACAAAGAAUAACAUGAAUGCAUCACAACCUAACAAAGUAUGCAGCAAAUUUUUAGGCAACGAAUAUAGGUGACUGAAAUAUCUUACCACUUGAUUUUAAAUUUGCCAUUGAAUUUACAUACACUUUAACUGUCCAUAUCAUAGGAUCUAUAAUCAACUAUAGGCAUAGGAUCUAUAUUUAUCCCUAAUUUUCCUGUCAAAAAAUGAAACCCAACUGAGAAUCUAGCCUAGGCACUCAUUACUGAGGUCUGGAACAUACCUAGUUUUGUAAGCACACGUCUUUUUGACAACAGCCCAUAGCAGACAAGAAGGAAUCCAGCAACCAUGAGUCUCAGCGUUAAAACACGGUUAAUUGAAACUUAACUAGAACAUGAAUUAAUUGUACACUUUGUCAGGAUUAUAUCAAAGAACUCAGAAUGCUCCACAUCUACCUUACCAUACUAAUAACCUUGUCAUAGAAUUUUUGUAUCAAACACUAACAGACACUUGGAAAGCAAGCCGCAAGCCAAAGUUGGUAUGCUCUCGAGUACAUUUCUUUCUUUGUUGGUUUUCAUUGGCAACAAUUGUUGCCUUUAUCUUCCCUGAGUGGUAAUUCAAGUGAGAUGGUUAUGUAGCAUGUCAAACAUCCUUUUCUUUAUUGGAUAGGAAUCAAGCAAAUAAGGCAAGUACAGAACAGAAAAAUGGAUGCAAUCAAACAAGGGAAGUAUAAAUUAUAAAGUCACCCCAGAAAAGGAGCAUAAUAAAGGAAAAUAGGAAGAACCCACGGUCCCCUGAAACUGGAGAACAUCCCAUUGACUUUGCAAUCACUUAGGAUAAACAACUGUAAUGGCUAAUGAAGGCUCCACAUCACUGACAUGGAAACCUAGGCACUAUGGUAGAGAAUUUCUAAUUAGGCCAAGGUAGAAGAUUUCUAACUUGUUGCUUUGAACAGAAUUUCAUGGGCAAGAGAGGAGAAAUUACGGCAGCAUGCUGUGGUUUGGUCUACUUUUUUAUUUUGCUUAUUAUGUUUGCACAGUUUUUUAAUCAUUUUUUAAAACUUUUUAUCUUUGCCGCUUUUAUUUCAUAAGCCUUUUCUUUUUUGCUUUCACCUCACUUUCUAGAAAUAUGGUUUGAACUACAAAACAUGAUUUAAAAUUUUUACAUAAAGCAUUUGGAAGUUUCAAAAUGUUCCUCCUUUUGGGAUGGACCAAAAUGAAAUGGCAAAGAACUUGAGACCACUAAAACUACAUGUUUCUAUCUUUUCAAGUGGAAUGAUUUGCAGAUCAUGAUAUAUUUCAUUUGAAAUAUUUGUGAUUUUGGGUUUUACACUAACAAGGUAAGGUAGAAAUCCUAUAUGUAUGACAAAAUUGAAAUUAAAAAACCCUAACUUGGUAAAGUAGAAAUAACCAUAUAUGAUGAAAUUGAAAUUAUUUUUUUCCUUAAUUUUCAUGAUAAUGUUUUAUAAAUUAGAUAAAUUGGUAAUCAUCAAAUUCUAACUGAUAAUAUAUCAUAUUUAUGGAUUUACAUUGUCUUUACUAAUCAAAAAAAAUUUUUUUUUAUGGAUUUACAUUAUUUAACAGAAAUUCUGCUUCCUUCCUUUUUUUGGGUUACAAUUUAAUAACGUCCACAAAGCAUUUUGGAGAGACUUGGCCUUAUUUUAAGUCAUGAACAGAAACCAUGUAAAGUACACAUGCAAGGCCACCCAUAUCCAUUGUAAUAUUUCUGAUGGUGCACUGUUCAUAAUGAUGAAAUAAGUUUUUCUAAUGACAUUUUCACAAGGAAGGUGUCUUGACAGCAUCCAUGAAAAAUCUUAAGUUUGAAAUUUGUUUUUUUCUUUACUUUUAAUUUUGUGAUAGUGGCAUGAUUCAGGGCAGGCUCCAAUGCCCCAUUACAAUCAAACUGCCCCAAUUUUCUUACACUUUUUCAUCACAGGAGUAAAAUAAAAUGGAGGCAUUCAAUUUUCUUGCCCUUAAUCCUCGGUCCUUCGAUCAACUAAAUAUUUGGAUCCUGUCUCCAACAGUUCAGAGAAAAGUCCAUUUUCAUAUUUGGACAGAGUCCCCGCCUGGGUCACAGGCCUAACGAAGCAUGUUAGGGUUACAUAACUUGAUCACAAUGAAGUCUAUGUACCGAAAAUAAACAAGUUUAUACAUGCAUCUGCAGCAGCAUCAUGCCACAUGAAACCAAUAUGGGAAAUGUUUACAUGUUUCUGAAAAGUACAUUAACAAACUUAUCGGUAGUUAUUGGUAGUUAAGAUCAACAAUUUCCACGAUAAUGCACAAGUUUGAGAAAUUUAAUGACAAUGUUUUACAUCAGCACAAACAAACAAAACAAUAGAAAGAGAUCAGAAUUCAACUAACCCCGGGGAGAGUUCGCUUAUUAUGACACGCAUUUACUGCCUUGUCUGCUUCCUGUCUGGAAGGACAUAUAACAAAACAGCAACCUGAAAAACCAAACGGAAAAAGCAAAUUAGGGUUUCAAACACCACCAGACACAUUCAAACCACUCAAAUCUGACACCAGAUCGAAGAAGGAGCGCGAAUCACGCAUUCUCGAUCUGGCAAAAACUCCAUAGGAAAAUCGAAAAUGCGGCUAGAAUUGGAGGAAACCGAGAGAAGACGAGAUUUGGCGAGUGCAUAAGGUUGCUGAAAACCUCUUGAAGCACGCGUGGCUUUGUCCUUGAUGAUGUUGACCUCGUCCACUAGAGCGAACUCUUUGAACAUUGCCAGAAGCUGAGCUUCGGUCAUGUUCUUGGGCACUUGCCCUACGAAGAGCUUGACGCUGUCUUCGCUGGCUUUUCGCGGUUUAGGAGCUUCCGCCAUAAAUGCCGGCGCUUUCUCUCUCUACUUUCUUGGACUUUCUCUCUCUAUUUUCUCUCACUUUCCCGAGCUUUUAUUUAUUUUUUCCCCUGAGAGAGUCGUCGCUCGUUGAGACCAGCUUGGGGGAAAUGGGGGACUUCUGGAUGGCAAAGUUGGAUCUUCAUAGAUAUAUUGUAAUUAAAUGCCUGCAAAUGCCCCUAAUGUUGAUUAUAUCCACGAAACUGCCAUUACAUAUGUCUCGACUUCAAUCUUCCUUCCAAAUUGUAUGUUGUAAGGAGCGAAGAUUUCAAACGAGUUGGGAUUUCCAUUGACCUUAUUGCCCUUCCCUCUCUUCCUUUCUUUUCUCUCUUUAUUUAUUCACAUAUAAUCCAAUAUUAAAAUAAUAAAUAUUCAUAUUUAAUAUAUUUAUAAAUAACUAGACAAACAUUUUGGUUCAAUUUUAAAAAAUAUGUUAUGAAAUUGUGUAUGAUUCUAGAAGCUCAAUUAUUGAAAGUAAAAAAUUUAUAGCCUUUUUAAAAUUAAAAAUGAGCAUUAAAAAAAUUAAAAAAAAUACAUAUCAAACAUGUUUUCUGAAUUUUAAAACUAUUUUUUGUUUGUAUUUUUAAGAAUAAUUUUCAAAUAAAAUUUAAAGUUUUUAAUUUUAAAUUAUCCUUUAUCAAUAUUAAUGAGAUAAGACUGCAUCACAAUAGAAUUGAAAUUGAAAAAAGUUUGUAAUUGUUUUAUAAUGAAGAAAAAGAAUUCAGUAUUCAACUUAAUCUCUAACUUAACGAGACAAUCUAAUUAAGGAGACAAAGUAACAAUGACUUUUUGAGAUUUUUGCACAAUAAAAAAUAUCAAAAAACUUGAGCCUAAGUGGUAAUGUUUUUAUUCAAAUAAUUUUUAAUAAAAACAUUUUUAAGAUAAUCAUUUAUUAAGUGUUGUUUUUACCAAAUAUUACAAAUAAUAUUUUAAUACUAUAAAUGUUUUAAAAAAGUCUUUCAUAAAUUUUGUUAAAUACUUUACUUUUUUUCAAAAAUACUAUCAGAUAGACUCUAACAUUGUCGUAGCUCAUAUCAUAUAAUUUUUUCUAGAGAAGGAAAAAAAAAACCAACUUUUUGUGGCAUAAAUUAGAAGCUUAAGACCAAUUUGGAAAUGACCCAAAUGAUAAAAAUGGGGAUGAAACCUCCUAUAUGACCCACAAUAAUAACUAAAUUUUGUAGCAAUAGCCCAAUAGACAAACGAUUGUAAGGGUUUUGGAUAAUGGUAGCUUCCUUUAUCCCUUGAGUUGGGUCAUGAUUAGAAAUGUUGGGAGCCAAUAUUAAUUAUAGAAAGUGGUGAGGUACCAAACUCAUUUCUAUUGGUUUUCUUGCUUAUCCACUAAUGUUGACUGCCGAGAGUUAGAUUUUAUGUCAAAUUCCUAGUCUUUAUCGGUUACCUAUUCAUUACAAAGAUGAUUGUUGGGGAUUACGAUACUUGCCCAUGAAAAGACCUUACUAUUAUUGUCUAAGUUGUCACCUAGUAAAGUAAUGACUUUUGAAUAGAAUAAUAAUAAUAUUAAUUUUAUUAAAUAUAAAAUAAAAUAAUUAUCAUAUGUCAAAAGGGAAUUAUUUUUUCUUAAAUUCAAAAUAUUAAACAAAAUAAAUUAAAACUUAUGACCAUUAAGAUGGGUAUAUAUAUGGGAAGAAUUUUGGUAUGGAUAUAAUUAUAAUAUAAUAUAAUCUCCAAAAAGACACGUGACAAACACGUUUGUUAAAAUUAGGUUCGAAAUUUGACUAUUUUGGCUUGGAUAAUGGGUUUGUAGAGAAGAGGACAGGGAUGUAAAUAUAUAUAUAGAAGGGUACAAUGGUAGUUUAGCGUGAAAAUCGAGGUACAAAGAUAAGUACGCCAGACUGUCCCGCCAAGCCUCCUCCAGUACUAAAUAUACUGCUCACUGCAAGUUGCGCCUUCGGCCAUAUAAGCUAUAGCUAUAUUCACGGAACGGUAAAAAAAUUUAUUUAUUUAUUUUUUCAAUAAAAUAAAAAGAGUUUUUUUAGCUCAUUAACCUUUCUAAGUAAAAAUGAUAAAAAAAAAGAGGCUAUCUUGUUCGCUUAUUAAUAUUUAGUAUAUAUAUAUUUAUAUAAAAGAAUAUUAUAGACAAUAGACAAUAAUUUUCUCACAUUUAAUUUAUCAUAAAGAUAAAAAAUAAAAAAUAAUUAAAAUUUAUUUUAAUUAUUUAAUUUUUAAAUAAAACAUAUAAAAUAAUUUAUUAAUUUAUUUUUUUGUCUCUAUUUCUUCCCUUAUGCAUGUAUAAAUUUUUUUAUUGUUUUAAAAUAAUUAUCAAUAUAGGUAAGGAAUUUUUUUUUUUUUAAAAAAAAAAAAAAGCUUCACGGUCUUGAAAAAAAAAUUCUCUUAAAAGUCUUUUUCAAUAAGUUACUUAACGUUUAAUAAAAUUAUCAAUAUAGGUAAGGAAUUUUAUUUAAAAAAAAAAAAAAAAAGCUUCACGGUCUUGAAAAAAAAUUUAAUAUUAAAAAAAAAUUAUCUUAAAAGUCCUAUUCCUUAUACGAUAAGUUACUUAACGUUUAAUAAAAUUUUAUAAUGGGUCUUGGCCACCAACUUCCAUGAGAUGGAUAAAAAGUGGAUUUAACAGUAUAUUUUUUGUUCAUAAUUUACAAGGAAAGUACCCAAUAGCGUAGAACUAAGAAGUCAAUUAAUACCCCAUUCAGAUAGAAAAUUGUCCAAUUGAAAAGUAUUUGAAGUCAGGAUGGUUUAAAAAGAAAAGAACAAAAACAUGGAAGUGGUAUAUUUUAAUGCGUGUCAUUAUAUGAGCUAAAGUAUGUUCUAAGCAACUGUUAUGAAAGUCAAAUUAGGGUUUGUUGUACCUAAAUCUCUAGUUGAAGGCGUACCAGUCAGAUCCCGAUCAAGCAGCAGCCAUUGAAGUUUCAUGGUGUUCCCACUGAGCUUCCACGCUUGCUGGGUCAACCUCUCUAUCUGGGGUCAACCUGUGUGAUUUCUCAAACAGUGUCAAAGCAUAACCAGAGAGAAAUGGCAAUGGAAAUACAAAACAGGCUGGUAGAAAAGGGAAAGAAAAGACGGAAACAAAAAAGUCACAAAUCCUUUUAUUGUUAGGUUGAUGACAACAACAAUAGCAUAACAGGCACAACAAUUGCCGAUAAUUCCGCUCAAUGGGAUACAGCUACACCCUCAAGAAAAGUGGGGGUGAUGAAGAAAGAAUACGGUGCCCCUUAAGUAAGGGUGGUGCUAUCUAAACCUUUUUAGGAAGAACCCAUUAAAGUUUGGGUCUCCUCGUGAGAGAUGUUAAUCCAAAUCACCCAAAAAAUGGAAGGGGAAAAUUAUAACCAGGCGAAUUUUCUCAACCCGGACUUCAAAUAAGAGAGGUAUAUGUAAUGACAUGGAUAGUUGCAGAUGCACAAUAUCAUGGGCUAGAUGGCAUUCAGUCCAGCAAACUCUCUCAGCUUCUCCAGGAGGAUAAAGGUGAUUGUAGUCUGCGGACCCAAUCUUGCAAAGGUUGCAAAGCCCCUGCAAAAGAUUUUGAUAUUGUUAGCAAGUGCGAAGGGAGAUUCUCUGCACAAAUUUUGAGUCUGAUUCCUUAUUUUCAUUUGGUUUGUCCAACUGCCCAAGCGGACUAGUGCCAGAUGAUUAACGUUUAAGGCAUAUAACUAGCAUGUAAAAGAGCUCACCCUUUGUAAAGUGCCCUGGGGCCUUCAGUAAGUAUUACCUGAAACAAAACAGUAUUAAUACAUUAUACAAUAAGUCGAGGUGUACAUAUAAAUCUUAAAAGUUUCUUUUAUCUAUAUCUUAAAGUGCUGAAUAUGGCCAAUUUCAGUCUCGGUAGUGUAACUAACAUUUGGUGCAAAACAGCACACACAUCCCCCCUCCUCAUGCGUGCACAGACAGGGAAAAGAAAGAAAACGAAAGACAAAUAUGUGAAGAAAAAAACAUCAGCAAUAUUACACAACCAAUCUGCUCUGCCAAAGAUGAACUAUUACAUAGCCAGCAAGACCUAAUUCAGUGGCCAUUUGCAUAGCGAUUUUUUUUUUUUUAUCAAAUCAGACCAUAGAAACAACAGGAAAGAAGUGGAGAAGUAGCAAAGAAGCAGACAAAGUAGUUUCCAAGAAAAAGUGCAUCAAAUAUUCAAUCAUCCAAAUACACGGAUCAAAUUUUAUACCACCCCAUAUGUAUAAUGGUUAGGAAAGCAAAGCAGAAUAAGGGUCAUGGUUGCAGCUGCAGUGCAGUCAUGAAAUGGUCCAUUCAAUCCACCAGAUUAGCCAAAAGAACAAUGAUCAUGUAAAGGACAAAAACAAUCAUUGAGCGAAAGGAGAGAAGUGCUGCCAAAACAUUGCUUCAGUUCCAACGCUCAACCAAUUUAGGCUGCUAAACCCUUCUUUAAAACUGAUCCUAAGUACAUUAUUCCCUUCCAUAUUAAAAUAGGAGUAUAGGACACCCCCUCAAUAAAAAUCAGAAAAAUGACGAGAGAAUUAAAACUCUGUGAUAACCAAAACAUAAUUCUGUGAAUGUAAACAUUAAAGUUGAAAUUUAGAGAGGAAUAACAAAAACAAAGGUGAUACCUGGUAUGCGCAAUGAAAUCCAUUUUUAUAGUUCCCAGCUACUUUAGAUUCUCGUUGCAACAUGAGACGGGUUUUAAUCAUGUCCAUGGGUGCAGUAAUAAGGGUACUCAAUCCUCCAGCAACUGUGCUUGAGCUUCAUAAGUUAAAAAAAAUACAGUUAGCUAUUGUCCCUGGGAAAUAACAAUGCAAAUGCUAUAACAUAGUUGUUGCAUAAAAAUGUUAUACAAAGGCCUGUCACUACUUCAUACAUGACAAAGAUUUGUUUCACAUCCAUGUCAAAUGUCAAGUCAAGUCAACAGUCAUUGGCUAAGGUUUUUGUGUUUCAGACUACCAACUUCUGUCAUUGAUAUGAAAAGUUCAGGUUCAAAACACUCAAAUUACUAGGCUCGUUUUGCAACAGUCACAGCUCUAAAGAAGAAAAAGAAAUUCGGAGUGGAGUUAUACAUGAGAUGCAGAUGAAAUCCUUCUUCAAGAGGUGUCCACCUCAUUAAAAUCUGCAUCAAACUAAAGUCAAGAAAAGUUUAAUGAAUCCAUACAGGAAAUGGAAAAUAAAAAGAGACUCAUUUUAGAUUACCAAUCAACAAAAAGGCAAACCAUUCAAAAAUCAUUGAAAUUACUUCUGUAUAUUCAAAGUGAAAAUAGCAUGCUUAGAACUUGACCUGCUUGGUUUCAUCAUAUGUUGCUAGCUGUGAUGCAGUCAAAGCACCAGCCCUGACCAUAGCAGGGCCAACUCCCUUCCAAAGAGCUUUUAUUCCCUCUUCUGAUAUAAUUUUGCACAUUUCACCAAUUGCUCCUCUUCUCAAGUUUGACUUCAUCUGCAAGCGCACCUGGAAAAAAGAAAUAUGAUUUCUAAGACAGUUUUAAGAUGAAAAAUCCAAAAAAGCCUGACAUGGUAGUGUAACCUUUAGAACUUCCAUUGGAUUGGUCAGCGCAGUAGCUAGGGCACCAGAGAAUACUCCAGAUGCAAUCUUAAGCAAUAGAUUAGUUGACCCAAAAGCCCACUUGCACACAUAUUUUGAAGGUUCAUACAACCCUAAACGGAGACCUCCAUACAGAACCGACCUUGUCAAUGCUGGCAUCAAUCCCAGAUACAAAGACUUAGGUCCUUCUUUCUUCACCACUUCAACAAAAAUCCGUCCCUGUUCACAUCAAAAGUUGAGAAAACUAACUGCAACUUGAUUCAAUAAACCAUAUUAUCAAAAUAAAAGAUACAUUAAAAAGCUUCAUUCAGUUACCAUUCCAUUCAAGGGACCUCUUCCACCAACAAGUUGCAUCUGCAACCUAACUUUAAGAACAUCUGCAUAUCAAGCAGAGAAAAAUUACAGAACAAUAGAUCCAAUGGUGUAGGAAUUUUCCCUGUAGUACUUUAUUCUUAUAAUAUUUCCUUCAAGAAAGUUUAAGGAUUCACUUCCAGUUCACAUUGCAUAAACAAGCAGGUAACCCAUUCAUCAAGAAUCAUGACCUGUACAUUUCAGCUUCAAAUCCUUAUCAUCAUGUGAUAUGCCAAUUUCUGUCAGUACCCUGAUUCUACCCCCAACUUCCAGAUCUAAUGUACUUAUCCAUUAAUACUCUAGAUAGAUUAUGCUAAGCUGCAACCACAAAGUGAAUCUGGUGAAAAUAUGAAAUAUUUUUCUUGGGGUUGGAUGGUUGACAGACCUAAGCCUAAUUUAUAUGGCUUCAUUAGAUUUUUCAAUAUCUUACAAGUUUAACACCUCUCUUUGUCCUCUGUUGUGGCUUGAGUAACUAGCCAUCAUCCAACCUAAUUCAACUUACAAUAGACAAACUGAAAUUCAUGAUAAGCUAGAUGUGGUACCCAUUUGGUAAUCUGGAUGUGGUAUACAUUUGCCAUUAGCAAAUGUUGUGUAUUACACAGCAACCUCAUACUGUAACUCUCAGGACUUUCUCUACCUAAGAAUUGCAAGCCCAGGGAAGAUUUAAGAUUAUGCAACUUGAGUUGACACUGAGCAAUUGUUUGGAAGCAAUAGUGAUAAUACACACAUCAAGAAUUCACUUAGGAUUUGAUGUUUGAGAUAUGCAAGAAAUUCCACUUUUCUUUCAAAGGCAUCACCAAUUUAUUUGUUCAUUGAUGAUAAAUACAAAAUCAAAUCAAUCUACUGAAAUCACGGAAGAGAAACAACCUAAAGGAUGAGUGAUAGCAGUUGCAGUUGCAACUGAAAUUCCACUAGCACCAAAGUGAUAAACAGCAUUGGAUGGUGACAACGCCCAAUUCCGACUUUUAUUCUCUUUCAUAGAACCUGAAUAUUUCAAUUAUCAGAACUCAAAUUUGCACUCUAAUGAACAAAAACAAUCAUGGAUACAGAUUAUUAAACAGAAUAGAACAUAGAUACAAAAACCAAAAAUCUUUAAUGUUCCGUUUGGUUGCUUAAGAGGCGUCAUAAUGAAACAAACUAUGUUUUCUUUUUAAUGAUCCGAGAAAAUAGAAACCACCAAGCAAAUGUGACUAAUCAACCUACAACUUAACAUGAAACUCCAAAUUUCUCUUUACUUUUCUUGUUCCUCGACUAUUCAGCGACCAAACAAAUGUUAAAGAUUGAAACAAGUUUUCGGAUCUAGCGACUAGUUGCAAGUAUAUUUAAAGCCUAAGAACCUUUUGAAUGUCAUGUUUCGUUUGAUUGCUGAGAAAACUGUAGGCAAAUAAAAGAAGAUACAGUUUUGAACCUCAAAUUUCACGUUAUUUAGGAUUCAACACAAUGACCUCCACUCCAUUGAGUCUAAUCACCAUUAUCAGUUGAGCGUUUGCUUUAUUUCUUUUUUUUCUUUUUCUUUUUCUUUUUUCUCAAAAUAUAUCUUAAAAUUGAAGAUUUAUUCAUUUUUCUUUUCUCAGUGGCCAAACAGAAAGUUAUUUUAGCGAGAAAAUAUGAAGAGAACCUGAAAGUGAAGAUUUCUCCGACCCGCUCUCCAUCUUUGCAUCCCCGCAAGUUUGUUCUCCGAGGAAUCGGUAGCGCACAAUAGUCCGGUUUGCUAACUUGCGCCUUCGGCGUUCGUUGUUUAGCGGUAAACGCCAACAGUGUCGUUGGAAACUAAACCAAACGACAUCGUUUGGGUACUUUUCUUUCAAUUUUAACCUUUUUAAAAAUAAAAAAAUAAAAUGGAAGUAAAAUAAAACAAAACCCCUUCCAAAACAACUAUAUAUAUAUAUAUAUAUAUUUUUUUUUAUAAAUUAAAAAUCAUUCCACUUGAUAAAUAAUAUAUUGAUUAGCAUAAAUAAUAUUAACCAAUUUAAAAAACACUUUAUAAUUAUAAACAUGGAGUGUACAUAUAUAAUAUUAAAAAUUUAUUCUCAUAUUUAAUAUAAAAAAAUCACAAUAGUCUCGUUAAAAUGUGUUCACUUAGUUAAGAUAAAAUCAAGAUAUUCAAAUCAGAUAAAUAAAUUCAUUGUAAUAUUCUAAGUACAAGAAAUAAGUUUCGUAACAUUAUAUCAUAUAAAUACAUUUUAUAGUCGUAAUAACCUAUUGAGUUUGGAACAAGGGUGACAAUGAGACAUGUUUUUUCAAGUAUCCACUUUGCCGUGCUCCUUAUUGGACGAAUUUAAUAUAAAUAUAAGUGGGGUUGAGUAAGUUUGGGAAAAUUUUUAAAACUUGAAUUUGACUUUAUGCUCUUUUGCCCGAUUAUAUAUAAUAUUAAAUAAAAAAAUACUUUAAUUGAUUUUUUUUUUCAUUUUUCAACUUUUAAGAUAUAUAUAAAAUAUUAUUUUUCUUAAAUGUAAAUUAUAAAUAUUUAUAAUAUUUAUUCAUUUAUAAAUUUUAUUUAUUUUUUAAAUGAUUUAAAAAUCCAAAAGUAAAAAAAUUAAAGUAAAAAAAGGUUAAAUAGAGUAAGGAUAUGUAGAUAAUUUCCUACACCUUCGUUGUCCCACCCUACUUGUAACUUUUUACGUUUUUUUGGCAAUAACGAUAAAAAUAUAUAUAAAUAAGAAAGAUUGAUUAGAAUGGGUUAAACCAUGCCAAAUCUGUUACGUGGUCCUCUUUAGAUUAUAAUAAACAAUAUUCACAUAAAAAAAGGGUUAUAAAAAGAUGAUAUCAGAACAAAUGAUUAAUCUUGAUGCGAUACCUUAAGUGAAUGUUCUUUCACAAUCCCACGUGAUAACGAUGACAUUAUGUUUACAUACGAGGUGAUUUUGAUAUUGAUUAUGAGAAAAAGUCCCUAAUAACAUAGUAGUGGGUCAGAUAUGAGUCAUUUAAAAUUGUGUGAAAUAAUUGUGAGAUAAUUAUAAUAAUUGAAAUAAUCUAUAAAAACAAUAUAAAAAUUACAAACACUUUUUAAAUUGAAAAAUAGUAUUAUAUUCAAUUACAACAAACCUUUCAAAUUAUUAAAAAUGUUUAUAUAUAUAUAUAUAUAUAUAUAUAUAUAUAUAUAUAUAUAUAUAUAUAUAUAUAUAUAUAUAUAUUUAAAAAUUAUGAACGCUUUUAAAAUUAAUUUUUAAAAAAUUUUAUAAAUAAUAUCGCGAGAUGCUUUUGAAAAUAGUUUAGGGUUGGAAAAUAUUUUUGAAAGGUCUUUAAAUUAUAAAGGGGGUGUUUGGUACACGAGAAUAGGGAGUGGGAAUAAACAUCUCAUUCAUUUUCUCCCUUAUUCCUAUGUUUGGAUAAAUGUUAAGAAGGCGAAAAUUAAAUAAAAAAUUAUUCCGGGAGAAAUCAAAUCCAACUUAUGAGUCGGAUUUGCAUUCGUUAAAAGUAGGUGGUAUUCUGAUUCAUUAAACCUAUUUGAUAAUAUAAAAUAACCUAAAUUACUAUUUUAUCCUCUUAUCUUGUUCUUCAAACCCGAUGUUUAUCUUAUUUGUAAAGGUAGAGAUCCAUUUAUCAUUCACUUCUUAUCUUUUUUGCAAAGCUAGAGACACACUCAUCAUCCAAUUUUCUGCAACAAGUGAUUCUUCCAAAUUGAAUCAAUUAAACCUUCCACUAUAUAAUUCUAUAACUUUUUUUGCAUGACAAAUUAUUUAAAAUUUUGAUAAAAAAAAACGAAUAUUUAAAUUUUUUUAAGGUUAUGGAUUUUAUCGGAUAUGAUACUUGUUGAAAAUUAGAAUACAUUAGAAUUCUUUUAUUUCCUCUUUUGAAAAUAGGAAAAACAUUUGCUAUCUUUGAGAAUUUAAAUAUUAUAAUAAAUAAUUUUUUUUGAAAAAUAUAAUUUUAUAACUACUUAAGCAUGACAAAUUAUUCAAAAUUUUAAUAAAAAUAAUAAUUGAAUAUUUGUGCAUUAAGGUUAUACGAUUUUUUAUGGUUAAUUUUUUAUUUAUUGAGUACAUAUAUAUAUUUUUUAGUCUUAUUAUUUAAUAACAAAAAACCUCUCAAAUUUUAUUUUUUUAAAAUAAAAGUAAAAAUAAAAAAAUAUUUUAAAUUAUAUGUAAGGAUAUUAUUAUAAAUUUAUUUUUUUUUCAUUUCCAUUCUUAUUAUUAUCAAACAUCGGAAUGAAAACAAAUAAUCAUUUCAAUCUUGCAUUCCUAAGUUCAUCCAAAUGCUAGAAAUGGAAUCAUCAAAUUCAUUCAAUUCCACUGAGAAAUAGGAAAGGAAACAAAAUAUUAUUUUCAUUCCUUAUUCCGACUUACCAAACACCUCCUAGGUGCAAUCCAUUUCCUUGUUAAAAAAAAGAUAGAACGCAGGCAAAAAUUUAUUUUAUCAGCCGUUGAUCGAAAGGACCCGUGCAGCGAUUUUGGCCGUUCGAUUAUGAGACCAAGGUCCUAGGAUUUACAUCAGUAGAGGAGCCUGGAGAGUAAAGAAUGAAGGAUUAACGGGGUGUCCCACUCAAGUUUCGUAGACCUUCUCUCUAACUAGGGUUUCUUUGAUCCGUAUUCAGUUUCGAUUCGAGCCAUCGUAAGUUCAUAAGUUUCUACGCAUUUUAUUAUGGUUUUUCUUUUUCUUUUUCCUGCGUGCUGUUUGGUUGCACAGAAAAUGCAGGAAAGGGAGAAGCAAGUUUUUGAAUAUAGCAUUUUCAUCGUUUGGGAGCCGAGAAAGCGAAACUCUGAAUUCAAUUCGGCUUAGCACAUCUAUUUGGUUUAGUUUAAGCGAUCCUUGGUUUGCCUAAAACCUAAAAACAACACAACACACAACACACAGCAUUCAAAUAUUUAUUUAUUUUUCUUUUGUUUUUCAUCAGUUUUCUCGGCAACCAAAUGGACAGUCGAUGAUUUUGGACAAAAUUGAUGUUGUUGACGGCAAAAGUUAAACUAGGAAUUCGUAAUUGUUUUGUCUAAUUUCGUUGAAAUUGGAUUUUUUGCAGGCCUUUCACGUUGGGUGUAGACAACCAUGCCCCGGUACAAUCCAUAUUUUUCCAUCGAUUCUGAAAGUUUACAUUGAUUGCGUUUUUUCUUGUUUUUUUUAUUGUGUUGUUCUUUGUUUAACAUUUCAGGUAUUACUGUGAUUACUGUGAUACCUACUUGACGCAUGAUUCUGUAAGCUACAUCUUCAUUUCAGCCCCUAUCUAUUUUUACUUUGUUAUUUAUUACCUAGCAGAUUUCUAGAACUGUAUAUAUCUAGUACUUACUAAUUCACAUCUUUCUUAAUCCCUUUUGGAAUAACUGUCUUGAAUCUGAAGUUCAGGAUUUUAUGGACCUAUUGUAUGUUCUUUUUAGUUUUUCUUUGCAUUAUAGUUUUUUACAAUUUCCCAGCGUUUUUUCUUCCCUUUUGGUUAAGGACUAAGGAUUGAGGAUCUAAAGACAGUGUUCUUUCUAUUCAAUACUGAAUAUUGCCUCAUUUUUUCUAGUUUAUGUGACCUUUCUUUGGGGGUUGGGUACUAGGUACAUAUUUUUGGGACUUGCAUAAAGACUAGAUCAUAUUUUUCAGGCUUAGGGCUUAGGCAUAUAGUUGCUGCAUUUGCAGAAAAGCUAUUUAUGCACAAAUUACUUUGAUUUUGUGUUUGUUUGCAUGGAAUUAAUUGGGUUUCAAAAUCAGAAACAAGGGCCCUAAUCAAGUUCCAUAUCAGCUGUAUAUGCAAGUGUAUUUGAAACUAAAAUUGAAUUCCAUAGGCCUUGUGAGGUUAUAUUCUUGAUGCAUAGAAACUACUUAGGAGGAGGAAAAGGGGAAGGAAGGAUGUUGGUUUGAUUCAAUUAUGCCUUUUAGAUUAGUUUUGUGUGAAUUUAUUUGGGUCUUGAUUAGUCAAGAAGUAUCCAAUCAUGCAUACAACAUUAGAUAUACAUGGAAAAUCACUUACAAAGAUUGUCUCAACCUUUGUAGAUGCAAAAACAAGGGGCUGUCAACCACAAUAAAAAUCCUCUAAACCCGAAAGAAUCGUGCAUAGUUUUACCUAGCAUGGAUGCCUCUUACCGCAAUUCUUAUACCGACCAGUAUCAAAACAUAUUCUUCAAAUCUGUGAUGUAGCACCCUCCCAUGCUCUUUGGUGGAUCACCUCAAAACCGUAUUGAGGAGUGGUGGCCCAAAUUCUUGACCUCUACAUUUCCUUCCCAACAAGUUUCAAGAUUUUCUGGUUAAAAUCUUGAUUUCAAGAGUUUAGGAUCAAUGGUGAAGUUAUGAGAAAAUAAUUUUUUUUUCUCUUGGUAUGUCCCCCUUGUUAGGGUUAUGAAAAAUAAUUUUCUUUGUAAGUAUAAACCCUGAUAAAAGAAAAUAGGAAGUCUAAUAAAAUUGGAAAGUGGAAACCAAAGAGAAAACGAUAUUCUAAACUGCCUUGCAUUUUUUAGACCUUUUUUUCUAACAUAAAAUUUAAUUAUUAAUUUUGCCAUUACUUUACCAAAUCCAAAGGUACAUAUUUACCUUAGCUUCUAUUUUUGUGUUUUCAAUUCAAACAUGUUAGUAUAAGAUCCGGUGGUAGUGAAGUAGUCUCAAACUAGUUAUCUUUAGUGCAAAAUUGCCAACCCAAACUAAUACACUAAUGAACCUUGAAUCCAUGCGAAAAAAUUUCUGUAAAAUAAACAUAUUAUUUUGACCCCUCAUGACCUUUUUUAUCCUUUUUCUUUUUGGUUUCUUUUUGUGGUAAUCCAUUAUAGUUCUUUGUCCAUCAGAAGCACUCCAGUAUUGUUGUCUGCCAUAUUGUUGACUACCUUCUUUUCUUCUUUUUGUGUCAUUUCAGCCAUCUGUUAGAAAGCAGCAUAAUGCAGGUUACAAGCACAAGGUAUGUCUUUAUGGACACUCCUGUUGGUGUUUCUUAAUUGUAGUGGAUGCUGUGAAUUUUUGGUUACUGAUGUCCUGACUGUUUGUAUUCCAGGCAAAUGUCAGAUCCUAUUAUCAGCAAUUUGAGGAGCAACAAACCCAAAGUUUGAUUGACCAAAGGAUCAAGGAACAUCUUGGGCAAACUGCAGCAUUCCAGCAAGUUGGUGCUGCUUACAACCAACAUCUAGUUUCUUUCCCAGGAAAUCCUCCAAGGCCUCGUCUUCCUGUUCUUCCGACACCUGGAAUGCCGGUUGCAGGGAGUGCGCCUUUACCCAUGAAUUCACCACUUGUCCCAGGGAUGAGGCCUCCUGUUCUGCCAAGACCAGUUCCUGGUGCACCAGGUAAAUUUUGAUGUUCAUAUGCAGGUUUUUCUGUCCAUUGUUGCCAGUGGUCUCUUUUGCCUAUUGUUUUUGUUAUUGUUUACUGACGAUGAUUCUCAGCCCAAAAUUCAGUUUAUGUUCUAGUGUGAAUGGGUAAUUAUUUAGUCCAUAAACAUAAUAAAAAAUUGGAAUGCAUUCAGUUAUCGGUACUAGUUGGUUUACCCGCUUCAGUUUGAAUCCUUCCAUGUUUGAAAUGCCCAAAGGGGUAGAAGUGAAAAUGUCACAGGAUAUAUUACAUCUUAAGAAAGUGAUGAAUUGCAUAGUACCAUAUAUUGAUCAUGGUUACUGGAGACUCCUCCAGGUGAUUUUGCCUCCCGUAUUUUCUGCUUUCUAAUACCUUACAAAUUCAGGGAAAUCCACUUCCAGAAUAACUUGAUCAGAAAAAGUGAAAUCUUAAUGUUUAUUAUAUAUUUCACAAAUGUAACCACUUAGUUUGACAGUGUAUUAUAUGUUCUUUGAUUGUUUCAAUGGAAGGAAACUUAAAUCUGGAGGCUUGUUUUGUGCCCUUAAAUAACUGUAGUACACUCUGCCCAAAUACACACAAUCUAUCAUGUUUCAGUUAUAAUGUAUUAUGUCUAAGGAAUCUGUCGGUUUUGGCAGGUUAUAUGCCUGCUCCAGGCAUGCCAUCUAUGAUGGCUCCACCAGGUGCUCCUUCCAUGCCUAUGCCCCCAUUAAAUAGUCUUCCAAGGCCUCCAACAAUGAAUGUUCCACCAGCAGUUCCUGGGAGCACAUCAACACCUACUUCUGGUGGUGCCCCCUCUAUGAUGACACAACCAAUGUAUCAGGCCAAUCCAGCUGGACCAACAAGUGGAGGUUUUGACAGUUUCAACAUCAAUGCCCAAGGUCCUGAGGCCAAUCAUUAGUAUUAAACUGGUAAGGUUUGCUUCUGUAUCUGAACAAACAAAGGGAGACUCUAGAAAGAACUCUAUAAUGCUGUAGUUAAGUGAUUUUAAGAGCAUGCUUUGGUCUUGGCUGGGGAAUUGUUCUUAUAGAUAUCUCAUCCGGAAAUUCUGUGAGAAGAUAUGUAGUCAUAUUCGAGAAUACCAACUGAACAACACCUUUUCCUUUUGUCUAGUGAAUGCCAUAGAUAAUGGUUUUAUUCCUUGUCUAAUCUCUGCUAAGUGUGUUAUGCAUCAUGAUUACCACCUUUUUCUCAUAUUUGUACUGUCAGUGGUAUUCAUAUAUGAUUUCUCACAAUAAUACUGUUCUUACAGGCAGCCAGAUGAAACCAGAGACACCACCGGAGGCAACUUCAGCCUUAGAUCUUUGCAAGUUAUUCAGUUAGUGACGGGCAUGAAGAGCUUUUGCUGAACUGAGAGCAUAGUUUUGUAUGAUUCUGUUAGGUUUUUGAUAUCACCGAAUACCUCUAAAACCAAUCUAGCUUCUUCUAGAAAGGGAGCUAGUUUCCUAAACUUUGAAAACAGGGGAUUUGCUCUCUGUCUGAAAUGUACAAUUGGGAACCAAUUUAAAGCAGGUGCACCUGAGUCAAGAUUAUAAGAACAUACUUUUGGCAUGUAUCUCUGUACUGAAGUUAAUUGGAUGGAACUUGACUUGAUUAAUUGAUGUAUUUUAUGUUUUCCUGUGAGGGAGUUGGGGAGUUGGGAGGGGAAUCUAUUUUCAGUUUCUGCUUCUUGCAUUCUAUGAGGUACUGCCUGAAUUAUUUUCAACAGCACCACUGAGAACCUUUAAGAUAAAUGAUACCCGUUGAAUGCAUGGUGAUAGCAGCAAUAUAGCAUGAGGAAGAUUAAAUAUAUUUCUCAGAAUUGAUGGUCCCACUGGGUACAACAGAGGAUAUACAAUUCAUCUUUAUGUGAUAUUGUCAAAAUUAAAUGUCUAAUUUACAAAAUACAGUUUUCAUCAACUGUUCCAACAGUGAGGAUUUUCACAAACCCAGUCUUAAAUUUUUGCCCUGGGACAUUGCUCGCGUUCCUUUUGCAGUUUGGGUUCAUCCGUGGCUCGAUAUGUGGGAAGAGGCGAGGCACAGGAGGAAAAGAAUAGUCACUGCUCAGCUGUAAGUAAAAGGACCAGCAAAGGAAUAUCAACAUGAAACUGGUAUGUAUGCAGGUUCAGACAUGAUGGCUUUUCUGGUCGUCUGGUUGAUCCCCCAGAUUGUCGCUUUUCUGAUUAUAACCUGAAGGAACAGGGGAAGCACUGGCUGCCUAUAAUCUUUUUGGUUUAUUGUGAAACCCACUUUGUGAAAAAAUGCUUGUGUUACUCCUAAAGAGAUUGGAAUCCCUUAUACACAAGUUUAUCUCCUUGUGAUGAAAGAGUAAGAUUCUGAAGGGGUCGCCACCGUCCUAGGUAGUCCUGGGUAUGGAUCAGAAGAGGAGGUGAUGCUAUGAUCACCCUGAUAUGGGUCUUUCCUGUAACAGUGUAAAGCAGUAUAAGUUUAUGUUGGGGUUGUUGCAGAGGGGGUUAAAUCUGGUGGAAAGCCAAGACCCUGAGCUUGAUGCUCCCUUUCACUGAGAAAGAGCGGAUCAAGAUGAGCAGCCUCAUUCUGCACACCUGCCCCGUCAUUUACAGGGGAAGGGUGCCUCGAAGGUGCUUCCAUUCCUUACCCACUUCUGUAAGGAUCUAGAGUGGCAGCAGGAAUGCACAUAUGCUGAUCCUGUGGAAAAGCUGGACUAAGACUCCCUAUGGGUCCUCCACCAUUGUAGUGUUCUCUAAGGAAUUGUCCCGUCUGUGCUUCCCCUGCUAGUAUAGCUGCCGCAGGUGGGGUUUGGAGGACUGGAGCAAGCAGAUGUUCCUGAAAGAAAGAAUGUUCAUUUGGGACAGGCUGAAAUAGCUCCAAGAGUUCUUCUACCUGAAAGGGCCAUGAUGUGAGUCAUGCGACAUUGUCAAAUCAAAUAUUAUGAGGAAACGAUGAUUUUUUUUAGAAACUUUAAAAGUAGCAAAGAAAACGUGUUUCUCACUUGCUGGACGGUUAGCUCAGUUUUGAACUUCUGUUUUUCGUUGUAGUUGUCCAGGAUUGCUUUCCUAAAAACACUUUCAGGUAGUGGAAGGCAGUCCCUGUGAACCUUGAAUCACACCUGCAGAGUGAGGAAUUGUUAAGAGCACACAACACGAACUGCUCCAAUAUGCCAAACAAUCAAAGCCAGAAGAAAGCAAGAGGAGACAAAUAAGGGAUGGACCUGAACAGGAAAGGCUCCAUUAAAAGCAGUUGGUUCAAGUUUUAUUCCACCAGAAGAAGAUGCCUCAUAGAUACCAUACAUAAGCUUGAGAUCAAAAUCAUAAAGAAAAAGCUUCAGACCAGGUUUGAUGCGCAUCACAAGCUUUAGCCUGUUCAGUGGGAGACCCAUGAUUUGAUAGCAGAAACAAUCUGGUUUAGUUUUUGAGUUGCACAUGAAUAUAAUUCCACCAAUGUUUUCCUCAGCCCUUAGAUCAUUUUUGCCUUUUUCUUUUUGAUUUUCACUCUCUUUUGUUGCUCCCUCCAAUAUUCUUCUCAUCCUCAUUUCCUCCCUCAAUCUCCAAUCCAGCUUCUGCAUUUUUGACAAUGUGAUUUGAAGACUUUUUCAUAAUGUUAGAGUUAGGCUUCAAAGACACUGGAGUUUUCUUGUCAACUCGUGAAGGUUUCAAGGAGGAUUCAGCAGUGGUCCAGGAUUUCUUCUUGCUCUCCUGCGCCAUCAUCUUUCCCACUGGUCCACCUUCAGAAGUCAAGUGUAAUACUGCAACAAGCACAUUGUCAAUAAGAUUGAUCCUUUUAUUCUACAAAGAAUGAAGCAAGCAUUCGAACAGCAAGCGUCUUAUUAAAAAAAACAGUAAACAUGAAAAUUAAAUCCAGGAAAGUGACAAAUUGUACUUGGGGAGUAUGGUUGCUGGGGAAGAUGUUGUACGGUGGUUGUGGGGGAAGGAGAUACAACAUCAAGUAAUUUGUAAGGGCUCAACUAACUAUCCUUACUUGGCCAGAAAGCCUGACCUCUUGGCUCCUUAAUAAGGAACAUCCAACUAAUGACAUGCUAUAAUUUUUCCUAGUCUUGAAUGCAAAUUAGAUGUACAGAAUCGAUCCAUCUGAAGGUUCUUUAGAUAUUACAAUAACAAUCUUUUAGAAGCAUUAGGCCUUGAGUCUACAUCACUUCUGGAUCACAUAAUAGUUCCCAAUGCUGUUACAGCAUUCACUUGGCUCCUAAUGCUUGGUAAAAACCUAUCAACAACAGUAGACUUCAAACUCUCUCAGUAUAACAGAGGGAAUCACUUGAUUCACUUUCCUUUCACUUGGUGUUUCAACCAAAACCUUUAACACAAAUAAAUGGCAUAUAAAAAAUAAAUGUUACCUCUAAAGGCAUCACAACCAUCCAAGGUUUUCCAACCAUCUUUUCGCCUCUUAGUUGAUGAAUAGCUUGUCUAAGCUUCUUCCAGCUUUAGCCUUUUAAUCUCCUUCUCAAUAGUAAUCAAUCCAUGUUUAAUGCAAGAAGGGAGUUCCUUACCCAACAAUCUGUCACACGAUAAACUUGGUUAAUGUAGAGUUACUUUUACUCCCAAAAAGUUUGAGACUCUUGCUCAAGUUUCCCAGCAAGUUUUGGCUCAAAAGAUAGUGAAACACCCCAAAAGCAACAAGUUAAAUAGCCUUCCAAUGACUAUAGAACAGAAUACUCAAGGCUCUAUCCAACAAAAGAAUGGUCAACCCUACAACAACCAAAUAACAAAUGUCCUGAUAGCUAGUCCAAGAGCUAUAAAAUGGACAAAAGAACAGUGUCUAGUCUGAGAAUUGAGGUAACUUGGCCCCACUGGAUUGGGUAGACUUGGUGCUUCUGCUCUCGAUCCAGGUUUGGGUUGAUCCCCCUAUAAGCCAGGUCUACCAAACCAGGUAAAGUAUCAGAAAAAGCAUACUUUUAUGCUUCCAAGGGCACUACCUAGGAUCAAAACCUUUGCCUACACCAUUUUGAACACUAAGCUACUCUUAACUAACAAAGGAAAUACAGUAAAAGGACAAAUUAAAUGCAGUAUGACAAAUUAACUAAGCUAAGCAAGCAAACAGAACUUGGGGCUUGUUUGGAAACCGUUCUAAUAACAGUUUUUUGUUUUCUAGAAUAAAAAUUAAUUUUCCCACUUCAAAAAAAUGUUUGGUAAAAUUGGGAUAAAAGCUUUCUUUUUUCUUUUUUUCUUUUUUUCUUUUUUAAAUUUGUUCUGAAAGCAAGAUGAUUUUCAAGAACAAAUUUAGGCGUUUUCAGGUGUUUUUAUGGUGUGUUAUAAGAAUCAAUUGAAAACACAGAAAAUAGGCUAGAAAGUUUUACAUUAUACAUAAGUGCACAAUGCCUUCACUGAACAUAGUUCAAGAAAACUGGUUUUCAUAUUUGAAUUUCUGAACAAAAUUCUGAUCUUGAAAACAACUGAGAAUUGUUAAGAACUAUUCUCAAAAACUAAUUUUGGAUGAUUGUUUUUGAAAACGUUAGUUUCUUCAAUGAACUCCACUAACUAAUCAACCCUUAGGGCCUGCAUCUUGGGUAACCAUCAAAAUUCUUCUAAAAUCAGGCCCCACACUUGGGUAGAGCUUUUGAGGCAAGCAACACAAGCACACUUAGCCUUACACAAGACUUUACAAAGAACUCAUAAAAUUGUCAAUACAUAAUGGACCACUUGACCUUCACAAAACUUUAACAGAAACAAAUAAGAAAGUCAUCUUCCUCUGUCAUUCUAAACAAUAUAAGCUCUUACUUAAUUAUCAAUAGAUUUCUAUUUAGGAGGAGGCCCUAACAAUGGCAUACAAAUACCAUAGCCAAAAGUUCUUCUUUUUUUGGUAGGCAAACAUAAACUGUGACAAAACUCACCCAAAAAAAGUGGGGACACCCUAUGUACACAGGGGUGUUCAAGAGCCACCAAAAAAAGAGCAUAAAUCUCCCUAAAAACCAGCAGACCUAAACUAGCUAUCUACAGUUUGGACUAUCAAUAUCAUCUCCAAGGGGACUUUAGAUCAUUUCCAACAGGAUUUAAUGAAGGUCUACUAUAGCUUUCAUUUGAGUGUUCUUCAACAUUAAAAUUUUGAUCAUUUCACUUUCUCUGGAUACACUAAAAUAAACAUAAAGGAGCCAAUCACCACACCUUCUUUUGCCACUUAUCAAACCUUUCAAAACUUUUAACUGAACAAAAGAUCUUCAACUGAGAAAGAAAAUACUCAUUGCAGUCCAAAAAUAGCCAGAAACAUAUCCCACUACUGUUUUGGAUCUACUGCAGUGACUUUGGAUAUGCUAGGCUGAUUACUUACUAGGUUCACCACAAAGGUUGCACUUGUUAACAUGCAUGCUCCCUCCUUAGGUGCAUAUUUAUGAUUAUGAUUUUCCCUAACACUGUUCCUCACACACAAAAAAGAAAAAAAGAAAAAAAAAAGGUUAUCUCAAAGGGGUACCAAAACCUCAAACUACUUGUGUGGAAAACAAAAUGCUCACCUCAGCACAAGGAAGAAUAAAAGGAUUUCACUUGGAAUCUCCCUUGGUUUUCUCAGGGGUACCAAAACCUCAAACUUCUUGUGUAGGAAACAAAAUCCUCUCCUCAGCACAUCAGGAAGAAUAAAAGCAUUUCACUAGGAAUCUCCCUUUUUUUUUCUCUUUCCAGAGAAAAAAAAGAAAAAAGAAUCCUCUGCUGCUUGAACUCUCAUAGGAUUUGUAAGCUCCAAAAGCUGACAUACUUCCUGUAUUUCUCAACCAUGGUAGUUUCUUUGAAAAUUUAAGGACUAGGCUUAAAAACAUGAGAAAAGUUCCUUUCAAGGAUCACUCCCUGACCCAGUUAUCCAACCAGAAUUUAGUCUAUCUGUUGAAUAUAAUGUAUUUAUAGUAUAUUAUUUUUCCUUGUUAAUAUAGGUGACAUGUAUGGUAGUUAGGACUCCUAGCCUUGUAUAUAUAUAUCUCCAACUGUAAGUAGAAAACAUAUGAAUGAGAAUAAGGUUUUUCUCCUUUCUUUCUCUCUCUCAACAUGGUAUCAGAGCCAAAGGAGAAAACCUAAUUUUUUUUCGGUUUAGCCGUGUAAUCAAUUCCAGCGAACCGUCCAGUGACCGUGUUUCACUCCGGUCCCCUCAUUUUCUUCCCGACCCACUCCGGACAACCUCAUCGCCGUCGGAUCUCCACCACGCCGGCAACCUUUUCCGGCGAAAUUUCCGGUGAACUUUUUCGGCGACGUCUUUUUCCGACACCGACCACACCAAGAGGAGCGCCUGGAGGAGAUCUCCAACUUCUUUAAAAGCAUCGGAGCCAGAAAACCCUCCACGCGCCGGCGCGUGAGGGCGCGUGAGACAUUUUCCGGCAACGCGCCUCCUCCUCCAGCCUUGCCUGACGCCGACCAGCAUCCCUACCUACCUGGUUCUCCCAUCCGAGCCCUGCACGUACCUCUUUUAGGGAUUUUUGUCUCCGUCAGCCCUCCAAACAGCCUUUCCGGCGAAGUUCCGACUACUUUUUCUCCACCCCAAUCCCUGCACGUGCCUUGGGAAGUGUUCUUCUACCCUUCUGGUGGUACCACGUCGCGAUCUGAGGCCGUCUCCCUUUUUCGGUGGUGCCACGCCGCAAUCUGAAGCCGUAUUAGGGCUCUCUUCGAUCCAAAUACGUGAAUAUGACCACCAAAAAUCAGAUCUUUACCUCUGUUAUCUCUGGAUCUCCUAUGAUUACCUCAGAGAAAUUGGUUGGCAGUGAGAAUUAUCGCUCCUGGUCUGCCUCUAUUGAACUUUGGUUUAUGGGUCAAGGAUAUGAGGAUCACUUGGUUACCCAGGAGGCAGAUAUCCCUGAGGUUGACCGCGUACAGUGGAGGAAGAUAGAUGCACAGUUAUGUAGUGUAUUAUGGCAAUCGGUUGAUCCCAGGAUUCUUCUUCAUCUUUAGGCCUAUAAAACUUGUUUUAAAUUUUGGACUCAGGCCAAAGGAUUAUACACGAAUGAUAUCCAGCGUCUUUAUAAGGUGGCUUCUGCUAUUGUCCAUCUCAGCCAACAGGACUUGGAUCUAUCUACUUAUAUUGGUCAGAUUGCCUCUCUUAAGGAGGAGUUCUUGACUGUGAUGCCUCUUACUCCUGAUGUUGGGGCUCAACAAACACAGCUUGACAAGUUCUUCAUGGUCCUUACUCUUAUUGGCCUCCGUCCGGAUCUUGAGUCUAUUCGUGAUCAGAUUCUUGGAAGUUCAUCAGUUCCGUCCUUGGAUGAUGUGUUUGCUCGCCUCCUCCGUAUCUCGUCCACUCAAACUUUGCCAUCUGAUAGCGCUUCAGAUUCUUCUGUGUUAGUUUCUCAAACUACCUCUCGAGGAGGACGCAGUGGUACCCGAGGUAGAGGCCAACGUCCUCAUUGCACCUAUUGCAAUAAACUUGGCCACAUUCGCGAUCGUUGCUAUCAGUUACAUGGAAGACCUCCUCGCACUGCCCAUAUGGCCCAGUCCUCUGAUUCUCCGCUGCCUCAGCCUCCGAGCUCCUCCGCAUCUCAGACAUCUCAGGCUUCUAUUGCCUCUGUUGCCCAGCCUGGUAAUGCCUCUGCCUGCCUUACCCACACAUCUUCUCUUGGACCCUGGAUUCUAGAUUCUGGAGCAUCUGAUCACCUAUCUGGUAAUAAGGAUCUUUUCUCCUCUAUUACUACUACCUCUGAUUUACCUAUUGUUACCUUAGCUAAUGGUUCUCAAACUGUGGCUAAAGGUAUUGGUUUGGCCCUUCCUCUGCCUUCUCUACCUCUCACUUCUGUCCUUUAUACUCCUGAAUGUCCUUUUAAUCUUAUUUUCAUCAGCAAAAUCACUCGUACUCUUAAUUGCUCUAUUACCUUUUUUGAUAAAUUUGUGACCUUGCAGGACCGGAGUACGGGGAAGACGAUUGGCAUAGGACGUGAGUCUCAAGGCCUCUAUCACCUCACCUCAGAUUCAUCUCCUGCAGUUUGCAUUUCCACUGAUGCUCCUCUCCUCAUUCACAAUCGUCUGGGCUACCCUAGUCUCUCCAAGUUCCAGAAGAUGGUUCCUCGUUUUUCCACUUUGUCGUCGCUUCCGUGUGAGUCAUGUCAGCUUGGGAAACAUACUCGUGUCUCGUUCCCAAAGCGUUUGAAUAAUCGGGCAAAGUCUCCUUUUGAGCUUGUCCACACUGAUGUUUGGGGUCCUUGUCGGACUGCGUCUACUUUAGGAUUUCAGUAUUUUGUCACUUUCAUUGAUGACUAUUCUCGAUGUACUUGGUUAUUUUUAAUGAAAAAUCGAGCUGAGUUAUUCUCUAUUUUCCAGAAAUUUUAUACUGAAAUCCAAACCCAGUUCAAUAUUUCUAUUCGUGUGUUACGCAGUGACAAUGCCAGGGAAUAUUUUUCAGCCCAAUUUACUUCGUUUAUGUCUCAUCAUGGAAUUCUUCAUCAGUCUUCUUGUGCUCAUACUCCUCAACAAAAUAGGGUAGUUGAACGCAAGAAUCGACAUCUUGUUGAAACAGCUCGUACUCUCCUCCUCCAUAGUCACGUUCCUUUUCGUUUUUGGGGGGACGCUGUUCUUACCGCUUGUUAUUUGAUUAAUCGUAUGCCCUCCUCUGUCUUACACGAUCAGAUUCCUCACUCCCUUCUCUUCCCUGACCAACCACUUUAUUUCCUUCCUCCUCGUGUCUUUGGUUGUACUUGCUUUGUUCAUAUUCUCACUCCUGGACAGGACAAGCUUUCCGCCAAAGCCAUGAAGUGCCUCUUCUUGGGAUAUUCCAGACUUCAGAAGGGUUAUCGUUGUUAUUCCCUUGAGACUCAUAGAUACUUUAUCUCCGCUGAUGUCACCUUCUUUGAGGACUCACCAUUCUUUUCCACCACUUCUGAGUCUCUUCCUGUUUCUGAAGUUUUGUCCAUUCCCAUUGUCUCCCCACCUGAUGCUAUGCCCCCUCGACCACUUCAGGUUUAUCAUCGUCGCCCUCGUGUCGUUGCUCCUCUCCCUUUUCCUAAGGCACCUGCUGACUCACUUCCUAUCCCUUCGGCUUCACCUGCCCCGGCUCUGUCUUCUCCUAAUGACUUACCCAUUGCUGUUCGGAAAGGUACUCGCUCUACUCGUAAUCCUCAUCCUAUUUACAAUUUUUUGAGUUAUCAUCGCUUAUCUUCACCCUAUUCUGCUUUUGUUUCUGCUAUAUCCUCUGUUUCUCUUCCAAAGAGCACCCAUGAAGCUCUUUCCCAUCCAGGCUGGCGACAGGCAAUGGUGGAUGAAAUGGCUGCUCUGCACUCUAAUGGCACUUGGGAUCUUGUUGUUUUACCCUCUGGUAAAUCUACAGUUGGUUGUCGUUGGGUCUAUGCCGUUUAGGUUGGUCCUGAUGGUAAGGUUGAUCGCCUUAAGGCCCGCUUAGUUGCUAAAGGCUAUACUCAAGUUCAUGGUUCUGAUUAUGGUGACACAUUCUCCCCUGUUGCCAAGAUUGCUUCUGUCCGCUUGCUUCUCUCCAUGGCUGCUAUGUGUUCUUGGCCUCUUUAUCAGUUGGAUAUUAAAAAUGCCUUCCUUCAUGGUGAUCUUGCCGAGGAAGUUUAUAUGGAGCAACCUCCUGGUUUUGUUGCUCAGGGGGAGUCUGGUUUAGUGUGCAGGUUACGCCGUUCUCUAUAUGGCUUGAAACAAUCUCCUCGAGGAUGGUUUAGCCGUUUUAGUUCUGUUGUUCAAGAGUUUGGCAUGCUUCACAGUAUAGCAGACCAUUCAGUUUUUUAUCAUCAUAACUCCUUGGGGCAGUGUAUUUAUCUGGUUGUUUAUGUGGACGACAUCGUCAUUACAGACAGUGAUCAGGAUGGUAUUCAGAAACUAAAGCAACAUCUUUUUACCCACUUUCAGACCAAAGACUUGGGGAAACUCAAGUAUUUCUUGGGAAUUGAGAUAGCUCAAUCCAGUUCUGGUGUGGUCCUUUCCUAAAGGAAGUAUGCUUUAGACAUCCUGGAAGAAACCGGUAUGUUAGACUGUAAACCAGUAGACACACCUAUGGAUCCGAAUGUCAAACUUGUACCAGGACAGGGGGAGCCUUUAGGAGACCCUGGGAGAUAUCGACGGCUCGUAGGUAAAUUGAACUAUCUCACCAUUACUCGUCCAGACAUUUCUUUUCCUGUGAGUGUUGUUAGUCAAUUCCUACAGUCACCAUGUGAUAGCCAUUGGGAUGCCGUAAUCUGUAUUCUUCGAUAUAUCAAAAGUACACCAGGCCAAGGUGUAUUGUACGAGAACAGAGGUCAUACUCAAGUUGUUGGUUACACAGAUGCAGAUUGGGCUAGCUCACCCACAGAUAGACGUUCCACUUCAGGGUACUGUGUUUUUAUUGGAGGUAAUCUAAUAUCUUGGAAGAGUAAGAAACAAGAUGUAGUGGCCAGAUCUAGCGCUGAAGCCGAGUAUUGAGCUAUGGCUUUGGCAACAUGUGAACUCAUAUGGUUGAGACAUCUUCUUCAGGAGUUGAGAUUUGGAAAGGAUGAACAGAUGAAACUCAUCUGUGAUAACCAGGCCGCAUUACAUAUUGCAUCCAAUCCAGUCUUUCAUGAAAGGACCAAGCAUAUUGAAGUCGACUGUCAUUUCAUUAGAGAGAAGAUCGCAUCAGGAUGUGUUGCUACAAGUUUUGUUAAUUCAAAUGAUCAACUAGCAGACAUCUUCACUAAAUCUCUCAGAGGUCCUAGGAUUAAAUAUAUUUGUAACAAGCUUGGUGCAUAUGACAUAUAUGCUCUAGCUUGAGGGGGAGUGUUGAAUAUAAUGUAUUUAUAGUAUAUUAUUUUUCCUUGUUAAUAUAGGUCACAUGUAUGGUAGUUAGGACUCCUAGCCUUGUAUAUAUAUAUCUCCAACUGUAAGUAGAAAACAUAUGAAUGAGAAUAAGGUUUUUCUCCUUUCUCUCUCUCUCUCAACACUAUCUAUCAUUCUUGGCCAAAAUUGAAGUUUUAAGGCUGAAUUCUGCCAAGCAUCUACUAAUUUCUUUCCAUAUCCCCACAUUAAAUGGUCUCUCUCACCUCUGUAAUGCAUCAACCUCCAUCCACCUCUCAACACUUUCCAUGGAUGAUUCUCCUCGACAAGCUAUCAUGCUCAUGAGCAUAUCUCUAGAAUUAUUUGCUUAGCAGAACUUAAUUCAAAUGAUUCAGCCUCCUAAUUCUCAAUCUUCCAUUCUUUUAUCCUUGCAGAUCGUUGCCAAAUUCACAAGAGUGCAUAUUCUUUCCCUUCAAAUGAUUUCCCCAUAAGAAAUCUCUUUGAAUUUUUUCCAGUCUAACCUCACUUUUUCUGGGAACUAAAAAUAAGACAUAAAGUGAACUGGAAGAAUGAAAGGGUGCUCUUGAUGAAAUCUUCCCCAAUUUGAUAAGUAGUGCCUCUCCUAUAGGCUAAUCUUUUUUCAAAUCUUUCUUCCAUUGAAUCCCACAUAUACAAGAUCUAUGAGAUGAUCCCAAAGGUAAUCCAAGAUAUGUAGAGGGAAAACAACCAACCAAGCAUGCCCUCCAGUACCUUGACAACAAGGAUCAAUUCAUUCUCUUGAAGAUUGAUUUUCAGGCUUGAGAACCUUCGUAACAAGAACAAAAGGAUAAAGGAAAAGAGAGUCCCCUUUUCUUAAUUCCCUAAAGCACUAGAAAACUUUGUAUUAUUGAUCAAAACCAAAUUUGCACUCUAGACGUAUAAAAUAGCAUCUAUUUCAACAAUUUUUUCCCCAAAACCCUCAUUUUCCAUGGUUGAAAGGAGAAAGUUCCCAUUCACAUGAACAUAGGUUUUUCUUAUAUUGAGCUUGCUCAGUAUGCUCACCUUAGAGCAUUCUUUCCUUGGUUUAUAGCCUCAUUAGAGAGAUCAAUGCUGCACUAAAAUUUGUCUUCACUCCUCCCAUCAACCAUCCCCUCACAAAAGCAGUUUGGUAACCUAAAUGCUACCUUCCCAAUCACCUCCUCCGCCACAAAAGAAGAGCACUCCUACAUCAGGUCUUCUAAUCUGGGGAUUCUCAAACAGAGACCCAAAAAAGGAGGAAGAAGAAAUCUCACCCUGUAAGUCUUCUUCCUCAAUCAACCACUUCCCAUUCACCUUAAUUAUGAUAAUAGAGUUUCCUAUUCCAUAAGCAUUAGCCCUUUGACAGAAAAUUUUCAUGUUUUGGUCCUCUUCCUUAAGCUACAAGGCCUUAAAUUCUGUUUCCACAAAUUUCUUCCAUGAUGGCUAAAUUGUUAAAUUCUUCCAUGACCAGUCUUUGGUUCUCAUUAUCCUCCUUUGAACAAAAACUCUUCACUUUCUUUAAUGUACCAUCUUCUUAUUUUGUGCAAGGUCAGCUCUCUCCAAAAAGAUACAUUGCCAAAUACCUCAUUGCUCCAUUUUUUUAUGUCCUUUUCCAAGGAUUUUAAAUUUUUUGGCAACCACAUAAUUAUGAUUGCCCAAAUCUCAUAAUUUUGCUACCAAGAUUUGAUCAACUCACCAAAACCGUCCACUUUCAGGUUUCAUCACAUAUUUUCAAAUUCAAAUGGCGUCUUUCCUUUUCUAAUCAGCCCAUAAUCCAAUAAAAGGGACAAAUAAUCUAAUACAGGCCAAAAAAGAGAAAGCAGUCCAGAUGGGAUAUGGAAAGGCCAUCCUGACCUCUUCUCCGAGUAUAACCACCUCCUAAUAAAGGUGGAUCCACCAGCUCAACCUCCACAAUGAAUUUAGAAAAUUCCCUAAUUGAUGAUCAAUGGACUGUUGGCAUCUUAGAUAUAGUAAUAAAAGCAAUACCAAUUUUUCAAAAAAUUGAUCUUUAGGGUUAAAGUACUAACCUUUAGGUUUAGAUGUUCCCAAACCUUAAACUCCAAGUGUUGAAGAAUCAAAUCGAUGUUUUCAAAAGUCUUGUAGACCAGAGAUCUUCCGCCCAAUGACUCUUCCUUGAUCUUGGCACACGUUCGAUGGAGGGAAGAGAGGGUGGAGACUAUGACUCUUUUUCUCUUUGGAACUGGAAGACAACUUUAUGGAAAAAACUAUGAAAACCCUAACCCCUAUGGGGAUAUUUGUAUGGUUCCCCAAUGGGCUUAAGUGACUUGAGUUAAACUAGCCCAAAACGAGUCUUAAUUGAUUAAUUAACCCAACAGGGUAUAUUAAUUAAUCAAUUAGCCUAAUCCAAAAACCUUAUUCACUUAUCCCUAUGCAAUCUUGCGUAAUUAUCAAAAUGCUCUUAUGCACAAAAGUGAACCUAGAGUCAAUCCAACUCUCACAAACUGUGCCAACAAGGUAUAUGAGCUCAAGAGAGGACCACCGGGACCCAUAGGACAGUGUUGGCUCCCUCAUAAUCCAAUUUUAAAGUUAAUUCAAUAUCCCAUUAUAGAGAAUCAAUUGAACUUCAAUACCCUAUGUAAAUAACAAUGAGACACUAAGUGCUCCUAUUCGUGACUUGCUAUUCAUUGCGUUUAGUUUCCCCAUGAACUGGUGUCCAUAGUUUAACAAGGUGAAAACUAUCAGCUUUUCAAGAUUACCUCUAAUAUCCUUGAGUUACAAAUCCUCCUAUUGUGUAACCAUACACACUAGUGACUUACCAUGGGAAACCUAUCCCAAUAGCCAAGACCGGUCAUCCCUCCAAUUAUGAGGUAAUGCACUACAACUUCUAAUGGAUUGCCUAAGUCUAUGAAUCGACUAUGACCGAGUCAUUUACUUGUAAGGAAGCCAUGACUUGGAUCUUUCGUACAACUCCUAAUACACUUAAGUCAUGUACAAUGCAAGAGAUGUUAAGCGAGAAUGCUCAUAAAGAACAAUGCAUGGAAUAAGGAUAAAUAAAAGUAAAACUGGAAUAUCAUUUAAAUAAUAACUUCCAAAUUUAUUAUAUCAUAUCAUGCUUUUAAGGGUUUUAUCCUAACAAGGACUGUCAUUUAUGUUGUAGCUUAGAAAAUGAAUCACAUUGAAAUCCCUUGAAAACACCAAGGCUUGUCCCAAAGGCCUCCGGUUGCAGCCAACUCCUCCCACCUCUCCUCUCCACCCUUGAAUGGGCAAUAAAUCCAUGUGAACAUCUAGGAAAAACCAUCAUUCUUGAAUCAACAAUAAAUGCAAUAAGCCCCUACCUCCAUAUCAAGGCAUUUCAAAACUCUCAAAUCCCAUAAUAAAAAAAUACCUUCUGCUGUCCCCCUAGCAUCCAAAGAACUCCACCCUAAAGUCCAACCAAUUCCUAGGCUCCUAAUCAUCCUGAGAGUCAUAGAACUGGUUUUUGUUUCACGUAAGCAAACGAAACUUGGAUUCUUAGCAAGCAAACAGGAUUUAAUUACUCUCCCUUUAUCUGGAUCAUGAAGACCUCUAACAUUCCAUGAUAUAAUUUGCAUCCUCAUUCAGAAACCUUUUUCCAAAGACCAACCAUCAUCGUCACUGUUAGCCUCCUUUCCUGCUCCUCCAUCAUAUCAUAGAUGACAUUGCUAAUUAUCUUUUGGAUCUUCCCAUCCUUAGUCCUAAAAUUAUUUGAGAUCAUGUGACCCUUUCAUGCUUCAUUCUGCAUUAGGAUUUUCAGAACAUCAAUUCUCAUUCCCUUCUAGAGAAACUCCCAUAUUUCUACAAAAUUAGAGGAACUGCUUAUUUACCAAAGGGUAAAGCUUUCUUCAAGACUCCCUUUCCACUUUCAUAAUGUCCAUAGGUGUAGUGGAAUCCUCCAAAUUGUUGAGAUCCUGAAAGAGCGAAUUUGACAUUUUCUUAAAAAAUGCCUAUCAAAAAAAUAAAAAUUCUGAAAAAGGGUUAUAGAUGAAUUUUGAUUUUUGAUGGAAUUUUCACAGAUUUUAUUUCAGUAGUCUCAGAUGUGAUUGCCAGUUACCCAAACAUGAGCUCCAGCAUUUGCUUUCUUCCUGUUUUAUUCUGCUUGUAUUUCCAUUUAAUGCAAUACACAUUGCAUCAAGAUGCUCGCAAUAGGGAUAUCUAUGAUUUAAAGGGAAAAAACGUACAUGAUACUAGUGGAAUUAUUCACUUCACCAGUCCUUCUCCCUGUGUUGUUUCACUUUUAAUUGCAUUGAGUGCAACAGGUAUAUAUUUCUUUGGUAAGUUACUCAAUGCACAAUAUCUUGGAUUGAGAUGGCUGCAAGGAAUGUCUAUGGGUUCUACACACACACACACACUCUCAUGCAUAUACAAAUAAAGUGGCUGAAGCAUAAACCUGAAUGGGGAACAUGAGGAAAAAGUUGUAGUGGAAUUGAUGUAGUAGUAAUGGUGUGAUGGUGGCAUGAUGUGGUUGGUACUAAUUGGGGAAAAAAAUCAUAGUUGGCCAUAAACAAAGAGCUCUUCAUAAUGGAUGUAUCAUUGGAAAAAAAUAUUAUCAUCCAUUUUGAUCUCAAAAAGUACCAUGGAAAGAGGGAAAAGAAAAUGAAGGACUCUGAAAUUCUCUUUUGAUUGUCAUCCAGAAUGAGAAGGAAAAUGAAAUAUAUUGAUGAUUAUUGAAAAAAUAAAAACCUAAAUUCUUCAUCCUCCACACAAAAAGAGGAAUAAAAAUGGAGAUGGAUUGGAGUACAGACAUUUUGAACUCUUAACUUAUUCUAUAUUUUCCUUUCAUUUUGAACUCCACACAUAAACCAACUGCUCAGUAGCCACUCCUUUCUCUCCCAAAAUUCAGAGACAACUCCAACACCAAUCUUCAAAACCUAUAUCUCUCUCAAAAAUUUCAAAACUCGCUCUAUAGGAUUCUGUAAAUUGGCGACCAAAGUGCAAAGAAAGGAAAAACUCAAAAACCUAUAAAAUUAUCAAUUUCAAAAUAACAUCAAAACAAUCAAAAUAAAAAAAUAUACAUUUCUCAAUAAAUCUACAAUUUCUUCACGACCAGUUCUUUCCAUACAAACAAACACCCCAACCAGAUGAUUCAACCUCCAACAACGCAACACAUAAAUUUAGUCAAGUAUAAAAAAUAGAAAGCCUCGGAAUUCUCAAAAAUUUUCGAUUUCUUGAUUUGGAAACUGACCUGAACAGGUAAACAGCUAACACAGAUUUUGUGAGGAACUCUGAGCUGAUCUCACCUUCUGUCUCCGUUCUCUGCCUUUCCUUACGGGCAAAUGAAAAUGCAUCAAAACGAUGUCGUUUCGUAUACAAUGUUGAUUUUUUCAAAAUUAAGCCGUUAAAAAUAAAUGUUUCAAUUUAAUUCUAAAAUGUACAAAAAAUGGUCAAUGUUGUAAAAUAAUUGCAAUAAAAGACGCAAAUCUAAAAUUAAAUGAAAAUAUAUCGAUGUUUUACACCAUGAUCGACAAAAAAAUAUCAAGACGAGUGAAAGAACACGAAGAAAUUCUAAAUUUUCUAAUUCAAAUUAGUUAAUUUUACAUAAAAAGUAAUAAAUUUGAUAUUUUUCUUUAUGCCCGAAAAGUAAUUAUUUCUUUUUUAUCAUAUUAUUCUUUCUUUAUUUAAAAGCAAAUAUACGAUAAGAGAUAAAAAUAAAGGUCUUGUUUAAUAAUAGAAUUGGUGAUUUUAUUCUUUAUUUAUUUUAAGUGAUUUUUUAUAUUGGUACAUAUUUUCAGGCUAGAUUUGGUUCCAAAAAAUUUGAGGGAAAUAAAAUAGAAAGGUAAAAUAAAAGAAAAGAAAAAACAUAAGAAAAUAAAAAAUAAAUUCAAAAUUAAUAAUUAUUUUUAUAUGUUUUCUAAAAUUUAUUUAACUUAUUUUUCUUUAUUAGAAUAAGAUUAAAUAAUUUUAAUUAUAUUUGAUUUUUAUUUAUAUUUUUCCAUAAUUAAACCUAUGAAAAAAAUCAUUUUAUUUAAUAUUUUUUUUUUAGUACUUUCCGUAAAUCUAAUAUAACCUAAAAAAUAUAGAAGAUAGGUUAAUAACAUUUCACGAGUUUUCAAAUAGAUUUUUUUUUACAAAAUAUCGUAAAACAAUUUUUGUCCAUCAUUUUUUUGCUCACAUUUUGUCAAAAAUAAUCUCAUUUUUUCUUGUAAAAACAUUUUUUUUAAUAAAAAAAAAAAACAUACAUAUAAAUACUUGAAAUAGUCAAAGCAUUUAUGUUAAAAAUUAGUUACUAUUUAUGAAAAUAUAUAUAUAUAUAUAUAUAUAUAUAUAUAUAUAUAUAUAUAUAUAUAUAUAUAUAUAUAUAAAGGUUAAAUUCAUAAAUAUAAUGGUUAUUUUAACCCUUUUAACCAAUUAAUUUUAUUUUAAAACUUAUUUUGAAUAUACUUCCCAAACAAAGCCAAAAUUCCUUGAUGAUUUUUGAACGAUUUUAAGUAACUCAAGCGAGUCCAAAAAUUUCUAAAGAAAAUCUAAAUUAAAACAAAUUUCCAUAAAAAAGGGGGCAUUCCGAGAAUCGAACUCGGGACCUCUCGCACCCAAAGCGAGAAUCAUACCACUAGACCAAAUGCCCACCAUGUUGAUACCUUUUUCAAUAGUUAGAUUCAUCUAACAAUUAUGUUUUUGCGUUAAAAAAAUCCAAAUAUAUAUAAAUAUAUAUAUUUUAAAUCAUAAAUAAAUGACAUGGGAUAUGGAAUGAAAUAAGUCAUGGGUGCAGAUCAAAAUUAAGACAUGCAUGCUUUAAAUGUUUUAAGGUUUUUUAUUUUAAUUUUAAUUUUCUAUUUAUCUAACUGAAAACAUAUUCAUAAUGCGGUAGGGAGGUUAGGAGAUGUUUGGAGCAUUUUUCAAGGGUUUUUUUUUUCAAUUAUUUUAAUGAACGGAAUUUUAUUUUAAAAUUUAAAUAUGAAAAAUAGUUUUCUUUUAUUUUUUAUAAAGGUGUUAUACACUUAUGCUACAGAAUUAAAGUUUUCUCUAUAUUUUCUAUUGUUUAAGAUACUUAAAAAAAUUGAAAAUAUAUCAUUAAAUAAAAAACAAAACUAUUUUCGAAACAAAAUUUCAAAAAAUGGUUUGAUAUUAAAAGUUUGUUGUUUGGAUGAAUGAACUUCAAGGACAAAAAGGUUAUUUAAAAGCCAUGACAAAUGUAUUCUAUAUUAACAUAUUUUUUCAUUAAAAAAAAUUAAAUUUUAGAUGUUUCCAGUUCAUCCAUUAAAAUUUUCUAAAUUUUAAUUAAAACCCGUUUAAUAACUAUUUUUUAAAACAGUUCAAAGAAAUAAUUUAUGAGUGAGAACUAUUCUCUAUUGUCAUAUAGAACAAAAAUUUGCUUAGUUUGUUUUUAAUAUUUUUAAAAAUAAAUUUUAUAUUUUAUGCUUUAUUUUUAAAAAAUAAUUAAAUUAUAUUAUUUAAAAAUAUCAUAUUUUUUAUUUUUAAAAAUAAAAAAAUAAAAAACAAUUUUCUUUAUUAUUAUUAUUAAACGUGUUUUCUUGUUUUUUAUUAUGAAAAGUAGAAAAACAUUUUAAAAAAUAGUUAUCACAUAUGAUCUAAAAUUUCUUUACUAUUAUGUUCCUUAAUUUAAUUAUCCAAUUUUAAUAAAAUAAUAAAUAAAUAAAAUAUAUAUAAACAUCAUCCCACAAGAGAAUGAUUAAUAUUAAUCAAAAUUGAAGAUCAAUUUCCCAGUGUACUAACACUUCUAUAGCAUCAAUUCAGCCAAUCUCAUAAGUCUUUUAUUAGACUAAUAAUAGUAAAAAUAAUUUGCUUAAAGAAAAAAUCAAAACGAAAUGAAUGAAUUUGUGUGAAGUUAAAAUUAAAAUAUAUUUAAUUAAAAGGAUAAAUAAUAUCAUAUUUGAGAAAAUAAUUUUUUGGAAAUUGCAUAUAUAAUCACAAUUUGACUUUUUAUCAAAAUGAAAAAUUUAAAGAUAUUUAUGUUAAAAUAUAUAUAUAUAUUUUGUCUUCACGAAAAGGGAUCGGGUUUUUAGCAAGACACGAAAUUUAUCGUCAAAUAUUCAAAUAUGAUUCCAUAAGAUGAGAACAUUCUUCCGAAUUUAGUUGAGUUUUGAACGACAGUACCCGCUAAUUAACUUUCACAGUGGGCCAGUGGAUACUCUCCUAAAAAAUCGACCUAGAGACCUAGAAAAUCAACAGAGCUAUCCCUCUCAACUUCCUCUGUGGGUAUAAAAUAACCUCCUAAGGUAUUCUCUUACUGUUAUUGAUCUUGUAUAUUUUCCAGUUUCCACCUUCCCUACAGGUUCAAUCUUCUGCCACCAUGGAUUCUCUUCCACCAUCCAAACGUAGAAGAAUAAUGGGGUGGGUGUUUUGUUCUUUGAUUUUAUGGCUUCACUACUUCACUGAUCGAUCAUAUUUACCUUAUAUAUUUUUUUGGUGUUUGAACUCGUAUUUUUUGUCAUGGGCUAGCAUGAAAUAGAAUAUGUAACCAUUUUCUGGACAAUAUAUACCUUCUUAAUUGAUUUAUAUGAUAAAAAGCUAUUUUUAGUAGAGAUAAUUUGUAAAUCUCUUAGGUUAUGAAUGAAAAAAGUUGUAAGACAAUGGUGGGCAUGUAAAAACUAUAUAUGAGAAAUAGUGAGAGCCAUCCCGCUUGCCUUUUUUAUGGUUUCAACUUUCAAGUGGAGUGACAUAUGAGUUAAUAAUAUGCAAUAGUUGUAUUUAUUUAUUUUUACUUUUAGUAAUAUUAUUUUUUAAAAAAAACUUAAACUAGCAGGAUUUGAGUUAAAUAUGUGUGGAAGGGUCUAUACUUGUACAUGAAAAGAUACACAUACUGCAAGUUAAGGGAGAGUUACAUAGAUAAAAAACUGCAAAUUGAGCAAAUUAGGGGAGAGAUACAUAGACAAAGAACGAUAAAUUGGGGAAGAAGAGAAAUCAUGGAGAGAUACACACUCCAAGUUGGUGAAGAAAAACAUAGGGAAAGAGCUGCAAAGCGGGCAAAUUGGGAGAAGAUCAAACAAUUGCAAAUUGAGUAAGAGGAAAAACAAAUAUGCAAAUUGUGAAGAGACAACUCAAAAAUAUAAAAAAUAUGACCUGCUGUCAAACCAGAUUUUGAUACCAUAUUAAACUGCCAAUUUUCAUAAUAACUGAAGUUUGUAGGAUUUAGGUUCAAUAUACCUAUUAUGUUCUCUUUAAAAUUAAAAUGUUCGAUAACUUUUCUAUGAUUUUGUUUUAUUCUUAUGUUUGAAUUUUUGUUUUUAUAAGUAGCUUGUCAAUGGACACAUCGUACCUUAUUUUCUAUCAAAAUUUAUGGCAUGGAAGUAGUAUUUUCUAAGCUUGAACUAAUAGAAAUAAAACGUUUAAAUUAGAUAUGUACCUAGGCAAAGAACUGCAAAUUGGGCAAAUUAGGGGAGAGAUACAUGGACAAAGAACACUGCAAAUUGGCGAAGGGGAGAAACAAAUGUGAAAAACAAAUAUGAAAAUUACAAAAAGACGACUCAAAAGUAUAACCUUUCAUUGAACCAAACGAAAGACCACUAAAAAUUAUAACCUCUCAUUGAACCAAACUGUGAUAUCAUGUUAAAUUAUUAAUUUUUCUAAUAACUUAAUCUUAUAAGAUUUAGGUUUUAUAUGCAUAUCAUACUCUCUUCUAACGGUUAAAAUGUCAUAUAAUGUUUCUAUGAUUUUGUUUUAUCCUGGUGUUUAUGUAUUUAACUUGUCAAUGGACACAUUGUACCUUAUUUUCUAUCAAAAUUUUCGGCAUGGAAGUAGUGCUAGCUUUCUAAGCUUGAACUAAUGGAAAUAAAAUGUUUUAAUCAGAGAUGUAUCUAGAAGUGUCAGCAUUAGCAUUUACAGAAGCAAAAUACUAUGUGUUUAGUCCCUUAAUCAAAUAAGGUCUUCAUCUAUUUAUAAGCACUAAGAAAACUCUCAGGAAGAGUUACUUAGUUCUCUAUAAGUCUCUAGAAUUCCUUAUACAAAUUCAUUCUAUGUACAAGAAAAAUAGUGGAACUCUUUAAAAAUCUCCACACUACUCUAUCUUCUUCCAUCUAUGUAUAGAGAUGUUUGGAUGUAUUUAACUUUCUCUAGAAUUCUUUACGCUUCUCUAUUUGUAGAGAUGUGUCCAAAAGCUUCUUGUUUUUUAUAAAAGAACAAGUGAGGGUGACACUUUGCUCUUAAAUGAAUGGACACAAUUAGUAGACAAAUUAUAAAUUUCUUCGUGUUAUCUAAAAGAUGAGAGUUAACCAUUACUGUAAAGAUUUGCUUCCAACCGUGUAGAUAUUAUUUAACCACUUCUCCUACUCCAACCAACACAAAUGUUUUCACUCUAAUAGUUGCAAUAUAAGAUACUUAAUAGAAAUCAAAGAACAUGCAUAAUAGUAGAGUUUCAAGUAGUGAAGAGAAUACUCGUACUAUUGCAAUAUAAAUAAGUACCUCUCGGUGCAUCCUCUAUAGUAGUUAUUGCAACUUCACAAUCUAUAAUAUAACCAACCAGCUUCCAGUCGGUGGUCCUUGUUAUAAUAGUGUUUAAAACUCCAAUGGACUGAUAAACAUAACACAACAAUUUAAGAAGCUUAUAUAUGUUAUUAUCAUAUUCCAAAAUCAUCAUUUUCAAAAAGUAAAUAUGAAUUUUUUUGUGUUAAAACAUAAAAGCUUUAAUUGACUGAUUGACCAAUGUUCAAUGUCUGAAUCUCCAUACCUCAUCAUAUUCAAUUGAUUUGUAUAUUAUACACAUUCUGUCAAAUUCCCAAGUGGAUAUAUGUUAUGGACAUGACAAGGUUGAAUAGAAUCUGGGUUUGGUUUUGAGUUAAAAGUUAAAAAUGUUUCCAAACCUUAGCGUAUGUGGAGAUAUGGCUUCCAAACAUAACUGUUAUGGAGAGGAAAAAUUAUGAGAAGAAGAUGAACAUCUAAAAAUUAUAUCAAGUGGACAGACAUAUGAUGAAAGGUAAAAAACAUCCGACAUUGAUUGAGUGGGACCUGGGAUUGAAUGAGUGAGACAUUUCUGCAAUAUAAGGAAGAAGUAAGAGACAUUUGACACUUGAGUGAGACAUUUUUGUAUUUAUUUUUUUUACUCUUAUCUAUAUAUAUAUAUAUAAAGCUUAAACUUGCAGGAUUUAGGUUCAAUAUGUGAGGAAGGGUUCAUACUUGUAUGUGAAAAGAUGUACAUACUGCAAGUUAAGGGAGAGAUACAUAGAUAAAGAACUGCAAAUUGAGCAAAUUAGGGGAGAGAUACAUAGACAAAUAAUGACAAAUUGGGGAAGAAGAGAAAUCAUGGAGAGAUACACACUCUAAGUUGGGGAAGAAAAAUAUAGGGAAAGAGUAGCAAAGUGGACAAAUUGGGGGAAGAUAGAUAGGCAAAUAACUGCAAAUUGAGUAAGAGGAAAAACAAAUAUGCAAAUUGUGAAGAGAAGACUCAAAAAUAUAAAAAAUAUGACCUGCUGCCAAACUAGAUUUUGAUACCAUAUUAAAUUGCCAAUUUUCAUAAUAACUGAAGUUUGUAGGAUUUAGGUUCAAUAUACAUAUUAUGUUCUCUUUAAAAUUAAAAUGUUCGAUAACUUUUCUAUGAUUUUGUUUUAUUCUUGUGUUUGAAUUUUUGUUUUUAUAAGUAGCUUGUCAAUGGACACAUCGUACCUUAUUUUCUAUCAAAAUUUAUGGCAUGGAAGUAUAUUUUCUAAGCUUGAAUUAAUAGAAAUAAAAUGUUUAAAUCAGAGAUUUACCUAGGCAAAGAACUGCAAAUUGGGGAAGGGGAGAAACAAAUGUGAAACCAAAUAUGAAAAUUACGAAAAGACGACUCAAAGUAUAACCUCUCAUCGAAUCAAACUGUGAUAUCAUGUUAAAUUAUUAAUUUUUCUUAUAACUUAAUCUUAUAAAAUUUGGGUUUUAUAUGCAUAUCGUACUCUCUUUAACUGCUAAAAUGUAAUAUAAUGUUUCUAUGAUUUUGUUUUAGGUGUUUAUGUAUUUAACUUGUCAAUGGACACACUGGACCCCAUUUUCUAUCAAAAUUUCUGCCUUGGAAGUAGUGCUUUCUAAGCUUGAACUAACGGAAAUAAAACGUUUUAAUCAGAGAUGCUAGAAGUGUCAGCAUCAGCAUUUACAGAAGCAAAGAGGCCAGACCAUGGUCUGAUCUUCCUUCAGACCUCUUGACCCUAAUCGCCCUCCGCCUAACCAUAAUCGAGCUUCUCUGCUUCCGCAGAAUCUGCAAACACUGGUAUGCUGCUUCCUUGACUGCUUCAGCUCAAAUCGAGUCUGCACCAAAUCAAAAACCGUGGCUACUCCUCCGUGGGAAUGGUUCAAAAUGCCUCCUAUACAAAGAAUCAAUAGGACACUACUACCUUGACAUUCCAGAAAUGAGUGGCGCCACCUGCAUUGCCUCCUACCAAGGCUGGCUUCUUCUCUUCAGAGCAGCCUCAAUCUUCUUCCUCUGCCCCUUCUCCUCCGCCAAAAUAGCACUCCCCCACUUCCUUCACCCCCAACUCUCUGAUCACGUCGCCGCCUUCUCAUCUCCACCCACUUCUCCAGACUGCAUCGUCUCUGUCAUCGGCCGAAGCGAUGCCAUGAACUUGGAGCUGCAUUUGCUUCAUCGUGGAGACAAAAAAUGGACCAAGUAUACGUUGAUGUAUCACAUUAAUCACUUCAAAACCAUUACUUGCGCCACUUAUCAUAAUGGAGACUUCUACUACCUGGACACGGGUACUGGGGCUUUAACGUUUAAUGUGAAGAACAAGAGCGGAACCAGGUACCAGGUGAUAAGGGCGAAGAAGGGAGGAAACUGGUUGGGUAGUGAGCGGUGUCUGCCAUUUUCGCCGUGUAGGGAUUAUUUUGAGCAGAAUAAGAUGAAGAAACUGUUGGGAUUGACGGAAAAUGUGUCGAUUAGUACUUGUGGGACACUGGUGGAGCUUGAUGAUUUGAACUGCUUUAUUAGGAACGAGAGCAUCCAGAGCAGCCAAAAAUCUGAGGACUGCAUCAAGCUUAGAGGCAUAUGGAUUCAUCCUCGAUUUUUUCAAAUCCCUUGUGAUCAGAGAUGGUAGUUUUGGGGACUCACGCACAUUUUUCAGAACUUUGUAUUAAGGGAAGGAAGUAAAUGAUAGGAAGCAGAAAGGACAAAGUUUGUCCGAUGGGCUCUUUUUCAUCUACCAUACUUUUCUAGUCAAUGCUCAUGAUUUAAGAUUUUCAUUAUUUCUUUCUUUCUAUAGUUCAUAAUACAUUCUUGUAUACAUUUCUAAAAAGAAAUAAUAAGACCCAUUAUUUUCAUUGCUAAAUUAUCAAAUUCUUCACUUAGAACCAUAUAUGCUUUUUAAAACUAUUUUCUGUUUUUGUUUUUAAAUAUAAUAAACAAGAUUUCAAUUGUUUUAUAAGGGUUGUUUAAAAAAUAAUUAUAUAAAUAUGAUUUUCAAUGAAUCUUUUAAUUGAUUUAAGUUGCUUUCAAUUGGUUUUUUAAUAAUCAUUUAAAAAAAUAAUUAUAUAAAUAUGAAGAAUGAUUUAAAAUAAAAUAAUAACAUAUAAAAUUAUUUUUAAAACAUAUUUUUAAAAAUAAAAAUUAUAUUAAAAACAUUUCAGGUUCGAAAAUAGAAUUUUGUUUUACAAAACAUAAAAUAGUUUUCAAAAAUAAUUCCCAAGCUUAAGUGAUUAUUUAUUUGAAUAAAUACUUGUUUAUUUUCUUUCUUAUAUUCUCACUUGAAGAUAUUGGUUUAUUUAGAUAGCAUUUUGUUCUUUUAACUUUAAUUAUUGACUAGAGAAAAAAAAAAGAAAAAAAAAAUUCCUUGCUUUGCAAAGUGGUACUUCAACACCAAACAUAACAAUCAAUACUCAUUAAAAUACGUCAUUUUUUUUAAUCUUUUAUCAUUGAAAAUCGAAUAAAUUUUUUUGAAUAUAUAAUUAAAUAGAAGUUUAAAUAUUAAAAAAUACACUUAAAAUUAAAAUUUGAUAGUUUUUAUUGAAUAUAUAAUUAAAUAGAAGUUUAAAUAUUAAAAUGAUGAUGGAAGAAAAAAAGAUAUCUUAUGAGAUAAGUAACCAUUAUAAUUAUCGACUAAAGAAGAUAACAUACAAUUUAAUAUUAUUUAUAUUCAUAAUUUGAAAUUUUUAUAACACUUACUAUUAACAUUUUACAAAAUAAAAUUUUCUAAGAAUACAUUAAAAUUAAGAAGAUUACACUAUUUAAAAAUUAAUAAAUUAAGUCUUAAAAAUUAUUUACAUAAAUAAUGUUAGAUGAUAAUUCAUAAAAAAUGAAUAUAUAUAUAUAUAUAUAUAUAAGAAAGAAAGGAAGAUAAGUGUACCUAAGAGAUGAGUUUUAUGUUUGGCUAAGAUUUUCUAAAACAUGGUUCUUUGAGUUUUACCUUGUAAUUUUAAUUAUCCAAAAAGAAUUGAAAUACGGCUAUAAAUAUCUCAAUUUGAAAAACUGAUAGAAGAAUGAGAUAUAGGAAAAUAUGAAGAUAGAAAAAGAUAAAUAAAAAUAUGUAUUGAAAGCCAAUAAUUAUGCUUUUACAUAGUUAGUUUUUAAUUUGGUUUUAAAUUUAAUUACGAGAUCUUCUAAUAAGAAAUGUUGUGGAUAUCACUUGACAAAAUGCUAUUGAACACUUGAUUACAGAAGAUUGUGAUUAGUAGCCAAUUAAUUGGAAGCUGAAGUCAUCAUUAAGCCAAAGUCAUCAUUCUUAUAUGAUAUUAUAAUUUUUUUAAUAAAUAUAAGACAAUUUCUUUUGAAUACAAAUGAUAGCUCAUCUUUUACAACCUUAUAAAGGUAGAUUCCAUAUGUAUUUACCAUAGUAGAAUUAAUGUUCAACAAAUACAAAUAGAUCUAUUCAAACAAGUAUUACCAUAUGUUACAUUGAAAAAUUUUAGACACGAUAUUGAAAUGCAAUGAAAAUUUAAAAAUAUUAAAGUUGAAGCACUAAAGCAUAAUAUUAAAGUAUUCUACCAUAGAUAUUAGUUCACUCUAUUAUUUUUUCUUUUAUCUAUGUUGUACAAAUCAUUUAAAGAAUAUUACUUAAGAGAGUUUGGACGAAUGAAACUUAUAUUGCACAAUUAUACUACGUGUUUAGUCCCUUAAUCAAAUAAGAUCAUCAUCUAUUUAUAAGCACUAAGGAAACUCUCAGGAAGAGUUACUUACAUCUCUACAAGUCUUUAGAAUUUCUUAUACAAAUUCAUUCUAUGUACAAGAAAAGUAGUGGAACUUUUUAAAAAUCUCCACACUACUCUAUCUUCUCACAUCUAUGUACAGAGAUGUUUGGAUGUUUUUAAACUUCUCUAGAAUUCUUUACGCUUGUCUAUUUGUAGAGAUGUGUCCAAAAGCUUCUUGUUCUUUAUAAAAGAACAAGUGAGGGUGACACUUUGCUCUCAAAUGAAUGGACACAAUCGGUAUACAAAUUAUAAAUUUCUUCGUGUCAUUUAAAAGAUGAGAGUUAACCAUUACUAUAAAAAUCCGCUUCCAACUGUGUAGAUAUUAUUUAACCACUUCUACUCCAAUCAACAUAAAUGUUUUCACCCUAAUAGUUGCAAUAUAAGAUACUUCCCCAUUGGUGACUUGUUUUUCUCUUUACUCCAUAUUGAUAACAGAAAUCAAAGAACAUGCAUAAUAGUAGAGUUUCAAGUAGUGAAGAAAAUACUCUUACUAUUGCAAUAUAAAUCAGUACCUCUCGGUGCCUCCUGGUUGCUUCCAGUCUGUGGUCCUUGUUAUAAUAGUUUAAAACUCCUAAGGACUGAUAAACAAAACACAACAAUUUAAGAAGCUUAUAUAUAUGUCAUUAUCAGAUUCCAAGAACAUCAUUUACAGAAAGUAAAUAUGAUUUUUUUUUGUGUUAAAACAUAAAAGCUUUAAUUGACUGAUUGACCAAUGUUCAAUGUCCGAAUCUCCAUACCUCAUCAUAUUCAAUUGAUUUGUACAUUAUACACAUUUUGUCAAAUUCUUAAUUGGAUAUAUGAGGAGAUAUGGACAUGACAAGGUUGAAUAGAAUCCAGGUUUGGUUUUGAGUUAAAAGUUAAAAAUGUUUCCAGACCUUAGCGUAUGUGGAGAUAUAUGGCUUCCAAACAUAACUGUUAUGGAGGGGAAAAGUUUUGAGAAGAAGAUGAACAUCUAAAAACUAUAUUGAGUGGACAGAGAUAUGAUGAAAGGCAAAAAAACAUCCUUGACAUUGAUUGAGACACCAAUUGAGUGAGACAUUCCUGAGAUAUGGGGAAGAAGUAAGAGCCAUCUGACACCUGAGUGAGAUAUGUUAAGGAGCAUGAUAUGCAUUAUGAGCCCAAAUUUUAUAAGCUUAAGCUUUUAAGAAAAUUCAUAAUUCAACAUGCUAUUAGAACUUGGUUUGACAUGAGGUCAUGGAUUCGAGUCACCUCUCCACAAUUUGCAUGUUCAUUUCCCAAUUUGUUUCUCCUUUCCCCCAAUUUGCAGUUCUUUGUUUGUGUUUGCUCUCCAUGUGAGGGUGAGCCCAAAUCACUCCUAAGUUCUCCAGCAAAAUGGACUAAUUUUACUAAAAAAUUUCAAGCGUUAGUAAUUUUCUUAUCAUAAAAAAAUAGAAGUUACAAAGAGCAUUGAAUUCUUAGUGUUCACAAAGGACAGUACAGUUAUUGCACAUAAAGAGAACCAACAAUAAAAAAGAUACCAGAAUCAGAAAAAGAAAAGAAAAGUCUCUCCAGUUAAAUAUCAGAGGAGCUUUAGGCUUACUUAGUCAAACAACUAAUCCUGUUCAAUCCGUUGGGCAAUUAGAUCAACUGCUGCAUUUGCUGAUGAGAAAGCUCCAUGGAAGCUUUCUUGAUAGGAAAUGGAUUCCAAUUCUCUGGCCAUCUUCAACAGAAUCUCACCCAGAUCAGUUUGUUUCUCUACUAAACUUCUGUAGUAUGAGUUGGCAGCAACCCUGCUGAUUUCAAUGUUGGUUGCCUCAGGACAGUACUCAUCAUCCAACCACUUAUGCAGAGUAACUCUAAGCCACUCUGAUUCCUGCCACCAAUGGUAGAAAUCACAUAGUUCAUUGCAGGUACAGAAUAAAAACUAUAAAUGAGGUUCAUAGAACUCAAGUUUCCUCAUAAACACAUACAGGAAUGGAACAAAAAGAUUUGUGUUGUGUUAGCGGAAGCUUUGAUACCAAGAGUCUUAGAUCAAGAACACAAAGAUAAAACAAUCACACAUACGGUACACAAGGUUUUAACGUGAUUCGACCAAUCAUGCCUACAUACACGGAUGAAAGAAAAUCUUUCCACUAAACAAUAGAGAAUAUUACAAAUGAUAGAAUCGGAUACAACCGAGAUAUCCCCUCCCUCGUUCCACCGGAUAUCUCAUUCUCCCUCAUAUCUCUAUUCACCUAGUAUAUUCUCUGUAGGCCCAUCUCCAUCUCAUGACUUUUUCCCCUCAUAACCUAUAAUAUUUAUAGAGAUAUUUUCAACAACUUUCUUUAGAAAGUCUAAUACUAUAAUCAUAUAUCGACUUAUAAAAUAUUUUAGAAUUUGCGACACUUCCCAACAAUUUGAAUACUAAAAAAAAAUCAAGCAGUUCAAAUGGAAACCAGGCGUGUGACAGCCUGAACUCUAAGGCUAGGAUUCAGCCAUUUCAGCUUGUUUGUUCACAUUCCUAUCAAUUGUGAUAUCACACACCAAAUAUGGGAAACGUACUUUAAAGCCAUGAAGGCACUUUGGAACAAGAUGGACAAUAUCUAUGCUAUCUGGAGCUGUAAUUCCGACAGCUCACAUGAUGGAAAAGUAGAAGCAAUAUUGAGUUGGAACCCCUUUCCCGUUCAGGUGAAAGGACACAAUUUUGCAGAAAGUAUUGUAUUAGGAGACUGAUCAAAAGGAAAUCAACCCAAAUUACAAACCCCCACAGCUCAAUUCACAAUAUAUCUUCACGUUCUAAAAUUGCCGGAUGAAACUGAACCAGAAACCCAAUUCUCCUCUACAUUUCGGCAUUUCCCAUAUACAAAUGAUUCUAUCCAUAAGGGGUUUCAAUAUCAUCACUUGAUAUCCAUAAGCUCAAAGAACUCCAACAAGAAUUGUUCGAUUACAUAGAAUUACCUUAUGAAUUCUCAAGAUUAAAACAUCCAUAGAACUAGAAUUAUACCUCCAAGGCCUUGGAAGGAUUCAACCAAUGGUCUGGCACCCUCAAGUCUUGAACUAGGGUUUCUUCAUCUCCUUCUUCGUAGCUUUGUGGGUCUGAAGAAGACUGAGAUCUUGGGACGGAUCGGUUUCGGAGAUGACCUUUCAGAGGGGGUGUUGGCUGAGAAUUGACCUUAAAAUUAAGGGCUGAUGUCCCAAUUGUAAGGGCACUAUGAAGCUUUGAGAAUUGAAGAUCGUUGGAAUUUGGGAUUGUUGUUCUUGUGUGAAAAAAUAGUGAAGACAGCAUGGCUUGGAAUUUUGAAUUGCUUUUUUUUUUUUAAUAAAAAAAAAAAAAAGGGUUCUUUCGUGAUUUUCUCGAGAAAGUUGAGUGGGAAAAUAGGUAAUGGCGGGAAAGCGAACGGAAAAUUCAGAUUUAGAUAUUAUCCGUUGGACUCAUGCAAUGUUUUGGAUAAGGGUCCAACACAGCACAAAUAAAGCGAUGUCGUUUUACCUUUACUGUCACAAACCACGAAAACGACAUCGUUUAUUAUUUCAACGGUAUCACAAAAGAAAAAUAAAAAGAAAAUGACUUAUUGGAUGAUCUCCUAAGAAACAUGAUAAUUUUUUUUUAUCAAAUUUUAGGAGAAUUUGACUUCAAAACAACCCCGAAUUCAAACAGAUAAGAGAAAAUUUCAAAUAUCACAUAUGCCUACAUGACACAUCAUGCUUAUGAAAUCAUUGAAAUGGAAACAAAAAAUCAACCCAUUUCCCAAACAUAAUUUAGAAAUUUGCCGUUUACAAAGAAGAAACACAACAACAUAGCUGUUCAAGCUCUCAACAAAGAGACCACAAACUCAAACAAGAUCACACAUAUUGUAUGUAAAAGAAAAAUAUAUAUGAAACAGAAGAUGAAAGCAGAAAGCAGUGAUCAUGAGGGUGUAGCUGAAUUCAGUCUCUCAGUCUCUUCCUUUGGACAUAUGAAGAUCCUCUGCACCAUAGACCGGAAUUCCCUGCAUUUAUAACAAUAAUAACAUCACCAAGUUAGCAGGAGUGUUCAAGCAUUGAUACAUCAAGAAAUAUGUUCAGAAUUGUUGUGUUUGAAUUGGUACUGAACUGCCAUGGGUAAUCUCCGAGCAGCAUCAUGUCACCCUCAUCAUCUGUGUAUGUUACAUGCCACCUGCAGCUGCCAUCCAUCAAACUUCCUCCGAAAUCAAACAUCUGGUCAAGCUCGAUGAUGAGCUCAUCAUACCCGUCAAAGCGUGCAAGAUCAAUUGAUCUUCCAAGGGCAGUUCCAUACUUGAGUACCUGAAAGAGAACCCGGAUAUAUGUCUUAAGAUUAGCUUUUCCAUUAGCAAACAGUCCAUCAAUCGUUAUGAAGAGAAACAAUCCACCCAAUCUCUUGGAAAUGGUUUUAUAUCAAAUUCUUUGAAGUUGCUGACCGUAACUCACUUAGCAGUGAUUCUAAACUACCUUUGUGCAGCUCCUGACCAUGACCGAGCAACAGUUCUUGCACUGUUUGUCUGAAAGGUCACCAGAAACACUCUUAGAUGGCUCUGAAGCUUGGAUAGAUUCAGAAAUGCUUGACUGAGAUGUUGGAGGAAUGGAACAAGGACUUUGCAGCUCACUGGAACUGGCAACUUGUGGUGAAGGGAGCUCCGCUGGACUAUUAAUUAAAUUUACACCAAAAAGCUUGAAUUUGUCAAUGCGGUUCUGUUGGGCAAAUGAAGCUUCAUUGCCCUUUGGCUCUAGAGCCCUCCAAUCCUGGAACUCACAAUUGCUGGAGUCGAGGUUUGCAAAAGACAAGUUUCUGCUCCCUCCAACAUUAUCACAGGCUCCACAAUAGGUAAAUGUUAGGGAGCAGCCAUUAGCAAUCCCAGAACUCAGAGGGUUUUCACCCUGGAACAAUAUUGUUUUGCCAGGACAUUGAUAGAAUGGGUCAUGCAUUGGGAAGUGCUGAGGACCCCAAUCGGAAUUUGGUGGAGGAACAACCAGCAAUGAUGGCAGUUUUGAUGUAUCUGGCUUGUGAGCACCUAUAUCGUCGUUUUCUUGACCUUGCAAGACCCCUGAUUGAAUUUUAGUGUGCUCAACUGAAUUUUGCAAUAAGCAUUGAGAAUAGGUAAAAAUCAUCCAAUUGGUUCAUUCACGAGAGAUACACAAUAUAAAUAUGGAGACCUAAGAAGACUUAUUUUCUUAAGGAGUUGUGGUCCAAAGUAUAAGAUAGAUAAAGAGUACUGACCAUCCCCAACCAAUAUAGGAAUAGCAGGACACAGUGGAUCAGUUGGGCGUGCCCUCUUUAGUUGGGGUAGAAUAGAAGUAUGCUUCUUCUUAAUGAAUUCUAUUGGCUCAAUGUUCCAUGCAGCCACCCUUUCAGGACAUGGAGUAAUAUCUGAUGUAUCCCAUUGCACCUAAAAUAAAGAAGUAGAUAAUCAACUACACACGCCAAGAACAACAACAUUUAACUACAGAAAAUAAAGCUAUUUACCUUGAAACGUCUCCAUUCUGAAUUGGGCCACCUAAUGGCAUCAACAUCUUCAAUGCCAACUAUAGUACCUGCACAUCUGGUUGAUACAAUGAAUAAAAUUCAGUUAAGAAACAAGACACAAGAAAUGCCUCUUUUUUUUUUCUUUUUACUUCUACUUACCUUUGUUUUUUGCAUUCAAUGAUCAUAGCAUGACUCACUGCAAUUUGGACCAUUUACUCAUACAACAGCAUUAUGCCAUUGCACAGUCAGCAAAUGCAAGAAUUACAGAAGAAAUAAAUCAUGCAUUAACCAAAUAGAUCCAUGAAGGCUUACCUUUGCUGUGAACAUUCUUCACCUUCAAACAGCAUUCUGAAUCUUGUUCCAACUGAGUAAUUGUUUUCAGCAGAUUUUAUGUAUUGGUCAUAAGGAAUAAUAAAUUCAGGACUAGUCCUGCAGAAAAGAUAUGUAAAUGACUUCCUAGAUCAGAACUAUUCUAAUGCUUGUUGUGCAUGGAGAAACUGCUAUAAGUACCAAAAAGACUAACUGGAGUCAAUUUGAUCGUUACUAUUUAUAACAUGGUAAUAGCUUACCAAGGACGGAAAUAUACAGUAAACAUGGUUCCCGUAGAAAUGGCAUGGAAGGCACUUGCAAGUAUGCCAUGUUGCAUGCUGUGGCCGGAUAGUACUGAUGCUGAUACAUUGUUUUGUAAUCUUGUAGCUCUCCGGACCCCAACACGAAGUUCACCAUUUGCUCCCCUAAAAACCAAAAAUAUUAUUAUUAUUAUUAUCAUCAGUUAAUCAUUCACUCUUCCAUUCAUUCAAAAGAUCAAUAUAUUACAUAAACAACUGGCAGCUGGUUAUUACAAACUUUUGCUAUGAAUCCAAAGUCUAAUUGUAAAUAUCAAAUAUGACAUACACAUAGUUCACAUAAUGCUUUGAAUAAAAGAGAAAAGGUACAGUACAACUACACAAAAAAACACAUAGGGAGGAAGAGAAAACCUAAGGAAAAUGCAGGCAUCUCCAGCAACAAGCUUCUUUGAAGUCACAAAUUGACUCCAACCACUAGUAAGCAAGUGCCGCUUUGGCUGACCUGCAUUUAUUAGGGGAAAACAUGCAGGUAAGAAAUAAGAUGGGGUCCAGAACAAUUAGAGACAGGAGGUCGAGGGAAAAAAAUUGCAUGAGUAAGAAAUGGUUGACAGUAAGUAAUGACAUAUGCAUUAUUAAUACACUAGCAGGGCAUUAUUAAUACACUAGCGGGGCUCCUGGAUGUUGGUCUGACAUGCUCUAAACGAGACUUGAAGUAGGUCCUCCUGACUUUGUUGUCAUCAAAAUGAGAAUGUUUUUUUUUUAGUACUCACUUAAAGAAAUGGUGCUUUAAGGAUCCAAAAAACAACUGCAUUUCUAAUUUAUCAUGGCAGUUAUGAUGUUGUCUUGCUGUUACUCCACCAACUUGUUUAGUUAAACGUCAUCUCAAACACAACAGGUUGAUUCAAAACAAAAUCCCCUUCAUCCAUGAGAUGCAAUGACAGACUAGUAGUAAUGCUUAAAAUGUUCUUUUUCCUUUUUGUUUUUGAGUCCAAAUUUUUAAUGACUGUGAAGUAUAUUGAAGAUACCUCGAAAUAUAUGGCGAAAGCGCCAUUCAGUCCCAUGCAAGUCCUUUGCAAUCAGUUCCUGUACUGGGGGUUGCUGGGUCAUGUCCUGCAAUAACAUCCACAAUAUGUAAAUUUGGCUCCUUAUCUAGAUCAUUUACUAUAAGCUUACAUGACAUAAAGGUGGAUCCACAAGGGAGAGAGUUUUAUACUAAGAUUUUGAAAGUACAAACACCUACAUAUUGUAAAGAAUCUCCCCUAUUAUUUUUAUUUGUCCUUAUUUUAACAAAUAACUCAUGUUACUUGUGAGUAAAGAUUAUCGUAUCCGCCAAAGUCUAUGAAUCUAUACAGUUUGCUAAAGCAAUAAGAGAAGCUUGAAUCCACUAGGUAAAAGUCUCUUGAGAUUUUUAAGAGGGCUAUUUAAAAAGAAAUCAUUGCAAGGAUACUGACCAGAGGUGGAAGACAUUCAUCAGCAUGUCGCUUCGGAACAGAGAACCCACCAUGUGUGUUUGUAUCAGACGGAGUGAGAGUCUUGCUAAAGGAGUAUGAAUGAGUUCUUCGAGGGAAAAACUGAGAAUUUCCAUGAUCUGGACUUUGCCACUCUUGCUGUCAAGGGCAAGAGCAUUAAACUUACAGUAUGAACUAGAGAAGCAUUUAAAGAUCAAAUGGAAACAAAAGGACUAAACUUCAAUUUGUAAAGGCACAAGUUUGCCAUGCAAACUUCCACAAUCACCAAAAUCCGAAAAUGAUAACUAUAAGGAAUACAAUUGAGGUUAAUUAUAUAAAUUCUGAAAUAGCAUCAUCAAAUGAGUUGCAAUACACAAUUUCAUUUUCCAGUUUCAGAAGACUUUCAUGCACAAACUAGUUAAUUAGUAAGAAUAUAAACGUCACAGUAGCGAACCUUUGCCUCUGGAAGCAAAGUAACUUGCGCAAACACCUCAUCUGUACAAGCUUCAGCCUGAAAUACCAUAUUGACAAACAAGAAAGCCAUCCAAAAAUAGGUAAAAAAUAUACAUACACGCCUCGACAGUUUUGCCAUCUAUAAAUUCCAAUCUAAAAACAUGCCUGCAGAGAGAUGUGAGGUACCUUUAGCUGAACGUAAACAACUUUGCAGAAAAUCUUAGAAGGUAAAUUGUAGAUUGGCAUUUCCAUUUGGCCAUCCUGGUUUGUAUAGGCCUCAACCUAUACCAAAUUCAAAUAGCCAUAUAUGGAUUCACAUCAGUAAGAAAACUGGCAAUUUUUUCCACUCAUAAGAAAAUUACAAAAACAUUCAUAUUCUUCCUGGCACGUACUACACUGGGGUGAAUCAGAAACAAAACCAAACCAUUUAGAUCUAAAUAGCAUUUGAAAUGGAUCAAUUUUGUGCACGCAGCAAGUAAGUCUUUUUUUAGAAUUACCAAUGGGAUCCCAAAGUAUGAGAUCAUUAAACCUUUUUUUAAAAAAAAAAAAAAUCUCACUUUUUCAGGGAAUUGCUCCAACUUUUGGAAAGAUUCCUUUUGUUUGUCUCCCAGUGACUCCCCAUUGUAAAUUAAUGGAUAUGUGCCCUCAAAUACUAUAGAAGAAAAACACCAUGUAUAGUUUCAUUCCCAAGGAAACACCCAAUUCUCUAUUAGACUUGGCAUCAUUUUAAUCCCAAAGCACAAAAAUUACUUGACCUCAGAAAUGUAGAUGGACGGGAGAGCAGAACCUGUUCUAUGUGACCUUGAGGGAAGUAGACAACCUUCUGGCCGGCACGCAGAAUGUUGACAAGAGGCCCAGCACAUCCAAGCCAUAGUUCAGUAUACAGAUCAUCAUUUUCAUCUAAGGUCACAACAUAUUAACAUUAACAUCUUAACCCGGCAAGUAAUAAGAAAGUAAUCAUGCUACACACAUUUUUGGAACCCGUUUGAUCAGAGAUUAAGAAACAGAUGAACAGAUUAUUUAAAAGAAAUACAGAAUACCAACCAGAAAUAUGGAUUUACAGUUUAUACUAAAAGUCUUAAAUCUAAAGCAUGUAGCCAUCAGAAAUUUCAUGGACAUGUCAACCGUAGCCAUUUUGACAGAAAUCACAAGUUGAAGAAUAGAAGGUACAUAAAACAAUCCAAUUAGUAUUCUAGAGAAAGACAGAUCAUAAUGGAACUUUUGACCACAUAUAAGGAAGCAUUUUCCCCUCAAUAUUCCAUGAUUAUCCCACGACAACUAGUUUUAGAGAGAGAAAGAGAGAGGGAAAAAAACCUCCAAGCUAGUGAAAAACAAAAUCAGAGACAUGGUCAUGCAAGACAUUUCCAUUGAAAUAUUUUUUUAAAUGAAAUGAAAAUAACAAAAUAUGAAAUUUCAGCCAUUAAUACGAGUCUUCCUGAGUUCCCCUUCAUAAGUUCAUGCAGAGAACCAUACAUGAAAACAUAUAGAAUAAGGAAAAAAAAAUAUAUAAACAAAUAUUAUAAGGAAAAGAACCGAGACGUCACCUUGGAUGUUUUUACUCUGCAACCCAUCUCCCUCGAGAUCAACCCUCAUCCUCUCACCAUCUCCACCACUACCCAUCUCUCCCUGUCUCUCCCAGACGAGAAUGCAACGGCUGAAAUGAAGAGAAACCCACAAAAGCUCCAACCCAGAAUACCACAGACAGAGAACCCCAGAUACAAAAACAGCCUCUGCAUCCACCCCACCGCUACCGACACUCUCAAAAACCAAAAAGAAAAAAGAAAAAAACGAAAAUGAAGGAUGACCCAGAAAAGCUCUCAACACGACUGUGUUCACAACACCAGCGCCCAGCGGUGCUUCCCUCUCUUAUCUCCCUCUGAAAAAGUGGAGCUUGGGGGUUGGUGCUUUAACUUUAACGUUUAAGAAGCAAUGUCACACACAACACACACCACCCACACAUAGAGCUGCAGAGGCUGCGGCUGCAAAGAAUGAGAGGGUGUUGGGUAAGUGUUGGACACCGUACACAACCACCCUUUGACACGAGUCAACUUCCCCAAUGCCAAGCUUCUCUUUCCUCCCCUCUGGCGAUAUUUGCAAAAUUUCCUCCCUCCCAAACGAUAUCUUCUAUGAUUUAUAUCUCAGACAUCUGGUCUUCUCCGCCACCUUCCAUUUUCUCUCGAUCUUUUUCAUGUUUUUCAAUUUUUUUAACAUUUUAUUUAUUUAAUGGAGAGGGUGGAGAAGCGUAGAGUGUGAGUACGUACUCGGGGGACUAUUUUCCAAUGACCGGCCAAUCGAAUAAAGGUAAUGCGGUGGGUCCCACAUUUGAUGACUUGAUCUGACGAUGGUGAAGGUGGGGGCCCUGUCACGGGCGUCUGUGAUGCUAGACUGGUCAUCUCCCUCCUGGGGCUGUACUUGUACUGCUGUGUUACCAUCUCAUUUCAAACUAAUUUCUUUUAUUUUUUAUUUUUUUUAGAAAUAAAUUAAUAAAUUAUAAUGGCAUUUUUGUAAUUGAUGGGAAAAAACAUAUUUUCCAUCUUUAUGUAUUUUUUAUUUUAAUUAAUGAGGAGAGAAAACGACAAAACAACAGGAUACAAUUACACCAGCGAAAACGACGCCUCUUCGGUACAUACCGGGGCAUUCAUGGAAAAAGGCGGCUCCGUCGCUGCAACCAACGCCGUUAACUCCACCGCGCGAGGCAAACGGCUGCUGUUGUCGUUCCCGUGAAACUUCUCCCGCGCUGCCUGCCGUCCACGACCGCCUUGCAGGCCCCCGACCACAAUGCCCACACCCGACAAAAUUUUAUCCAUCUGACGACACGUGGACUUGGCCCACGCCACGUGUCCGGCCAGGGCUUCGAGGGUUUAAAAGAUGGCGCCGUUACAUUUUUGUGGCGUGUUUGGCAGUACUAUUGAGGUGGUGUUGUUUACCACGCCAUUCAUGCUGCGGCUACUUUUUGUCUUGUUUUUUAAUCCGUUACGAGCCCCUCGUUGUAAUAUUGUAAAUGUGUGAGGACUAGUUUGUGAAAAUGUGUGAAAUUGGAUUUAAAUUAUUGGGGCCUUUGUGGGCUGGAUCAUGAGUGUUAUGGGCCCAAAUCAACAUCAACCUUUCAUCAUCGCUAUCAAACAAAUAAAUCAAAUCUUAAUUGAAAAAAGAUUCUCAAAGAAUUAAAAAAAAUAUAUAGUGUUUGAAUCCAAAUAUAACAUUCAAUAAUUUUUGCAUAAAAAAAAGGAGAAAAAUCCCUAGUUGUGUAAAAAAAAAUCGAAAAUAAAGGUCAUCUCAAUUAUAUAGAUUUUGUUUAAUAGUUAUUUUUUUAAAAUUGUUAUUUAAAAUAAAAAUAUAUAAAAAUUGUUUGACAGAUAACAUAUAUUAGUUAUUUUCACUUAUUUUUUAAUUAUUAUUUUUAAAAAUAAUUAUAUGAAUAUAAAUAAUGAGUAAAAAUAAAAUGAUACAUAUAUAAAAUAUUUUUAAAAAUAUGAAAAUAAAUUUAAAACAUUUUAAAUUCCUAAAUAGGUUUUUAUUGUACAAAACGUAUUUAUUCUAUAAAACUAUUUUUCAAAAUUGUUUUUAAAAACAUUUUUCAAAUAAAUUCAUAAUCAUUAUCGUCAUUUUGUCCCAGAUUAGAAAGGAAAUAAAAUCAUAUCCCAAUUUGUGAUAUAAAAAUUUUUAGCUACUAAGUACAAAAAUAGUGUUUCAAGUCCAAAGUAAAUUUUAAAUUCAUUCAUACUAGUUUAUCAAAGUUUUUUUUAUAAAAAAGACACUUAAAUUUGUUGGGAAAUUUUUAAAAAUAAAAUAAAUCAUCUUUGUUUUUUAUAAAAACAUAUUUAAAAGGGAAAAGUAGGUUUAAUUCACUAAUUUGAAGAAAUAUAAAAAGAGUGUCUCAACUUUUAUAAUCCCGUUUUAUAUUCAUCAAUUUAAAAAUAUAUAAUUAAAUAAUUAUUUUUCUAAAAUAUAAUUUUACUUGAUAAUAUUAAAUAAAAUAAAAAUAAUAUUUUAUCAUUUUAAUUUGAUAAAAGUAUAUUACCAAUAAAUAUAUUAUAAUUUUUUUAUUUAUAAUAAAUAAAUAUUUAUAAUUCCGAUUAAUAGUGGUUUUGUAUCAUGUAUUAUAUACAUCUAUUCAUAUUCUUACCAUUUUGCCAAUAAAAUUGAAUAAAAAUCUCGUUAGUUAACAUCAACAAUAAAAUAAAAAAAUAAUUAAAUAAAAAAAUACUUCAAAAUGUUAAAUACAAUUAAAACCAAAAAACUAAAAAAUUAAAGAAAUAAAAUAUUGAUUCUCUUUAUAUUUUUAACUAUUUUUUUUUUGUAUAUAUCUAUAUUUUCUACCAGUGUGUUUUAAUGAAAUGAAAGUUAAUAUUUUUAUUUUUUUUAUUUUUAGUGUUACUGCUUUUUAAAUUUUAAUUAUAUUUGAAAAUUUUAAAUUUCUUAUUUUAUUGAUAUCAAAUCAAUUCCUACAUUAAAAAAAUAUAAAAAUUGUCAAUUGGGGUUAUAAAUCAACAUGUAAAAGGGUUAUUUUAGUAAAUAAUUAUUUAUCUUAUGAAAAACCAUAUCUAUUUUAAAAUAUUUUAUAACUUGAUGAAAAUAAAACUAAUUUAUAAAUCUCAAGGUUAUUUUCUCUACUAUUUUUGCACUAUUUGAAAAACGUAAAUAUAAUCGCAGUUUGACAAUUUGACCCCUAUCAAAAAAAAAAAAAAUUCUACAAAACAUUUGCUAUAAGACGAGGAGAAAAAAAUUAAACAAAUGGGAAUUCUAUUUAAAAUAUGUUGGCUGUGUUCUUUUAUAAUAUAGUAAUGAUUUUUUUUAAAAGGAGAUUAUGAAGCAAAAAAACAUGCGACUUCCAUUGAGAGAUGGACUAUAAUAAUUUUUAAAACUAAACUUCAUAAUAUUUUAGAAAUUUUGACAAUCAAAUGAUUUGAUUAUAAGUUACAAAAGAGUAAUUAUUUUUAAACAUGCUAUUAUUUUAUCCAUUUUACUUGAAUGGAAUAAUCAUCUUUUUAAUCACUAUCUCAUAUUUAAGCACCUUAUUUUUUUAAAUAAGGAUAAAAGUGUUAAAUUAAGAAUAUAUAUAUCAGUUUUCAAGAUUAUUUUUCAACCGUGGAAAUUAUAUUUUAUUUGAUAACUGUUUUAAAAAAUAAUUUUCUAUUAUUUAAAACAAAAGACAUAUUUGAUGGGUUAGAAAAUAGAAAAUAAUUUUUUGUUAUUAAAAAAAUAAAACAUUAUUUUCAAAAAAUAUUUUUAAAAUUGUUUUCACUUGUUUUAUUGUUUUAAAAAAUAAUUAUACAAAUAUAAAAAAAUAAUUAAAAAUAAAAUGCUACAUAUAUGGUUAGUUUUAAAAUAUAAAAUAUAGAAAAUAAGUUAGAAACAAUUUUUGUUUAAAAAAAAAAUUUAUUUGUUCCCCCCUCUCCGAACUAAUUUUGGGUCUUCAAAAUUCCUCAAAUCCCACGUUGGAUAAAACCUAAAUGAAAUCAAAGACGUGAAUGUCAGAACAGCUUAUAAUUAAACCAUGGGCGCCAAACCUAAUAAUUUAUUUAGUCUUUUAGUUUUUUGAUUUUCUUACAGACAAGCGGAUAAGAAAUAUCCGAGAGCAGCCACCAUCCUCACCCUCCUCCUCCGCCCAGCUGCUCAAAUGGCGGUUGCAGCCACCACUUGCUCUUUCUCUUCUCUCGCCUCCGCCUACACUUCUCGCUAUUCUUCCAUUUCCUCCCACCGCCGCCACCUCUCCACCUUCUCCUGCAGAUCCGCUCCCAAAGCCAUCAGCCGCAGCAACAAGGGAGCUUCGUCAUCGCCCAAUAAGCCUCCCAAACAGGUAGAUAAACCCUAAUUUCUCCAUGUUUCUUUCUUUCUUUCUUUUUUCGAUAGCUCUUUGCUUAUCGCUGUUUUCUGGGUGAAGUUUGGUGGUGGAUCGGGAGAGGAUGAGAAGAGACGAACUCAAUCCUCGCCGUUCAAAUCGUUUGGAGCCCAGUCUCAGAGAAAGGACAAGAAGGGGGUUUCCUCUGACUUGAAAGAGCAGCAGCAGGUGCGUUCCAUUGCGCCAUUUCUGUGAAGUUCUUGUUGAUAGGGUCGAGUUCAAUUUUAUGUUCUUUUUUCUUCAAUUUAGUCAUAGUUAGUAAUGAUGGAGCAUUUUCUUCUGUUGAUGUUUGCGUUUCUUUUUGCCCCAUGUGUGUAUUUUUAUUGGUUUUUUUUGGCUCUUCUCUGUGAUGGGAUAUGAAUCUCUUGUGCUACCGGCUCCAAUUCUACCUUUUGAUUUGUACCCCUUUUAUAUUCCAGGUUGAAACAGGGAAUCUUCAAGAUGGAGCUUUUCUUAAUGCUGUGGUGAAGGUAUAGUUUUAUCCUUUUCUCUGCUUCCUGUUCUUUCAUAUGCAUUUUAGUUUUCUUUUCCUUCACCUAUGCUAAGUGUUUAAUAAUUUAGACAAUGCAUUUCAUUCUCAACUAUUUUCAUGUGUGGAUUUUACAUACAUUUAUAUUAGGAAUGGUUUAAAUGCAUGGCACUACUGUUCCAACGGGUCUAGCUCACCUGGUCUUAUCAUAUGUAUUGGGAGUCUAUCAUCACAGAAGCACUUGAUUGGAUGGUCAUGUCAUUUGAUGAGUACCCUUUAUUUUUCUCUGGAUAGUUGCCAAUCCAUUGUUCCAAAACAUCUCAAUAAGGUGAGGCGUAGCUGCCAAUAUAUUAUUCUGACAAAUCUCAAUUAGGUGGGCACUAAGAGUGAUAACUUUUCAGUCAAAUCCUACUACUCUUGUUUAGAGCAUGGGUGAUCAAAGCCUUUGCCAACAACUUGUGUUCCAACAACGGUGAGCUUCUUUGCAUGGGAAGCAGUUUGGAAAGGUAUUUUGACCAUGGGCAAUUUAAAGAGGAGAGGUUGGACUUUGGUGGAUAGGUGUUUUAUGUGCAAAGAUGAGGAAGAAUCUAUUGAGCACAUCGUCUUCCACUGUCCCAAGGCAAGAAUUCUAUGGCAGCUAGUCUUCUUAUUGUUUGGUAUUGCAUGGAUGUUGAGUUUUUCAGCGAGAUCAACUCUUUUAAGUUGGAAUGGUUGUUCUGUCAGGAAGAAACAGAAGAACGCAUGUAAAGCUACUCCUUUGUGUUUGUUUUAGACUAUUUGGAAAGAGAGACAGGAGGGUGUUUGAUAAUGUAGAGCUUACUGAUCAAGAGCUUAAAUCCCUUUUUAUGGGUAAUUUGUUGGAGUUGGUCAACGGGGGUUUAAAGGAUGUAUCCAUGUCUUUGGUAGAUUUUGUAGAUUGGUUAGGCUGUAAAGGGAGGGAUUGUUUUUUGUUUCCCAUCAUUUUGUUUUUUUCCUUUGGCACUCCCCGUAUACGUGUUGCAUGCUAUUCUUUUGGCGCUUUUUAAUAUAUUGUUUUCUUACUUAUUUAAAAAUAAGUUUGAUGAGUUGGAUCAUUUAAGUAUGUCUAAAUUUGUCUCUGUGGAACACCAAACUCCUAGAUUGAGCUCGUAAGUCAUUCUAGGCAAAAAAGCAAUAUGAUGUUCCAAAAAAUGUUUUUUUUUUUUUUUAUAAAAAGAAAGUCUUUUAAGUAAUUUUUAUGAUUUGUUGUAUAUGCUGUCAUUUCAUUUCCCAAGUGCUAAUCUUGCAACUGUCAAUUCGCAGUUGCAUUUAUUUGCUAUUUAUUGUUUGUUUGUUUAUUUGUUUCUUCUUCUUCUUUGUUUUUCCUUAAUAAUUUCAAUAUUGAAUAUUUUCUGUGUGUUGCUAAUCCUUCUAGCUUCUUUAAUACUUGUCUAGGUUUACUGCACCCACACUGCGCCUGAUUAUUCCCUUCCUUGGCAAAAGCAAAGACAAUAUACGAGUACUGGAAGGCAUGUUAGUUCUUUAUCUGUUUGAUACAUUUAAUUUUAAAUACAAAUUCUUUUUCUGUAAAGUCUUGGUUCUUUCAAUUUUUUGGAAUUCCUUUCCUUGGUGUUUUGCACCUUUUUUUUUGACAAUGUCCUUCAUCAGGAAAUAUUUGCUGAAAAUUUUUCUGUAUGCAGUGCUUUCAUAAUUGGGGAUGGGAAACUUUUGACAAAUGCACAUUGUGUUGAACAUGCUACCCAGGUAAUCCUCUAAAUUCUCCAACAACUGAUAUGGUUAUUCUUUUUUUGUGGAAAAGGCAGAAUGAAUUAAAAGAAAUGCCAGAGAGGGCAAGAUCAAUCUACACGUGCAGUGUACCAGAAUCACCCAGGAAAAAUGGGAGAGAGAAGAAAAAAAUAAGAACUGGAGCUAACAUUGAAAUUCUGCUCGUACAGUUAUGAAAUCAAGAAAGGAGGAUUCACUAUUCUCAUUAGAUUUAGCUGCCGGACAAAUAAAAUCUUGAUUUUAAAUGAUCUCCUUCUAACAUGGGUAGCUCAACAGCUUUUCUGAAAUUCUUUUGUUGCACCCUUUUUCAAUGCACCAAACUGAGCAGUGCACUGCUGUCCAUCACACUCUGCUUUUUCGCUUCUUAGCAAACCUGAUAUUCAGUCUUAAAAGGGCUUUCCCUACUAUCCUUGGAACGUUGUUGCUUACGGGAUUCAAAAUUUGAAACUUCCUUGACCAGAACAACUUUAUGAUUUUCCCUUAGGAAGUCCAGCCCACGGGAGUUGAGGUAUUUCCACUGACCAUUUUGACGAUGUGAAUUUGGCCUUCUCUAAACCUAAGGGUUUUGGGAAUGUGAUCAAUGCAGAGGCUCUAGCCCUUCUUGAGGGCCUUAGAGAAGCAAGGUAUGUGGUGAAUUGAUUUUUAGUGGAAGGACAGUUCCUUAUAAGGCCACAAUCAUUGAAUGAGCUUCAGAGAAUACUUUGUGCUCUUUGAGGUUAAUUUACACUAUAUGGGUGCUUGAGAGGCUUGUAUCAAGGAUAAUCGUCAGCUUCAAAUGGCUUCCAGGAUCUGCUAAUGAAGAGGCCAGUCUUUUCAGCUUGAAGGGGAGCCCUAAUGUUAGAAGAGUAUAGAGGGCAUUUUUACCAACCUUAAUUUAAGUUACGUGGUUUCUUUUGCCAUGAGAUUUAAUUCUUCUUCUUCUUUUUUCUUCAUUUUUGGGGCCUGUGGACGGGUGGGGGGUGUGGACAUUUCAUUUCAAUCCCCUUCAUUGAAGGGCUUCUCCUUGUACUCUUAUUUCAUUUCAGUUCUCUUUGUUGAAGGGCUUCUCUUUGUACUCUUGCCUUUUGUUUUAAUAAACCUUCAUUUUUUUUUUCAUAACCUUCAUUUUUUUCAUAUAAAAAUAUAUUUAUGAAAAAAUUGGUCUGCUAUUUUUUCAGCACUUGUUAAUUAAUAUAUUAAUGUUAUUGCCUAGCAAAAAAUAAAAAUCAAAAACAAAAAAUCUUAGUAUAGUGUGAUAGAGUUUUCAUUGUUAAUUUUCCUUUCUGUUAAGUGGUUGCAAGAAUUCCUUUCCUUUUAUGUUCCAAUCACUUUACAGCAUGAUAUGUAUGCCAUGAAUGCCUACUUAAACCAUGUUACUUUCAUGGCUGCAGGUCAAAGUGAAGAGAAGGGGAGAUGAUACAAAAUAUGUGGCUAAGGUAUCACUCCUAUGAUUUUCUGUUAAAGUUUAUGAGUAGUUGCUUCAUUAUUUACUCUCACAUUUCAAGUUGAUUAGAUGUUGCAGCUUACUUUCCUCUCAGUGAUCUAAUAAUGUACAGGUUUUAGCACGAGGUAUUGAAUGUGAUAUAGCUUUGCUUUCAGUAGAAAGUGAAGAAUUCUGGAAAGGAACUGAGCCACUCAAUUUUGGACGCUUGCCACGUCUUCAGGUUUUAAUUACCACUUUCUCCAGAGGGAUUGUUUCAUUGUGAAUCCUGUUUGUCCUCUUGUGUAAUGACUCUGGCUUUAUUUUGAAGUGUUCAUGUGCAUAAUUAGUGUAUGAAUAAGCAUGUAAAUAGACAUAAAUCAAUAUGUAAUUAGUUAAGAACUUUUUUAAGUCUUCAGAGUACCUAUAUCCUUUUGUUGAAGGAAUUUCCUAUGAAUCUUAUUUAUAAAGAUGGAUGACCAAACUACCAUGCUUAAUAACACAUCAAUGUGUUAGGAUGCUGAAUAUUUAGCACAUAUUUCAUGACCGUUUAAACUGUUAAAAAAUAAAUUAGAAUCUCUAACAUCAUGUUAGAAACUGCAACUGAAUGAAAUCUAAUUUAAUCUUAACAUCAAAUUUAAUGGGUUGAGGAAAGUCUUCUUAUGAGUUGUCUACAUGAUAAUUCCUCGGCAUCGUAUCUCUAAUUUGUUUAUGAAAUGAAAAACUUAGUGAAUUUUUCAUGGCUUAAAAAUCUAAUUUAAUCUUAACAUCAAAUUUAAUGGGUUGAAUAAAGUCUUCUUAUGGGUCGUCUACAUGACAAUUUCUCAGCAUCAUAUCUCUAAUUUGUUUAUCAAAUGAAAAACUUAGUGUAUUUUUCAUGGCUUAAAAAGUCUCUACUCCUAUAUUAUAAGUGUAUGUUCUGGGUGAAACAUUUUAAACUGUUUUUUGUGUUACUUCUCAAUUGGCAGGAUGCAGUAACUGUAGUGGGAUAUCCGCUUGGAGGAGAUACUAUUUCGGUUACAAAAGGGGUGGUAUCGCGUAUAGAGGUUUGAUCUCUCUCUGUGGUCAUUUCUUUGAAGAAAUCUUCUUUUCUGCUCUUUUUGUUCAGUUCUUCCUUUGUUGCUAAGAGGUUUGAUUUGUCACAUCAAACUGUUAAAUUAUCAUGCCUAGUAUUUUCUUGAUUCUUAUGUCAGGAUUUUCAGCUACUGUUUCUUUUGCUUUGUGUGUUUUUCACUUCUUAGUGAUAGGAUUCUCAGUCCUGUCAUCAUCUUCAUCUGGAUCAAACAGGAGUCUUCUAUUAAUCAUAAUACCCAUACAAGUGCAUAAUGCCCAAUAACUGCACAAUGCCCCAAUUUAGGCAUGCAGAAUUAUUAGUUAAAACAAGAACCAAUGUCUCUUAGAACUAGGGGCCUUCCAAUAGGAAAAAUUGACAUGUAAAUAUUUAUUCUGUUCAAUUUUGAUGGAAACUUAAGAGCCAAGUGAUGGAUGCGUAUUAUUUCAUUAAGCAUCUUUUGAUGGAACUUCAAAGUUGCUUGGUACUUUUAGGAUAUUACUUUCAUUUUGUUGCCAGUAAUCCUCAUUUAUGUUGUUGUGAUUAGAAUCUUGUUCAAAAUAUGCAUGCUAUUUCAAGUAGCUAAGCGUUUGCACUGUACCAACCUUUUCUUUUUGUCUCUUUGUUCAAGGUUGUUUUUGAACAAAAAUAUCAAGGUUCUUACGAAUUUUAUAUUCAGGUUACAUCUUAUGCUCAUGGUUCAUCUGAUUUGCUGGGCAUUCAAAUUGAUGCAGCAAUAAAUCCUGGUCAGUGGUGCCUAGCAACUAUAUUUCUAACUUAAUUUAUUGGAAGUUUUCUGAUACAUAUAUGUAUAUCAACAAAAAUAUAUAUCAGAAAAAUUUCUUUAUCUCCCCUUGAAAAAAUGAAUUUAUUUUAUUUUGUUAGGCAUGCUAUGAAACUUUAUGUCUUAAUAUUUUAGGUAAUAGUGGUGGUCCUGCGUUCAAUGACCAGGGGGAGUGCAUUGGAGUUGCAUUUCAGGUAGAUUUUCUGGCAUGCUAUGAAACUUUGUGUCUUAAUAUUAAUUGGUUCUAGAUUCUGGGAUUCAUGUGUAAUCUGCAAUGUGUGAAAAUUGACCCCUAUGGAUACUACCCUGGACAAAAAAUCCGGCAUUUUUUCUGAGUGAGGUCUUCUCAUAUUUUAGUUUUGUUAAUUAAUACUCUCCAUGUGUUUAUAUUUGUAAUUGUGCCAGUCACUCAUUUUAAGCAUGCUAUUUUUCCCAUCAUGAUGUUUUUACAAGAAAUUUCCUUUUAGGUUUUCAGAUCUGAGGAUGUUGAGAAUAUUGGAUAUGUGAUUCCAACUACAGUUGUGUCUCAUUUUUUGGAUGACUACGAGAGAAAUGGGAAGUACACUGGUAAGAAACUCUUAUUGACCACAUCAAACUAUAGGGACAUUAAGGGUUCUUCAUGCAGAUGACCUGCAUUACCUCACUUGGGAUCUGCCCUUAGAGUAUAUGUUGAAUCUUCACAAAAGAUUGAUAGUGCUCAUGCAUGUAGUGUGCUUUAAGGAUCAAAAUGGCUAAAGUAUAGACCUGUUAUGUUCAACUUUUUUCAAGUUAAGUUAAUUCUACAAUACUUUUUUCAAGUAUAGAUCUGUAUAAAAAUUCAUUUUGCAUGACUCUCGACGGUUGUUUUGAAUUCUAUUCAAUUGUUGGUAUUUGGUUUUACUUUUCUUUCUAAAUUAUCGGCCUUUGUCCUUAUUGUGAUUCAAAUAUUGUAAAAUUGAGCUUCCAAAGACAUGGAGUCAUCCUGACUGCUAAGUAAUAUUUUGCUAAUUAACUUACAGGUUUUCCUUGCCUUGGAGUAUUGUUGCAAAAGUUGGAGAAUCCUGCACUACGUUCUUGCCUAAAAGUUCAGUCGAAUGAGGUUCAUAUCUUUAUCUACUCAUAUGGCUCUUGGGAUCAGUAUGAUAUUAGGUUUUUGCAUGCUUGCAGUGAUAUCUUUCUGUACUAUAAAUCUUUAAUGUACAUUUCUUAAAUGAAAUAGUUCUUGAUAUUUGUUUGCAUUUUGUGGGGCGUACGGUCUUUUCUUUCCAUGUUAAAUGUUAAUAGAAUCAUGCAUCUUCAUUUUUUUCGUUAGCUUGUGAUAGGACUAGUGUGUUGCUUGUGGUGGUGAGAGUCAUGGGAUUUGCUUGUGAUGGAAGGAGGGAAUUCAAGGUUGAAAGGAAGGUGGUUCCCUGGAUUUUGUGUCUUGGAAAAGGUUUUAUUUAUUGACUCUCUUGAAGGUCUUUAAGGUGCUGAUUGAGUUGCAUCUAGGAGUGAGUCUAUCCUGCAGAGCAGCUUCUCACACUUCUGGGAGUGGAAUAUAGGAGAGGUCCGGGAGGUUGGACAUGGUUAGAUAUGGGGAUGGGGAAGCAAUUGAAAAUAUGAAAUUUGGGUAAUUAGAAUAUUGGGACAGGAUUGAGUGUAUCAUGAAUGACAAUGUGUCCUGCAGGGGAAGAGUGACCAUUUGUGCUGAUAGAUUUGUUCUUAUUGAUGAAGCUUGAGAAACAUUGAAUGCAUUAGCAUCUGAGUCUACUGCUCAAGCAUAUUAUGUCAUCAUUGUUCUUUAUAAAUGUAUAUUUGACCAACUCUAUAAUGAGUAAUAAUGUAAACAUAUUAUGUGCUCUGGUAGUGCCCAAAUUUUCGAAGUUCAUUUGUAUGUCAUCUGUUUCUACUAAGUGCUAAGAUCCGAGCUUUCUCACAACUUCUCAUAAUGACAUCUAUUUUUUGCAGGGUGUACUGGUGCGGAGAGUUGAACCCACUUCUGAUGCAAACAAUGUCUUAAAGGAGGUACAAUUGACAUUUUUUACUUCAGGAGCUUACAGUUAAAUGAGUUGGAUGCCUAGUUAACACUCGCCCAUGACGAUACCUUCCUUCACUUCCAUAGUGCUUUUUUUUUUAGGAUACUUCACUUCCAUAGUGGUUCUUGUCAGCAUAGUCAGUCCAAUGAAUAUUAGGAUAAUGACAAUAUUAUUUUUCAAAUACUUUUAUGUGGUGCUUGCAAUAUAUUGGAUGAAGGAAUUAACAUUCUCAGUUUUUCACCUGUUGACAUUUUAAUCACUAUGCAAUAUAACAACUUACAGUCUAUAGAAUUCUGCCAAAUAAACACCGAGGACACAAUAAGUGAGGUAAAGGAUUAGCUAUUAAGCCUGUAGAGAGUCAACAGCUAAUAAUAUACAGUGCUCUUUUGGUUUUGUAAAAAGUUUUUUUUUUGUUUUCCAAUGGUCAAUUUUUAUUUAUUUAUUUUUUAAUGCAUACUGCAAUUAACAUAGAUUAUUGGCAUCUUUCCUACAUUUUCCUUUUUCUGUAUGUUUACUUAUUCAAAUGUUCUUACAGUUCAUUUAGUAUCAGUAGCCUAAUAGCACAAUUAACUCAGGCUUCUGGGUUUUUAUAGCCCUAUUAACAACCUUUAAUAUUUAAAUAUUUGAAGUUCAGUAAUAGUUUUAGAUUGUAUGCUUUUCCAGGGGGACGUGAUUGUAAGCUUUGAUGGUGUUCAUGUAGGCUGUGAAGGAACAGUGCCAUUCCGGUCAACUGAGCGCAUUGCAUUCCGUUACCUCAUAAGUCAAAAGUAAAAAAUCUUAUCCUCUACAGAGCAACUGAAGUAAAAGCUGAAACUUCUUUAGAUCACAUCUUUUUGUUUGUUGUAUAUUGGUCUGUUAGUCCUGCUUUUACUUUGGGGGGUUCUCCAUUACUCAACUGCUCCUUUGGCAUGGGGUGCAGAGAGGCGAAUUGUUUCACUCCCACAUCAACCUUUCUUCUAUGGGGAUCCAUGCAGGGUUAAUUUUUGAUGGAACAUAAAAUGUGAUGUUGGCAGCUAGCCAUCUGAUCCUGAUCAAUCUAAUUCAUAGCAUCUUCAGAGGAUAUUGUACUUGUGGUUAGGGGCUAGCCCUGCAGUCAAGUGUUGGCUUUGCAUAAUCGGUUUGAUCGGACCUGGUUUUACCUCUUGUCGUUGAUACCUUUUAUGAUCAGCAUCUGUAGGCAUACCUAUUAGGCAAUUUAAUUUUCCAUAAACUACUAUUAUGGGGUUGCAUGGUUUAUCCUUAUUUUACAGUCUUAUUAAUUUUCUUCUUCUGGUUCCUCCUUCCCCCUCCCUCUCUCUUUUCAUUUUCGUUUAUGUUCUGUGUCUAACCUAGGUUCAGUAAAGUAACAAUUAUCUUAGCUGAGGGGUGUUCUAAAUUGUCUAAUACAGAUUUACAGGUGAUGUUGUAGAGGUGGGAAUUAUCAGAGCUGGUGCUUUUAUGAAAGUUCAAGUAGUUUUAGAUCCGCGUGUACAUUUGGUAUGCCAUUAGAAUCUUGCUUUAUUUCAAUAAUGAUAUUUUCAUAUUUCUAUGUUUCGUUGCUAACUAAUGCUCUGGAUCCUAUAUGCCUUUACCUCAAGGUUCCGUAUCACAUUGAAGGAGGUCAACCUUCAUAUCUAAUAAUUUCUGGUUUGGUGUUUACCCCCCUCUCGGAACCACUUAUAGAGUAUGUUGGUUUAGACUCCAGCCUCUUGAAAAUGCACUUUUAACUUUCAAUGUAUGUGUAUGCUUGUUGUAAUGCUAAUUUAUAUUUGUUUCUGUGUUGACAGGGAGGAGUGUGAAGACACAAUAGGAGUAAGUUUUGGAUAAUAGAUCACACCUUUAGGCAUGGUGUUUAUAUCAAACUAACAUUCUAUGACUUCUUGCAUUAUUUAUACUAUAAAAAUAGUUUUGCUUUCUUUUCCUCUUUUCAAGCUUAAGAGUUUAUUAGUCUUUUUCUUUCUGAUCAGUUGAAACUACUGACAAAGGCACGCUAUUCUUUGGCAAGAUUUAAAGGGGAACAAAUUGUGAUCUUAUCUCAGGUUAGUGAAUAAUUUUUCCAACAAGCACAUACACAAGAUUUGAGAUCUUACCCCAUGUUUCCCCUUUUCAUUGAUAGGUUUUAGCAAAUGAAGUAAAUAUUGGGUAUGAGAAUAUGAGCAAUCAGCAGGCAAGUAAUAAUUUAAAUGUUGCCCCCUUAUCUUUGAGAUGCUUUUGUGGAUUUGCAUAUAUCAUGUGACCUAAAAUGAUGGCAGGUUCUGAAGUUCAAUGGGACAUGGAUUAAAAACAUUCAUCAUCUGGCACACCUUAUUGAUUGUAAGUAACAUCAUCCCUAUUUGGUUAAUGUUCUUUCCUUCCGAAUUAUUGUUAUUCUCAUGAUUGUUUGGUCAUUGCACAGCUUGUAAAGACAAGUAUUUGGUUUUUGAAUUUGAAGACAAUUACCUUGCUGUUUUGGAAAGAGAGGCUGCUGCUGCAGCCUCUCCUUGCAUUCUCAAAGAUUAUGGAAUACCGUCUGAAAGAUCUUCUGAUCUGUUAAAACCAUACAUGGACUCCUUGGGAGAUAACCGAUCAAUAAAUCAAGAUUUUGGAGACAUCCCAGUCUCAAAUUUGGAAAUUGGUUCUGAUGGACUCCUGUGGGCAUAAUCGCCAUAACUUGAAAGGUCAACCUGAAGCUUCCCUUUGCAGCCACAACUGCACCACAGCCACAGCUUGCAGGCUGUACAAAGACCGAUUGGUGGCAUCACAGCUUCUGUUGACCCCUUGUGCCAUUAUGAAUAACAUGGGCUGUAACCUUAAAAAUUUUCUACAGCCUUUUUUUUCAAUACAUUUUGGGAGAGUGUAGAUGUGUGCAGAAGCAGCUGCAGUUCGGCUUGAAAGCAUUGUUGUAUUAAUGUUGGGUCCUCUGGAAAUGGUACUUAUUUAAGUAUUUUUAUGAUUCUAUCCAAAGAGGAAAUAAAAAUACACCAAAUUUUCUCAUCCAAAUCCAUCUGGGUUUAUGCGCUAUAAAAGUAAAUUACAGUAGUGUCUUAAUAUCAUUUGCUAUUUUCUCUGCAUCCACACGAGCUCCAGUCAAGCCUCUUCCGGCCAAUCCGGCACAAUAUAAACCCUUCUUUCCCUUCCAGUUGUUAGGAGGCAUGAGCCUUGCAAACCCAUUAUCAUCCAAAAGGUCAUCAUCCUGCUCAAAACAAAUGAAAUUUUUACCCCAGGAGGAUCAAGAAAAUUGUAUAACAAAUGGAUGCUGACUUGUAUUGACUCACCUUAAGCCACUUAUUUGUCGAUCUCUUAAAGCCAGUGGCGAAGACUAUUACAUCAAAUGGAUGUGACUCGCCGUUCUUAAAUACCACUUCACUGCCUCUGAUGCUUGUCAGUGCUGGCAAAACCUGGGUAUGUUUUUUUUUAUUAUACAAGCAAUUUUAUAUAAUCUGUAACUGAAUUUAGGAAGUGGGCAGCAGUGGAAGAGGUCUCUUGGAGGUACAAUCAAGAGAAUAAUUAUUAAAAAGGGGAAGACAAAAACACCAGGUUUUUAACAAAAGAAAGCUAUUGUUCAUGGAAGGGGAAACUAUUGGACUAAAAUUAAGGUAAAUAGUGAAAUGUUAUUGGAGGAUGUAGACAUAAAAGAAGGGAGUAUAACUGCUUUCCAUUGCCUUCUCCCUCCUUGAGAUAGGAGAGCGGGGACGGAAUAUUAGUGGGGUGUUUUUUUUUACAUUUUGGUGGAGAAAAUUUAGAGUCCUUGGAGUCUCAUUUCUUUGAAGAGAAAGAUUUUGUAGUCUUCUUUAGUUUGUGUGGGGAUAAAGCCCUUGAUUCAGAUCAUGGUUUUUUGAGAAUUGAGUUGGGAUUGGUUUGGUUUUUUUGUAGAGCUCUCUGAGCUAAGCUCAUUCAAAAGAAGCCUCAAUGCCACCUUUGUAGUGUUAGUUAAAAAAUAAAAAAAAAGUAUAAAACACUUGAAGGACUCAAACCUAUCAACUUAGUGAGGAGCCUACACAAGCUUCUUGCAAAGGUUUUGGCCAACAGACCUAAAAAAGGUGAUGUGUAAAGUGGUUUCAAGUUCAACUUCUUAGCAUGCUUUUGUGGGAGGCAAACAAGUGUGGGAUGCAGUUUUCAUAGCAGAAGAAUCAACUAAACAAGAGCUAUAGAAGUUGAGUCAUAUGUAAGUUAUAUAGCGAGAAGGCAUAUGAUCACAUCAAUUGAGGUUUUUUCUUAGUAGAUUUUAAAAAAAGAAAGAAAAAAAAAAAGGUUUGGUAUCAAGUGGAUAAGGUGGAUUAAAUGGUACAUUUUUGUCACUCAUUUUUUUAAUGGAAUGUUUUUGGAUUAUCAUUUUUUAUUCUUGUUAGAUUGUUAUUAUCGUUGAGUGGUGGUUAUUAUCGUGGAAGAAUAUUUUAACCUGGACAGAAGAAUACUCUAAAUAUCUCCCUUUUUAACUUCUCAACAAUGCAUUCCCCUAAUUAGGAAAGCACAGUUGAGCUAGUACGGAUCAUCUGCUAUGACAAAGGGAAAAAAACUUGGAAAACCCCUCCCUUGUACCUUAAGCUAGGGAAACACGAGAGCAUUUGAAAAUAUCGAAAAAGCGAAUUACACAAUCAAACAAUCAUUAUGUAUGAAACUAAAACUUUCACAAAUCCUCUCUGUUACCUGAAUCUCACCGGACUUGAUCUUCUUGUAGGUUCCGAGAUCAAUAAUUGGAUACUUUCCAUACUUGGCUUUGACAGUAAAGGGACCCUCUUCAUGCCUGAUUAUGCCAUAUUUGGUCAAGUCUCCAUACAUAAUCUUACUUAGCAUAACAGUCAAAUACUCCACCAUGUUAAAGGGAAGAUAUCUUGCUAGAAACAGCCCCAGAUGCAUGAUCUCCUUGGAAAGAAUAUGAACCUGCAUGACCAUUCACAGUAAAGGGACCUUUCACAAAAAUCAACAAACAAAAAGACCCAGAUGAUUAGAACACAAAUUUACCGGGCUGCGAACAACAAUUGAGGUCUUGGCUCCAUAAUUUGAGAGGUCUAAUGCAAUCUCCAUGCCUGAAUUCCCAGAUCCAACAACCAAAACAGUCUUCUCAGCAUACUCUUUUCCACACUUAUACUGAGUCGAAUGCAGAACCUCUCCUUUAAAACUACUCAACCCCUCAACCUCCGGGAUGAACGCAUCGCUGGUUUCCCCACUAGCCACCACCAGGAACCGACAGGAAUACUCCUCAAUCUCAUCGGAGCCACCAUUAAUAACCCUCACCUUAACCUUCCAUUUUUCAGUGACUUCAUCAAAACUUGCAGACUCCACCAAUCUAUGGUACACAGGACUUAUACCAAAGUGAGAGACAUAGUCCCUCAAAUACUGUAUGAACUGAAGUCUGGAGGGGUAUGUUGGAUAAGAAGUGGGCAUAGGCAUGUGAGCGAGCUCACAGGCUUGCUUAGGGAGGUGAAGAUGAAGGCGGUCAUAUGAUUUUUUCUGCCAGAGGGGAGCAAAACAAUCUUCUCUUUCAAGAACUAUGUUGGGUAUUGAGAGGAGGUUAAGGGAAGCUGCAGUUGCAAGGCCUGAAGGACCUGCUCCUACCACUAUUACGACAGUUUCCUGCAUUUUCUUGAAUGACUCUGUUUUUUUCACCUUCCUUACAUUUCUCAUCCAGAGAGAAAUGAAUUAGAACACUGAUAGGUGAACCCAAAAGUUUGUUAAGUUACUAUUUGAUGCUCUAGCGGCCUAGCCUUGUUUGAAUUGCAAUAUAAUAAAUAUUUCAUACACAUAUUAUUAAAAUUAAAAUAAUUAUAAAAAUUUAAGAAAAAACUUAAAUAUGUUGCUUCUACUAUAUUUAAAAAAUAAUUUUUAUGUUUAAAAAAUAAUUAUAUAAAAACAAAGAAAAAUAAUAUAAAAUAAUAAAAAAUAUUUUUUGAAAACAUGUAACUUUUAUUUUUAAUAAUAAAAAACAUAAAAUAGUUUUUAAUUAAUAUAGGUUUGUCAUAUCCUAGCAACUCAUUCUUACCAGGUAGGCCUCUCAAUGAGCCACUUGUCAACUCGUGGAGUGGGGGGGGGGGGGGGGGGGGGGGGGGGGGAAUGUUAACCGGGAACCCGAAGGCCCCGGUUAAAAAAAUUUUUUGAAGGGGGAAAAAAAACGGGGGGGGAAAAAAAAGGGUUUAAAAAAUUUUUUUUUUUGGGGGGCUUGGGGAAAAAAANNNNNNNNNNNNNNNNNNNNNNNNNNNNNNNNNNNNNNNNNNNNNNNNNNNNNNNNNNNNNNNNNNNNNNNNNNNNNNNNNNNNNNNNNNNNNNNNNNNNGGGGGGGGGGGGGGGGGGGGGUGGGGAGUGGUAGCUGGGAUCCGGAGUGCUGCGGUUAGAGAUAUUUUUGGAAGGGGGAAGAAAACUGGGAGGAGGAGAUGAUGGCUUGAGAGAUGUGUCUUUUUGAGGUGACUUGAGGAAAAAGAUAUCUAGGAGGGAAGGAUAGUGAACCAGUGGAGCAGUUCAUGGAUUUUCUGGAAAAAUGUUGGAGCAAGAACAGCUAGAGAUCCAACAUAACUUGUUGGAUAAGAUCGUUUUCAGCACAUUGAUCGUUUGAUGUUAAGGUACGUCCCGCUCUCACUUUGAUCAUUCUUCAUUGAGUGUUCUGAUUCUUACAUGUUCAUGAUCGUUCAGGAUAUUUAUUGAUUUACUCAUCGAUUAUCACGUCAGCUUCAUUUUAUUAAUAGAGACUCAACUUUAGGGACUUAGAGAGGUGCUACGGUCUUUUACUGUACCUUUCCGAUAAGUAACCUGACCCCGAACCCGAUUUUUCGUAGACCAUUUUUCGUAGACCAACCUUUUUCAAAGCAAGGAGUCACACUUAGGGUUUUCUUUCUUAUUUUGUUUACCCUUUUAAAAAUAAAACAAAAAGAAGUAGCGACUCCAAGUCAUUUUCAAAUAAUCAAUAAAAAUCAAUUUUUCAAAUAAAAAUCGAGUUCGCCACCAAGUGGGACAUGAACCGAAUACGGGGUCCAUAUAUAUAUAUAUUUUGGCGAAAAUAAUUAUUAAAUAUAUCCUUAAUUUUUUAAUAAUAAAAAUAAUAUUACAAAAAGUAAAAUUAAAAAGGAAAUCAGAAAAGUGUAGACACCCUCCUCGUCAUCCGAACCCAACUGGUGGUGCUCAUUUCUCCUCUAAAGUCUCAAUCCACGACACAAAAGCCACGUGUCAACACUUAUAGGAAGGGCCACGACAGCUCUCACCAAACCUUACUUGUAGGUGCACACCAAUGACCAACUGAAAACGACCUCAAGUCCACUACCCUCCAUUCACGGCCAAGAACACCAGGUCCACCACCAUCGCCAUUUCCCACAUUCGUCAGGAAAGUGGUAACCCACAGCCGCUGAAGACAAAAAUGGUGCGGUCCCAAAGUUUAGUUGCAAUAUCCCUCGGCGAACCCAACGAUGGGGUUUCGCAUGGACUUGUCACAAUUAAUUGAGCCUUGUACGCCUUGACAAUCUCAUUUGAUUCGGUCUUCGACGAUAAGUUUUGAAAUUUUUUUUAUUUAUAAAAAUUAUGAAAAAAUAAAUAGAAGCAUUGAAACGUUACAAACGGACAUAAUACUUUUUUUUAUUGAAGAGAUUUUCUAUCUUUUAUGGUUCGAGAAAAUGCCACGAUAGAAAAUGUAUAGUUUUUUUUUAUUAUUAUUUAUCAUUCAAUUAAUGAAUAAAUUUUUUAAAUUUAAUAUUAAAAUAAAUAUUAUGUUUAUAAAUAAAUUAAAUAUAGACUGAAAUAAAUUUCUUUUAAUUUUAAAUUUUACCUUAUUUAUUAAGAAUAUCAACAUAAGAAAAGACUCAAUAAACUAAAAUUAAUAUUUGCUUUAUGCCUAAUAUUUAUUUAAUUGUUUUGAAUGAUAAAUAACCCGAGAUAAUAUACAUUUUUGAAAAAUUGAAUUUGAUUUCACAUCUUUUUUUAGAUCUCCAAUACUUCUUAUUCAUAUAAACACCAUAUAUUAAAUCAAAUAUUUAAAUCAUAUUUAUCAUGUAUUACACCAUAAAUUUAAUCAUAAUGUCAAGGGUUGCGGCAAAAGCAUCAUUGGUGAUGUCAUUGAAGAGGAAAAAAAAUUUCAAGCCACCACAAAAACUUGGAGAUGUCAUUGUAGACAAGAAAAACUUGGGCACCACUCACGACUGCCAACAAAACCCUAGCCACCACUAGAGAUGUCCUUAUAAAUAAGAAAUCUAAGAAGGGAAAUAAAAAAAGGAAAAAGGAUUUUGUGUGGGAAUUUAUUUUUGAAACUUAUCCGGUUAGUAUUUCGUUUCAAGAAAUCGACAAAAUCAAAUGAUCCAAGCUGAGUCAAUGUUAAAUUAUAACUUGGUUGUCGAAAAUGCUUUGGACAUGUCUUAAAGGAUACCACUCAAUCAAAGCAUAUUGGAGUUAGUUAAUACUUUGAACUUUGAUAGUCAAUAAUAUUUCCCUUAUAGUAAUUGGACAAAUAAAACGACAACUAAAUAUUGAGCAUGAUUGAAAGGUUGAAAUAUAGCUCUUGUGGUAUAAUUUCAACCAUCAAAAGUUACAUACGUCAACUAAUCUCCUACUUUCAUAAUCAUAAGGGUCUUAUAAUUGUAUGUUUUAUUGUGGUUCCGACAAAGGGUAUCAUAUAUCAAAUCAUUUCAUAUGGUCCUCGAGUUUAAGACAGUUAAGUGAUGUUUGUUUUUUUACUUAAUUCUAAAUACAACAUUUAUGCUUAAUAGUGUUAAAUAUUAGGUUGUUUGUUUUUAUUGUAUUUUAUUUCUAUUAAGUAGUAAAAAGUAUAGAAAAAUUAAUAUGUUAUUUUUUUUAUUUAAAAAAAGCUACAUAUUUUGGUUUUUUCUAUUUAAUAAAAAGUUUAUAAUAAGUCAUAAAGAAGUAGAAAAACAAACAACUUAAAUUCUGAAAACAAAUUGUUUUCAGCAAAAAGCCAAAAAAAACAAAUACUACCUUAGUGAUGAUUAAAAUUUUAUCACAAUUAUAGUGUCAUGUAAUUGCACACUUCGUUUAACCACGACCAUAAAUUAUUAUUAUUUUUUUAAUGAUCAUUUAAUUGAGAAUCAUAAUACCACAUUCACAUAUCCCGUUAAAACUUUAUUGAUAUUUCAAAUAUAAUUCAAUCGUGACUAUAAAACUUAAAAAAAGAAAAAGAAAAAAGAGAAAAACAUUUGUCCUAGGAGUAGUCCUUGUUGGGUUGUGAUCCAAGAAGCCCAAUUAUCACUUUGCAAGCCCAUGCAAGUUAAAAGGAAGGCCCAAGUAUCCAUGGAAAAGAAAUGCUGGCCCUUCAAAGGCUAAGUUAGGGCAUCUAUGAAAAAUGAACAAAAUCUCAUACAUUCGUUGGCAUAGUAAAGAUGUGUGCAUUGAUUUAGAGUCUAGACUCACCUGUCAAGAAAAUGCAUGAAAAAAAAUAAACAAUUUAUAAUGAAUUAAAACUCAAGAUUAUUAAAUUUACCCGAGAAAAUAAGUCUACAGUAAAACUUAGCUUGGUAAUUUGUGUUGAUGGAUUGUAUAAGUGUUGUGUUAAAAUUUGUGUAUAAAAGAGAACAUAUGCAAUUAAAUCAAAUAUGAAAGUAAUUUUAAAAUUGAACUAAUUGAAUAAUUACAUUCAUUAAAUAAAAUAAAAAUUUAUAAGUGUAAAUGAAAAAUUAUAUAUAAUUAAAUUAAAUGAGAUAGAAAAUGUAAAUAUAUAUGUGAAUAUGGAAGUUUGUAUAAAAUAGUAUUAAAUAAAAUUUAAUAUUAAACUAAUUAUUGACUAAAUAAAUUAAAUAUAAUUUAAAUAUUAAAUUAUAUGUACCACUUAAAUUAUAACUAUAAUGAUAAAGCUUUUAAAUAUUAGUUUUUAAAAAAGGAAAAUCAAAUUGAAGUGCUUUUAAAUAUUUUACUUGGGCCCAGUUGGACUAUGGGCCGGUCCGUAGUUGGCUCAGUUAUCUAUCCUUCAUUUCAGUAAUCCGGCCCAAUUUUGAGCCCGCUAACUGCUAUCCAUUCCAGAUGUGGAAUCAGCUGAUUAACCUUAUUUUAUGUCACAAUUAUUCUUAUGACGAAAAGCUAUACAAAUGAAUUAUAGAAGAAAUGAAACAACUUCCGACCAAAAUAAAUUAUUCUCCAAAAAAGGGAGAGUUUUAUUCAGAAGUGAAUACACUUUGGAAGCAUCACAGCUGUGUCUUGAUAUCAUUAGCUAUGUUCUGGGCAUCCAGGGCCGAUCCAUACAGGCCUCUUCUUGCCAGUCCAGCACAGUACAAACCAUUCUUUCCCUUCCAGUGAUUAGGAAAACUUGGCUUUGGAAGUCCAUCCUCGUUCAAAAGAUAAUCAUCUCCCUAUCAAAACAAUGAAGGUCUUAGACUUAGAGUCGAAUCAUCGGGUCGGGUCGGGUUAGGUUUGGGUUUCCAUAAUCGACCCGGUCAACCUAAAUUAAGAAACACUCAAUCUUUUUUCAUUCUAAUAUAAAGUACUUUGUCCAAGUUUAAAUUUUUAUUUAUUUGGAUUUGGGUCAAAUUAGGAUAAAUUCCAUAUAAAACAACGGUUAAUUCCAUCAAUCUAAACUGAAGAAUUAAAUGGAGGAGGAUUGUCUUAAUGAAUUUACCUUAAGCCAUUUGCUUGUGGAUCUCUUAAAUCCAGUAGCAAAGACAAUAGCAUCAAAUGGAUGUGAUUUGCCACCCUCAAAUACAACCUCAUCACCUCUGAUGCCUAUCAGCUUCGGCAAAACCUGUCCGAAAUUAAGGAAUAUAAGAUCAAGAAUAUUGCUAGAAAAUACUUGGUUGCUUUUAUAUGAUUCAAAAUUUUUGGACCUCUGUCUCUCUCUCUCUCUCUCACCUGAAUCUCGCCGGACUUGAUCUUGCCGAACGUGCCAGUGUUGACAACAGGGUACUUUCCAUACUUGACUUUCAAAAAGAAGGGACCCUCUUCAGGCCUGGUUAUGCCAUACUUGUUGAGAUCUCCAUAGACGAGCUUGCUGAGAAUCACCAUCAAUGAGUCCACCAUGUUGUAUGGGAUAUAUUUCAACAACGCCAGCCCCAGGUUUACCAUUUCCCUUGAGAGCAUAUGAAGCUGCAUACACCCAACAUACAGUUUAGUACCAACCAUGGAGGAAAAAAAGAGACAGAUCUAGAUAAAAAACAUGUAGAAUUACCGGGCUUCGAACAACAAUCGAGGUCUUGGCACCACAAUUUGAUAGAUCCAGUGCAAUCUCCAUGCCAGAAUUCCCAGACCCAACAACCAGAACCUUCAUGUCGGCAAACUCUUUUCCAUUUUUGUAUUGGGUCGAGUGAAUAACCUUUCCGAUGAAAGUACUGAGCCCAUCAAUGUCCGGUACAAACGCAUCGCUCGUUUCGCCGCUGGCCACCACCAAGAACAGCCCGGAGUACUCCUCAAGCUCACCGGAUUCUCCAUUUCUCACCCCAACAUUCCAUUUUCCCCUGGAUUCAUCAAAGCUCCCGGACUCCACCGAUCUCCUGUACAUAGGACGAAUGUUGAAGUGGUCGGCAUAGUCGUCCAAGUACUGAACGAACUGCUGCCUGGACGGAUACUUGGGCCAAUCUGCCGGCAUCUCCAUGUGCGGGAGCGUGCAAUACUGCUUCGGCAAGUGAAGAUGAAGCCUGUCGUACGCUUUUUUCUUCCACAAAGACGCACAGCAGUCUUCCCUUUCGAGGAUAAGAUACGGUAUCGAUAGUUGGCAUAGGCACCCCGCCAUGGCUAACCCAGAUGGGCCGGCUCCUACAAUAAUCACAGCUGCUUCCGGCAUUCUCUUCCAGUACAAGUAUCUUGAUGACAAAGACUAAUGGAAGAAACAACCAAGAAUGUGAAAAGGAGGAGAGUUGAAGCGGAGGUAUUUAUAAGGGUUUUGUGGACAAUAUCAUAAAGGAAUAGUCAUAAACUGCUGGAUAUGUUCCUUGACGUGUAAACUAGAGCAAUUAAUACUAUAAAAUGUGAAAUGAGAAAAAGGGUUGGUUGAAUUUUCUAAAAGAAGAAGUGGAAGGGUCCUCAACUUUUUGUAGUAGUUGAUCUAGAAUUCUUAUGACCCUGAUGUUGAAAUGCAUGGUUUGCAAAUGCUAGGGUUAAUAGUUAUGAUUGUAUGUGGGGAAGGUGAAUACUCAAUCAAGGGAACAUCAUUAUUGACUCUCUUUUUAUCUGCAAAGCAACCAUACUUGGUUUCAUAUUAUAAAGAUUUUGUCAAGUGACUUUUGGUUGGUCCCCUAGUUAAAGAGUGGCAUGACACAUGAUAAAUCAUUUUAGAGAAGGGCUUAUCAGAAUGGGAGGAUUACCCUCAUGUUUAUUGUUGUUUACUGCACCCCUCAAUUGCCAUUUGUGAAAAAGAGCGUUGAAUAUUUAAUACUCUUCAUUUGUUAUUGACCACCACCUGACCACGAAUUAAUUCUAUUUUUCUAUGAAUUAGUGUCUAUUAGAGAAAUAUUUAAUAAAUGAUUCUCUUAAAAACACUUCUAAGUAAAAACAUUAAUAAACAUGCUUUUAUUUUGUUUUAUUUUAUAAAAAUAUGGAUAAAAUGAUAUUUAAUUAUACCUCACCAAUGAAGUUUUGUUGGAUAACUUGAAAAUGAAGUGAAGAGAAAAAUUCUAAGGCAUCCAAUUCAUAUCCACCCAAAUUUGGAUAUGGGCAAUUAAAAGUAUAUUAAAAAAAAAUUGAACAAAUAUAUAGAAUUAGAGUAUACGUAAAUAAGGUGGACAAAAAAUGGAAUCAUAGUACAAAUAAUGAAAUAAAUGAAAAUUUUGAACAAAUCGGUAAAAUUAGAGUAUAAGUAGUAAAUAAUGUAAAAAAAUAAAAUGAAAUCAUGGUACAAGUGAGUGAAAAUUUUGAAUGAAUAAGUAAAAUUAGAGUAUAAGUAGUAAAUGAGGUAGAAAAAACAAAAUUAUCGUACAAAUAAAUGGAAAUUUUGAACAAAUACAAUAAGAAUAAAAGUAGCAAAUAAGGUGAAAACGUAUUUUCUUUUUGAAGAAAUUUUCGAAAAGCUAUUUAUCAUGAAAAUUUUUCAAAUUAGAAAGUUGUUUCGCAUUUUAAAAUGGAAAACAAAAUUGUUUUAAGUUUUGAAUUUGCAUAGAGGUAGUUAGCUCAAAUUACAUUAAAAUAUGAUAAGAAUAUUUCCUAAAUAUGAGCAUUAGAUUAUUUCUAAAGGGGUUAUUUGGAGGGAGUGGUAAAAAUAAUCACGAAAUUAGAAAUUUGACUCCUCAAUGAAUUUUUCAAGGCAUGAUCAUUUUUUUACUAUUUGUCCUUUUGAUUUUCUUCCAAAAGUAUGCCAAUUUCAUUUCAUAUUUUCAUCAUUGUAUCCAACUUUCUCUCUAUAACCCACUUUAAUUUCUUUCCCGUAAAGUGCUAGCAUACUUCUAUUUCCAAGUCAAUCUCUUUUUGUUGCCACCAUCUUUGUCAUGAAAGACCCACCAUAGUCUUGUCUCUAAGUUGGUAGUUCUCUCCCCACCACGUUAAUCUUUCUAUUUCUUUUUCAAGUUAUGAUGCCCUAUGAAGACCCGACUCUGUCACAAUUUCUCCUAACAAACUCUGGUGGACUUGACCCUUAAGGUCUUUCUCUUGUGUUUUAACAUGGUACGAAACUUUACUUGCAAAGAAAUAUAGAUAAAAGAGGGGAUAUAAUAUUUACAAAGUUUUUCUUCCGUUUAAUAUAUUAUUCAUUUAUAUUAAAUUCUGCUUAAGUUGCAUCUAAAAAAAGAAGUAAAAAUUUUAAUAUGAAUAUUUACUUGGAUUGUGUCGGAGAUAAGCUUAUUUUAGAUGACGUAAUUGAGAUUAAGAUUUCAAUUAGAAUGCUUAACUCAAUUAUACUAAGAUUAAGUUCAAUUUAAAAAUAACUUAAAUGAGAUGAAAUUAUCAAUAAAAAUGUCGGUUAAAUUUUAUUUUUAAACUUUAAUUGGAACUGAGUUCUUAAUCAAAAUAUUCACUUGAACUUAAUUAUAGCUGAUUAGGUUUUCGUUCCAAAUGUUUCAAAUCUAUCUAUUCUCUAAUUGAUAUAAAAUGUUGAGAUUGAACCUAUUAAGUGAAUUCAACUUGCUAGGUCAUAAAAACAUUCAUAUAUAUAAAUAGAAAAGAAGGUCACAAUUUUACUUAAUCGGAAGGCACAUAUUUUCAAAGAUUUUAUAUUAAUCAACACCUACUUUCUUCUUUUAUGUCUUCAACAAAUUGCCUUGUGCUCCUUAAUAGAUCACUUUAGCUUUGUAGAAAGAUGAACGGGCUAAUGCACCAUUAUACCCUUCCAUUGAAAGGACUUUUAAGAAGAUUUCUUAAAAGAUUUUGAGAGUUUGAAUAUUAGGGCAAAGUAAUGGCAAUAUACUCGAUUACGCGCAUUAUCAUUCUAAGUCUUAAACUUGGUAAUUUAUGGUAUAACCCUAAUAGAUCUAGUUAAAGCAACUUUAGAAAGAGUUCUUUUAUCAAAAGACAAUUGUCGAAUCUUAAGAAAUCAUUUUAUUUAUAAAAAAAAAAUCCCUAAUCUUCCAACUGGCUAAAGAGGGAUGUUAGAACCAUGCCCAAGCAUUUGAAUGCUACACAGGGGGUUGUUCCUCCUUUUUCCUCAAAUUUUUGCUUCAUUUCUAAUUCUUUUUACUUUUAACUUAUCAUUACUUUACUUUAUAUUUCCAAACACAUUUACCUCAUCCAAACUCAAUUGUUGAGUGUUUUUGAAAUCAAUCAAAAUCAUUAACGUCCAAGAAAGUAAGCUUAAUCAAACUAGUGUAUAAUAGGAAUAAACCUAUCAACCUAAUCUAAAACACUAUUAUCUAUAACUAUUUAUAAGAAAUAUAUAUGUGUAAAGGAACAAAAAACAUCAAUUUCACCAUUCAAAAUUAAUAACUUAGAAUUUUUAUUAAGUAGUUUAAAUUUAUGGUAUCAUAGUUCCACUUCAAUUUAAGGUUUAAUUAUAAUUUCUUCUAAUACGACUCAAAUUUCAUUUUGAAUGAGUAAAAUGAUUUGCGAUGCACAAACUGAGAAAAUUGAGGGAAUCCGAUCAAAGUAUAUGCUUCAUAGGUAGAACAUUUCCUAAACUUGUUUCUUUUAACUUCAACACCCUUUUGUAGAUCAAAUAAUGUUAUUUUUUAACAAAUUAUUUUCUAUAGAUACCUUUUGAAGUCUUCUAAACCAUCAAUAAGUUGAACCUAGUGUAAAUGCAUCAGAAGGGAAAAAAAAAUCCCUUACCUAGUAAAACAUGUUCAAGAAAGCAUAAAAUUGUCAACUUCACUAUACUUGGUUGGAAAUUGAUUUCUCUUCUAACUUUGCCUCCUUUAUUCUCUUUAUCAUUUUUUGAAUUACAUUGAUAUAAUAACAUAUGAUAAACAAUUUGAGAAAAAGAUUUCAUAUUUGUCAUACCUUAGAAGUAGCCAAAGCAAAAUAUUUUAAACAUUUCUAAUCACAUUCCAACCAAAUUCUUGAUCUUGGUAUUCUCAAUGGCAACAAUAUGAUUGUAAGUAACUUUGGAAGGAAAAUGACCUUUUUAUUUGUAUAUUCUAUACAAAAAUUAUUAAAAAAAAAUUGGUAGUAUACAAGAACACAUAUACUAUGCUUUCCCAUUAGGAAAAAUAUAUUAACAAUUAAUAAACUUAAAUACAUAUGACACUACCGUAAAACCUUUACAAACACAUACACAACAAAGACAACAAAACAUAUGCAACAACCUUCUAUGUAAAUAAAGAUACGAGGCAAUCUCGUCUUCUUAUUAUCAAAGAAAUGGGUGAUGCAAAAGUUAUGUCUUUAAUAAGUAAUAUGACUAAUAUAGAAGAAACAAUAAGUUAAACAAAAUUUUGCAGAAAUGAUAAGCAAUGAAUGUGACGUAAUAAUAACAUACAUUAUAGAUUAUGUAAAUGAUUGAGUCUGCUUAAAAAUUGUUUUUCUUUGUUCUUAGAAAUAAAAAAUGGUUUUUUAGACUCAAAAACACUUUUGAUAACUUAUUCUAAAAAUAAGGUAAUUUUUGGUAACACAUUUUAAUUAUUUUAAGUUAUUUUUAUUUGUUUUCUAAAAACUGUUUAAAAAAAUAAUUAUAUAAAAUGAAAAGUAAUUAAAAAUAAAACAUUACAGAUAAAAAUUGUUUUUAAAAAUAUUUGAAAACAUACAAAAUAAGUUGAGAAUAUUUCAAAUUAUCAAAUAAGCCUUUAUUAUAAAAAAUAUUGUAAAACUAUUUAUAAAAACUGUUUUAAAAAAUUAUUUUUGAAAUUUCUCAUUCAUGUCAUGGUUCGAAGAUUCAACUCCGCAUGUAGCACAAAGUAAAUUAAAGCUAUUAUUUUGGCCACUUGAUAAGAAGGUGAGCCAUCUUCAAAGGAGGUUCUCCCCCACUAUGUAUUAAAUGUAACCGAACAUGCUCAGUUCUCCCCCACUAUAUAUUAAUGUAAAUGAAUAUGCUCAAUACCAUUGGCAAAUAUCAAUGGGUCGUCAUUAUAUGAAUUAGGUCUUGUUUAACAACUGUUUUCAAGAACAAUUUUAUGUUUUUUAGAAUAAAAAAAAUUAAAAAAUAUGUUUAACAAUCAGAAAUUGUUUUCUAUUUUCUAAUAAAAUAGAAUGUUAUCAGAUAACUUCUUAUAAUUGUUUUCAGUUGUUUUUUUAUAACUGGUUUAAAGAAUAUAUAAUGAUUAAAAAUAAAGUUAUAUACAUAAAAUUUAUUUUCAAAACAUAUUUAAAAAUAUUAAAAACAAGUUAAAAAUAAUUUUAGAUUUCUAAACAAACUUUUGUUAUAUAAAACAUUAUAGAACAGUUUUCAAAAACUGUUCUAAAAAACAAGGCCUUAAUAUUUUAACAAAUAGAUAACUACAAAAAGUGAAUUAAGGCCCACUAAGGCCAUGUUUGGAUCCAUUCUAAGAAAAUAAAAUUUUGGACAAAUUUACCUAAUUUUGGUAGUUCCUAUAACAUGUAUAACUUUACUUAGAAUCAAAUCAUCAAAACAAAUUAAUAAUAGGUAAAAAAAACAAAAACAAAAACUCAUCUAUAAUACUUUCUUUGGAAGAUACUAAAUAGAUAGCACCAAUCAAGUAGUUUGCUUAUUUUUAUUUUUUUUAUUCCAAUUCAUUCAAUAUCUUAAGAUUUGAAUUACACAUCGAGAUGACCCACCUUCAUUUAGAACUGUUGGGUGGUGGUGGCGGCUAUGAGAUUAGAUUGGUAGGUGGAAAAAUAUCUGAUCGGAUUAAGGUUGGUUGCAGUGUGACCGAUACCAGAGAGAUUCAUGGUUGGAAUUCAACAGAGACUCAUGGCUAAAAGUCAACAUUGAAAUCCUCAGAAUUCUGGGAUUUGUACCUUUGUUUUUAGGUUCCCAUUUGGUGGGGCCAUGACUCUCAAAUCUCCACACUCCUCCUCGGCUAUCGAUUGAGGUUAAAAGACACGAAAAGGGGAUGAAAAAGCUGAAAGAAGACUUGGAAAAUGUGGAAGGAGUAGAUAAGGCUUACAUAACUUCAAUGCUAAGAAAGUAGCGCGUCAAUGUAAAGUUCUAACUUUUAUUCUUAUCCUAGAUAGUUUUAUUUUUAUUUUUAUUUUUUUUUCUUUUUAAUUUCUAUCAUCUCAUUUAAAUAUUAAUUAAUAUUCAAUAAGGGUGACCCAUUGCACUUGCCUAUCCUACCAAGUAACUUCUAAUAUAAAAUUUAUUUUUAAAUAAUUUUUUUCAGUGUUUUUUCAUCAUUUUAUUUAAAAAUUAAUUAACUUCCUAUGGAAAGUCUGAUUUUUCAAACUUUAAAGUGCAAAGUUUUUGUAUACAACAAUUUCUAAUAUAAAAUUCAUAAAAUUUCAAUUAGUUGUAAUAAUUUUUUUAUAAUUUUAAAAAGAGAGUGAAGGGGUGUUUGGUAAAAUUUAAAAUUUAUUAUUUAAUAACUUAAAUUGACUUUAUGUUAAAUUAUAAUUAAGUUAUUAAUUUAAAACUUAUUACUUAAUUUAAAUAUUAAGGUUGUUUGAUAAAAUUGUAUUAAAAUUUAUUUUAAAUUAUCAAAUAAUUUAUUUAUUUUCAUAAAUUAUAAUUAAGAUAAAUGAGAUCGAGUAAUGAGGGAGGUCAUAGCAAUAAAUAAUGAUAAAAAAAUAUAAAAUAAAUAUAUGGAUUUAAUAAUAAGUUAAUUGUUUGUAUUUGUUACUUAAAGUUUUUUUUUUUUUUUUUUACUUUUAGUUAUACAAUUAAGUCAUUUUAUUAAAUGUACUUAAUUUAUUUAAUGAUUUAAAUUAAAUUAUUAAGUCAUUUUAAGUAGUUAUUAAGUUGGUUUACUAAACAUCUAUUUAAAAGGUGGAUGAAAAUUUUAACUUUUGUAAAAUGUAGAAAAAAAGAAAGUUAUUUCUUUUAUGUUGAAAAAUGUAUUUUUAAAAUAGUUUUAUUUAAAAAAUAUAUUUUUUAGAUUUUUUAAAAGGUCCACUGAAGAGACCAAUUCUUUAGAGUUGAAUGAUAUGUAACCUAGGACAGGGCGGUCUCCUAACUCCUGACUGUAUUAGGGCUGGCCUGGCCUGUAGUAUAAUGAGGGUGCACCCCAUGUGAAAACAUGUCCCUUGUGCAGCCCCAUGAAAAAACUAAUCAACUACACUAGCUUACAAAUGAAGAAAACACCAAACAAGGCAUUAUUUAUUUUUCUGCUUUUAGUCACAAAAUAAAUAAUUUGUUCACAAUUAUUUCUGGCUUUUUUUUAAUCCUUUUCAAUUGUUAAAAUUGCUGUCUAUUUUAAAAUAACAAUAAUAAAAAAUUAUAUUCUAACAUGUCCCUUUUAGAAUCAUGUUAUAUAAUAUUUUAUUUAUAGAAAGAAUAUUAAAAAUAUAUUUAAAAUGAGAUGUAGAUAAAAAUAAAUUAUAGAAUAAAUGAUAUCAAAAUAUUAUUUUUUGAUGUAAAAAAUAUCCUUUUAUUUAAAUAAAUAAAAAAAAUCUAAGUCUCAAUCACGUGCAAUUAUAAUAUGAUAUGAGAUCAAAUAGACAAAGACGGGAUUGAAUGAGUCAAAUAGGCAAAUCUAGAAUUAGGGUUAAACUAUACCAAGGGCUCUUACGGUUUAAAAAUAUAUUUACGGGUAUUUUCCAUAAUUAUUGGCAAUCAAAAAAAUAUUAAUAGCAUUUGAUAUCAAUGAUUAUCUAAAAGAAUAAAAUAAAAGCCCAAGUCAACCACACUUUUUACACAAAAAAAAAAAAAAAAAAAAACAAGGAAAAAGAAUAUGAUUUGAAUUUGAACAUCAUUUUACUUGUGUUUCAACUAAAAUUGAGUGCUAUAUACAUGAAAAAUAGUUAAGCAAAAGCAACCAAGCGUGACUUUGAAGACAAUACAUCCCUCAUCAAAACCCUAAAAAGACUAGGAGAUUAAAAUACCCUCUUUAUAUUUAUUUAUUUAUUUUUUUAAUUUAAUACUUUUUGGGUAAUAUAAGAAGUAAUAUCCAUCUGGUUAACUUGUUGUUUCAUGUAUAAAAAUCAAAUCAAUUUUUUCUUGAGUGCAAGUCCCUUUCCUUUGGUUGUGUAGACUUUUCUUCAUUAAAAUUUCAAAAUCAAUGACAGCUCCUUUCCAAUCAAAAGGAAAAUAUCUAUAAAAUUAUGUUUGGCUGGAGAGAAUUUGAAGGAUCCUCUUCAUGUUCAUGAAUCAUAAUAAACAACACCCAUUUUUUUAAUUUAAUUAUUAGCAUGAUGUGCACUGAUACCUAAAAAAUUGUCCCAAGGUUUUGACCCACUCAACAUGUCAAAAAAAUAUUGCAAUGUGUUAUUAACUUCCAAUUUUUAAACUUGAGACUCGAGAGUUGAACGUUAAUAAUAAAAGCCAUAAUUUUUAAAAUAUUAUGUUUAUAUUAUAAAAUUUUUAUUAAAUAUAAUUUUUAAAAAUAAAUAAAAAAUAGAACUUCUAGAGGAGCUGACUUUUACUUUUAGCUUUUUUUUAAGCCAUUUUUUCGUGUAUAAAAUUAAAUAAAUAAAUAUAAAAUAGCUUUUAAUUUUUUAGAAGCCGAUUCAAAUUGAAUAAGAUAAGAAUAUUUUAAAAUUGUCAAACUUUAGACCGUAUCACCUUAGCUUUCUUUUGAAUUUCAAAAUAAGGAUUAAAAUAUUAAUGUAACUUAAAGGAAGUUUUAGAAGCAAUCAGAACAAUUAUUAGUAAAUAAAAUAAUUUAAAAUUUAUUAAUAAUAAUAUUAACAUAUUUUGGAAAGAAUAAUUUUAUUGUCGUUGUCAUUAGUUUUGACCUUUUGAGAUGACUUCUUCGAGCCAUUCACAAGCAGCAACCUGCGCGCUCAACUACUACAUUUUUUAUUCCUUCUACGGUUGUACCCACCAUUGAAAAAAUAAAAAAUUCUUUUUCAUUUUCAAAUAAGUCAUACCCUUUUAAUUUUCCACUUGGAUCUUACUCUAUUGCGUCGAUUCUCGUGGUGCAUAUGCUACUAAUUAACUAAUAUUUUAACGGAUUGAAAUUGUAAAAUAAUGACUUAUAAUAUUGUUUAAGAAUUUUUGGGGUAUGGCGAUAGUGACCAAGUGAACUGAUCCGAUCCUCAUCCAAUAAAAUGAGAAAUGGGGAAAUAAUUUAUAAGAGUCAAAAACUCUCUUUCUAUGAAAAGUCAGAAAGAAUAUCGCUUUGUAAGAAUGUUUUCUCUUUUAAAUUUCACCAGUUUUUUCUUCAUGAAUAAAUGUUAAGAUAUUUGUGUUGUAAAAACAUAGUGGUUCUCAAUCUUUUUUAGUUUCAUUCAUGAUUUGAGACAUAAAAUUUCACUGAUUCUAAAUUGAGUUUAAAAAUAAAAUUUAAUUUUAUAAAACUACAAAUAUUGUACUAUAGUGCAAAAUUGUUUAAAGUAUUAUCCAUAUUUUCAAUAAUUGAUUAAACCGCUUUACAAAAUACAAUUUAAAACAUUUCAAAAUUAAUCUACAAAAUAAAAUAAAUUUUUCUUUUUGAAAAGCUCUUAAACUUUUAAGUUAAAUAAUUGUUAAGAACAAAAGAUUGUUUUUUACGAAGAUUUUCCAUACAUGCCUGAUAUUUUUUUCAAACUAUUUUCAUAAAUAGAUUAAUAUGUCAUCAUUUUUUGUAAAAAUUAAAGGAUAUUUUUGCAUUAGACCUCCGGAAAGAUCGCAUAUGAGAGCGUUCCGUGGUUUGGGCCGCCAAUCAGUGACAUUUAAUAGGCCGAAUGGGCCUAGCAUGAUUGGGCUUCCAACUUUACAUGCCGCCGACACACUCUCAGACUUGAGGCCGAGCCCAAAAUUGUGGUGCAUUUUGAACUGGAUUGACCCACUAGCGAGGACCAAUCUCAUUGGGUCUUCAUUCAAAAAUGACAACGCCCAUUGGGUCUUGUAAUCGUCGCGGCUUCCACGUGACGGGAAAACCUUAUCCCAUGGUGGGCCAGACCUGCCUGAGACGGUUCUAUUCGGCCGGCCCAGAUAACUGUUAAAUUGACUGGGAAGGUAAAAAGCAAAAAUCGGAACGGACAAAUGAGGAGAAGCUACGUGGAAAUAACUGCACGAAGGACCAAACAAAAGAGUGAGUUGUGAAAUUGUAGUUUUUGACAGACAGGUUAUGUUACUAACUUACUAGUAGGAGGCAGUUCCUUUCCGAAGAAAGGUGACAUUAGUCUCUCCUGCUCAAUCAUUGGAAAGAUGGAUAAUGGAUAAAAGAACUCUUCAGGUUAGUGACUCAGACUAACUCAAGGUUCUUGAAUGAGGGCAUGUUUGGAAGUUCCAAACAACAAAAAUGGUUUUUUGAUUGAAAAACACAUUCGACCAAAACAAUUAUUAAAAAUUAUUAACAGCCCUUCAAACAGUGAUUCUGAGGAGCGUUUUUAAUAUUUUUAAUAUUUAAAAAUUUUAUAAUUCAAGUAUUAAAAAUAUUAAAAAUAUUUUCGAACUUUAAAUAAAUUAAAAGAAAUAUAUUUUUUUAUAUUUAGGUUAUUAAAAAAAAUUAUUUUAAAAAAAUAAUAAAAAAGUGUUUUUAAAAAACUUUUUUUCUUAGAAUUGUUUUAAAAAUGGUUUAUCAAAUAAAUUCUUAAUUUUUCAAAAUAUUUGGUUUUAGACGUGGAUUUAAAAAAUAAUAAUGGAAAAUUUUAAAUAAUUUGAUACAUGAUACUGUUUUGAUUUUAUUAUUUUUUAUAAAUAAUUUUUUUUUUUAGAUUUGAUUAUUAUCUCAAAAAUUAAAUAAAAUAAUGAAAAUAUUAAUUCUCACUUAAAUUUAAUAAUUAUAAGAAUAAAAAAAUUAUUAAUUAUCAUAUAAAAUUUAUCUUAUUAUAACCAUAACUUAUCCAAGCCAUAUUUGAUCGAUUGAAAUUUUGAAUAAAUAUUUUAAUUAAAUUAUAAACUUAGUAAAUUGGGGAUAACUUAAAUAAGAUUUAACUCAAUAUGAUUACGUUAAGGAUUUAAUAAUUUAUAUAGUGUUUGGAUUGAUUUAUUUAAUCGAAUUUCGGACAUAAUAUGAAUCAAAAUAAUUUUAUAUUUUUAAAUCCAUCAUUAUUUGUAUCGUGUUUGAAUUGAUCUAUUUAACACAUUAUGCGAAUCAACCACCGACAUGAAUUGGAACUCUAACAAUGGAGUUUCAUAUGCAGGUCCAGCAACACACGUUCACGGGAAGGAACAGAGAGAGGACUUUUCUCAAUAGUACAGUAAUUUAAAAAAAUUAUGCUUAAAUUACUGUACUGGAAGAAGUUAUUACAAAUAUAGGGUAGUUUUUGCCACAUAGGAGAGAGGAGAGAGGAAAGAGGAGAGAGGAGAGAGGGUGAGAGAAGAGAGGAAAGAGGAGAGAGGAGAGAGGAGAGAGGAGAUAGGAGAGAGGAGAGAGGAGAGAGGGUGAACUGUUAAAAAAAAGCGAACUCGUCUCUUGAAGAGACGAGUUCCAUGAAAAAAAUAUAUAUAUAAUUUUAAAAUUAUUCAAGGAAACUCGUCUCUUCAAGAGACGAGUUCCAUUAAAAAAAAAAAUAUAUAUUUUUUAAAAAUUCACAAAUUAAAAAAAAAAUAAUAAAAUUUGGAACUAAAGGGAACUCGUCUGAAGAGAUGAGUUUCCAUAGGAAAAAAAAUAUAUUAUUUAUUUAAAAAAAAUCCCAAAAAAAAAAAAAAUUCCCAAAACUGAAGAGACGAGUUCCCUUAGGAAAAAAAAUAUUUUUUUUAAAAAAUAUAUUUUUUAUUUUAAAAAAUCCUAAAUUAAAAAAAAAAAAAAAAAAAACACAAUUCCAAAGGGAACUCGUCUCUUGAAGAGACGAGUUCCAUGUAAAAAAAAUAUAUUUUUUUAAAAAUAUAUAUAUUAAAAAAAAAUCCCAAAUUAAAAAAAAAAUAAAAAAAAAAUAAUUCCAAAGGAAACUCGUCUCUUCAAGAGACGAGUUCCCAUGUAAAAAAAAAUAUUUUUUUAAAUAUAUAUAUUAAAAAAAAAAAAAAAACAAUUCCUCAAAAUUCCUAACAGACGAGUUCUCAUGUAAAAAAAAAUUUUUUUUUUUAAAUAUAAAAUUUCAAGAGACGAGUUCCUUUAGGAAAAAAAAUAUAUUUUUUAUUUUAAAAAAUCCCAAAUUUAAAAAAAAAAAAAUUCCAAAGGGAACUCGUCUCUUGAAGAGACGAGUUCCAUGUAAAAAAAAAUAUAUUUUUUAAAAAAUAUAUUUUUUAUUUUAAAAAAUCCUAAAUUAAAAAAAAAAAAUUCCAAAGGGAACUCGUCUCUUGAAGAGACGAGUUCCAUGUAAAAAAAAAUAUAUAUAUUAAAAAAAACCAAAUCUAGACCACUAGUCAAGAAAAACGAGUAGACUAGAGUGUAAGAGGUAGAGAGAGAGAGAGAGCGCUCCUCUUCCUUUCUCUUUUUUCCCUUUUGCUUUUCAGCUCUGGGAAGACGCCCUCUCCCUUUCUCUCCUGUCCUACUAAAACAUCAAAAUAUCCAACGGCAAAAAGAAAGGGAAACGUAAAAAAUGGCUGAAGACUUGAAGAGAAACGACGCUUUAGCUCUCUCCUUGAAGCAAUCUUCCGAUGAUCGGAAGCUUUCGUUGGCGGCAUCAGCCAGCAAGAGGGUCAUCAUCAAGUGCUC
Molecule: long non-coding RNA, 90174 nt
Filed under: Vitis vinifera (wine grape)
Lineage: Eukaryota; Viridiplantae; Streptophyta; Magnoliopsida; Vitales; Vitaceae
Description: long non-coding RNA (VVIN_LNC002029)
Source: RNAcentral